CCUUGGGAGGUUUACCAAUUGGGGUUGGUGGCUUGUGUUCUGGGAGUGGUUUCUCUCCCUUGGGAGGUUUAGUGGGUGACUUGUGUUCUGGAGGUGGCUUCUCCACCGAAGGCUUGUGCUCCGGUGGUGGCUUUUUGGUUGGAGGGGGCUUGGGGUAAUCAGCAAGAGAUGGGGUGGUGAGAACCACCAGUCCAAGGAACAACACUAGCAAGUAUGUGGGAGACAUUUUUGAGUUUGGGCUGAUCAGAUGAUGCAAAACUAAAGCAUUACGUGACCUUUUAUAGCAAGUAGCUCCCAAUACCUACUUGACACGUGUUACUGUGACCCAUAAAUAUUAUGGGGUCUAUUUGUGCCCUACCGGGUUGAAAACUUGGACAAUUGGGCAAGGACCCGCCUGACUAUGGAGGACUACUGAGGUGUGAUCACAGCUUUAGGAUUUUUCUUCCUCUGCAGCCGUCUUGCCGUUGGCAUGAUUUUCUUAAUCUCAAAUAAAGGCAUAGUUAUAGAGUUGUUUAAUCUCUAAAUGGGAUUUUAUAUAUCUUCAGAUAGCCAUUAAUACAUUUGAUGAAGAAAGAAAGACAAGUGCAUACAACAUGUAUACGACUAGCUUUCAUGGAGUUCAUUUAUGAUCAGUUUUCCUGUACAUGUAAACCAAGAUCAUAUAUGUUUUUGUUCCACAACAAUUUUGGAAUCUUGUUUAUCCGUUUUUAUCAUUAUAAUGUCACAUAGGCUGCCAACUUGGGCGCUAAAUUAAAGAUCCAGUUGGGCAAGUUCGUUUCAGAAUUUCAAUGGUGGAUUCAGGAAUUGUUUUAUAAGAUAUGCAAAAUAGUAGAGGGAUGAAUAGUGUUUCAUUAAGAAAAGAGCCCUGUAAAAAUAUUGUUUAAAGGUGCCAUAGAAACUAUAAUCAAUAAAUAACUUUUUUUCCCCAUGGGUGGUGUUUCUUGUGGGGAUCAGUGACUGGUUUGAGUCAACGCCGUGUCUCUUUAGUCCAGAAAUCAACUAUUUUAUGCAUUGAAUACAUCAACAAAGAAAAUAUGAAAGCCAAAUGACACCUCCCCCGCAAAAACUAAACCCUGGUUGCUAACUUUCUAUGUUUCAGUUCCAUUCACACAAGAAUAUUAGUUCAAGUUUGAGAAAAAUGGCGACUUACCUAGUGAUAACUCGGUCUUGGUUUGCGAUUUGACUUUAACGUCAUGGGUUGAAGCCUCCUACAAUCAUCGUGUAUGCUAGUUCAAAGCUCGUGGAAGAAGUUAUACAGGGAGGGAGAAACCUCCACAGCAAGCUCCAAAAGAGAAUUAUCACAUUGAAAGCUCCAGUUGAACACUGGGUGAAAGCCAUAACAAGAUUGGUUUUCUAUCGCUCUUUUAAGUAAUGGAAGAUUAUUAUCUCUGCUUGUCACUACAACCGUGCAUGCUGCUAGAUCUUUCUAGACACUUCAAACAGUGAAACCAAGUAUGAUUCUUUUUCUCUUGAGUGGGUCCACUUGCAUGCCAAUGAACGAGUUGAAAAGUUGGACAAUUGGCCACAGCGCGCACUUACCUUCUGGAACCGAAGGUCAGUGAAGUGGGGUUCCUUUUGGCCCCUUGUGUUUCUGUUCCAACCUACUCCAGGAACCGAAGUUCAGUGAAGUGGGGCUACUUUUGGCCUCUUGUGUUUCUGUUCCAACCAAACAAAAAUGGGAGGGAAAAAUAGCAUUAUGCUUGUGCUAAAGAUCAACGCAUGAUAGCUGAAUAAGGGAGAAAAAGGCAUUGCUAUCUCAAUUUCAUAAACUUGAUAAGUAGUGACAUUAAUAGUCUUCCUCAUAGAUGGAUACAUGGUUUUAUUUUAUUUAUUUAUUUUUAUUUUUUUGUUUUAUGUCAAUGCUAAUGAAUGAAGUGCAUUAGCUUGUUUUGUGACUAGAACUACAAAUGUCCAAAUUGGAGCUUCUCCAAUAUAUUUCUCAGUGAGUUAUUGAUUAGAACUCUUGGAUUGAGUUCCAAGAUUUGAAUCAGACCCCUCUAGCAGCUUCAGGGGUACGUAGCAACCUAUAGCAUAUUAAUGAAGACUUAGGAUUUAGACUUAGGAAUACAAAUUAAUAUGUACCUCAUGCUCUGACUAGCUUCCCUGCGUAUGCACAAAAUGGAGAUGACUCCCAAAAAAAUAGCAGAAUCGCCUUAGUAUGUUUUUGUGGUUAAGAUGAUUCUCCACUUUAUAUAUCCACAUUGGUUCAUUAUGCAAAUUAAUCAACUAAGCUAUUUUUAUUUUUUCUUAAAUGUGAAAUAGGAGCUCCAAAUUAACCUAACCAUUGGCCUGAUUGAAUUGAUUUCACUUGCAUAAUGUUAUAGUAGAAGUCCGUAAUUUGAAUUUUAUUUUUGCAAAAGGUAACGUAAAUGAAGCAUUGUAAUUAAAUUUAUUUGUAAUUACAAACUAAUUUUAUUUUAUUAAGAAUUAAUUUAAUUACUCAUUUAAAAUAAAAAUCAGUUAUACUUUUACCAAGAUGAUAAUAUUCAUAUUUUUCUAGUUAACAUAUAUAAAAUAGUACACUUUUUCAUAUAAAAAAAUAAUUUAUGAUUUAUUAUAAUGUUACUAUUCACAUUUUACUAAAUUGAUGGUACAUGAUAGUGAGAGAAGGGGGUGUCACACUCAGCUAAAGUUCUUUUCAAAAUAUUGCAUGGUGUUUAAUUUUAUGUGUCGGCGCGCGUGUGAAUGGAACCUGCAAAAGUCCAAAUUGGCGUUUCUCCAUUUUCCACAUAGGAUGGUGACGUUAAUAGACAAAGAUACAAUAUCUGUAGACAUUGCUUAAAAAUCGAUGUGAAGUAUUAGAAAUUACAGGGCACUGUACUGGGGGAGCGGCUGCCCCGCCAAAGGAGGAAGAAUGUAGCAAUUUCUUCUGUUAGCCAGGCCUUAGGAUUUAUGCAUGGGAUGCCUAAUAACAAACAGAGAAAAUAUACUUUUGGGGAAGGUAUCCAACAACAGACACCAUCAUUCAGAUGGUGGGAAGGUAUCCAACAGAUGCCAUCAUUCAGAUGGUAACAUAUAUAUACAUUUAUUAGUGAGUUUUUUUAAUACCUAUAAAAAAAAAUAUACACUUUGAUAUUGUGGCUGAAUCCAUUACAUACUCAACUAACCUUGCUCAUUAGGGAUUUGACUUAACAAGGGCAACGUUGCAGUACAAGCUCAAAACUUUAUGCAGGUGACAUUACAUUUGGUAAAGAAGAGGAAAAUAACGAAAGCCAUCCAUAAAAGCAAAAUUCCACAUGGGAUGAAAUUCACAAGCUUCAUUUACGAUAGAGUCGCAUCCAGGCAAUUAAUUCCACAUUAGACCGCCUGUUGACAUGUGUACCAAUCUUUUUUCAAAAAAUAUUUAUAAAUAAUUGAUACUCACAAAAAUAAUUUAAUAUUUAUAAAGGAUAAAAAAAUAUUUUCAAAUCUAUAACAAUUUAUAAAAUAUUAAUAAAAAAUUAUCUCUUAAACUUAGUAUAGUUUUAUCAGAUUAAACUUUUAUUUUGAACAAAUAAUUUUAAUCUAAGUUUUAAAUUCUAAAAUUAUUUCCUUAAAAUAAAAUUUUAAAAUUCAACACUUCAAUUGAAAUUGUCUUUUUAAAAAAUAUCUUCUUAUUUUAAUCCUUAUAAACUAUAGUUGAUUGAAAAUACUAUUGAAGUUCUCUCUUAAAAAAAAGUCUUAUUUUAAUCUUCAUAAAUUGCCCUUGAUUUGAAAAUAAAUUUUCAGUUAUCAUAUUUUAAAUAAUAUCUAUAUUUAAAAUACUCUAUUUAAAAAAAAAUGAACUAAUUUUAAUUAUAUUAUAUUUUAUUUUUUUAUAUAUUUUUAAUGAUAAACCAAACAUAGAAAAUCAUUUUUCUAAAUAUUUUAAAAUUUCUAAGCAACCAAACAUAAUCUUCAAAAUAAAAGGAAAAUAAGGAGGGACAUUUGAGAAAUGGCGAUUAAAAAAAAGUGUACAAAAGCUCAAUUAAUUUUCUUCUAGUCUUUUAUAUAAAAAAGUAAAGGAAUUGAAAAGUAUUGAUAUGUAAAUUAAUAUUUGGAUUUUAAUAGUAUUUUAUUUGUCUUUCUCUAUCUCAUGUAAAAGAGAAUUUAAGAUAUUUCCUAAAGCAAAGCAUUAGUUAUCUGCAAUCAGUGGUGAUCAUGCCCCAUGUCAAUUUCGGACCCAUAUCUUAAAACUGUAUAAUUUGCAUUCAAACAUUACUGAUUUCUCAGAUGUUUCAUACUCCACAGAAGAGCAUUGUUUGUGAAAGCAUGCAUUUAUGUUGGAUUUUGGAUGAUGUGGGAACUGGGGCAAGGAUCAUAUGGAAGAGUGGUCGAUUUUGUUCUGUACUUUAACAUUUGAAAUAGGAGAAGCUCGGGCAUUUGUGGGGCUUAAUUGAUUUUGAAGCCUGAAAUUGCGUUUCUGUCAUUUUGUAAAAAAUAUGGCAGAUUCCAUGCUCUCAUAUGUUUGGUCUGUGGCCAUGUAUAGAUGCCCCUUAGUGACCAGUUUGUAACUGUCAAUCAUAGUGUUUUGACUCUGGCUCAACAACAUCAGCCAUUGACGGAUUUUCAUACUUGCAAAUCAAAUAGUCUUCUUCCUCCCUUAGGAAUUUCGGUUUAAAUGUUAUUAAGCAUACAUUUGGCUGACAAUUAUUAACCACUUCAUGAUAUGGUUUCUUACCCUUAAUCAAUGGUUUCUAAGUGAAUAUAUGCAGAAGGAAAUCUGAACUGUAGACAGCAGUAUUGAUAACUCUCAAUAUUCUUUAUAUAAGAGAAUAAACAACGUCAUAGUGAUCGUCGCCUACAAGAAAGGUACAUUUCCCAACAAGAUGUAGUUGUGACUGGUACAUGGACGCAAUUAACUCGUACAAAAGAAUAAGACCAGUGCACGGCAGCUCUUAUUUUACAUGCUAAUUAUGCUAACCAAAGUCACUCAGUUGGGAUGGGAGGGAGAUGGAGGUUUGUGCGGUGGCUUGUGGGGCGGAGUUGGUGGCUUCUUUUCAGGAGCUUGUGGCUUUUUCGGAGCUGAAGGAGGCUCAAUCUUAUGAGGCGGCUUGUACGAGUCUUCUUUACUCUCGACAGGAGGGUGGCCAGGGUUGUGACCAUAAUGUGGUGGCUUCUCUCCCUUAGGUGGCUUGCCAACUGGGGUUGGUGGCUUGUGUUCAGGAAGUGGUUUCUCUCCCUUGGGAGGUUUACCAAUUGGGGUUGGUGGCUUGUGUUCUGGGAGUGGUUUCUCUCCCUUGGGAGGUUUAGUGGGUGACUUGUGUUCUGGAGGUGGCUUCUCCACCGGAGGCUUGUGCUCCGGUGGUGGCUUCUCCACCGGAGGCUUGUGCUCCGGUGGUGGCUUCUUGAUUGGAGGGGGCUUGGGGUAAUCAGCAAGAGAUGGGAUGGUGAGAACCACCACUCCAAGGAACAACACUAGCAAGUAUGUGGGAGACAUUUCUGAGUUUGAGCUGAUCAGAUGAUGCAAAACUAGAAGAAUUACGGGACCUUUUAUAGCAAGUAUCUCCCAAUACCCACAUGACACGUGUUACUAUGACCAUAAAUAUUAUAGGGUCCAUUUGUGCCCUACCGGGUUGAAAACUUGGACGCUUGGCCGAGGACACACCUGACUAUGGAGGACUAUUGACGUGUGAUCACAGCUUUUGGAUUUUUCUUCCUGUGCAGCUGUCUAGCGGUUGGCAUUAUUUUCUUAAUCUUAAAUAAAGGCAUAGUUAUAGAGUUGUUUAAUCUCUAAAUGGGAUUUUAUAUAUCUUCAGAUAGCCAUUAAUAUAUUUGAUGAAGAAAGACAAGUGCAUACAACAUGUAUACGGCUUGCUUCAAUCGAGUACAUUUAUGAUCAGUUUUCCUGUGCAAGUAAACCAGUUUUUUGUUCCACAACUAUUUUGGAAUCUUGUUUAUCAGUUUCUAUCAUUAUAAUGUCACAUAGGCUGCAAACUUGGGCACCCAAAGAUCUAGGUGGGCAAAUUUGUUUCAGACUUUCAAUGGUGGAUUCAGUAAUUGUUAAAAGGUGUUUCUUCAUUAAGGAAAGAGUCCGGUAAAAAUAUUGUUAAAAGGUGUCAUAGAAACUAUAAUAAAUAAAUAACUUCUUUUCCCCAUGGGUGGUGUUUCUUCUGGGGAUCAGUGACUGGUUAGGGUCACCCAAAAUGAGUCCAGAUUAAAAUUGGUUCGAGUCAAAGCAGUCUCUUUUGUCCAGAAAUCAACUAUUUUGCGCAUUGAAUGAAUCGAUAAAGAAAAAAUGAAAGCCAAAUCACACCUCCCCUGCAAAACCUAAACCCCGGUUGCUAACUUUCUAUGUUUCAGUCCUAUUCAUAUAGGAAUAUUGGUUCAAGUUUGAGAAAAAUGGCAACUUACCUAGGGUUUACUUGGUUUUGGUUUGCGACUAUUUACGCAACCAACCAUGAGUUUGACUUUAACGUCAUGGGUUGAAGCCUCCUACAAUCAUGUAUGAUAGUUCAAAGCUCGUGGAAGAAAUUAUACAGGAAGGAAGAAACCUCCAAAGCUAGCUCCAAAAGAGAAUUAUCACAUCGAUAGCUCCAGAGAUUCCCAAGGGAACUGAAUCAAAGACAAGUUCCUCACUUUUUCUUCUUUUGAGGCCAAAUAUGAACCAAGGAUCACACGACCUCAUUCAACUUCAUAAGUUUGAUUUCAUGCAGUUGAACACUGGGUGAAGGCCAUGACAAGAAUUGAUUAAAAAAUUCUACCACUCUUUUAAGUAAUGGAAGAUUAUUAUCUCUGAUUGGCACCACAACAGCACAUGCUGCUAGAUCUUUCUAGACACUCCAUGCAAUGAAAGCACAAUGGAUCUUGUAAUGAUAGAAACUAAGCCAUGCUACAGUACUAGAUGAGGGGGUAAAACUAGUAGACAUCUUUCUAGACACUCCAUGCAAUGAAAGCACAAUGGAUCUUGUAAUGAUAGAAACUAAGCCAUGCUACAGUACUAGAUGAGGUGGUAAAACUAGUAGACAUGGCUGGCAGUUGAUUACUACUCAAAAAGUACUCUUUUAUAGCUUGAAACUAACUGUUUUAAACACUUUUGAGUAGUAGUUAAUACCUUUUAACUUAAUUGGCACAUUAAGGAACCUAGCAAGGGUUACUAAUCAACAUUUGGCAAGUUUUGAUGUUUUUGGUAGCUAUUUGAUCAUUGAAACAAGCCAAGAAUGAGGGGGAAUUUUGUGAAGUCCAUGGCAAUGCAAGUUAAAGCUCAAAUACAUGAAGAAUCCAAGCUUUGGAGCACUUCAUAGCCCUUUGCCAAGCCAAUCAAAGAUGCAAGGAAGAAAACCAAAGGAAGAAAUCCAACAAUCAGCAUUUUGGCAUGGCUAUGUGAAAUUUCGCACACCAUGCGAAACCACAAGAGGCAGCCAAAGAAUUUCGCAUGGUAUGCGAAAUCUUCUUGUGCACUGACUCUGUUAGAUUUUUAUCUUCAGAUAUUUUGUGUAAUUUCCUAGUUUCUCCUUGUAACCAACUUAGAUAUUUUCUUUUAUAUCUUUUUUUAUAUUUUUUAGGUAACAUCAUAUAUAAGAGGAGAGACAUAAGGAGGAUAUGGAUGUUUUUCAUAGAACACUUGUAAAUUUUUGGUAGUAAGAAAUAUACAAAGCUUUUUGCUCUGCCUUACCUUCUCAAGGGAUGAGUGGCUAGGUUUUCUUGGAGUGAGGGAAGCUAGGUGAAGGACCUGAAUGCAAAGGUGGGAGUUUUCCUUACUUUAAAUGAAAGUAGUUGUUAAACAUUAAUGGUUUUUAUUUUAAGGUUUAGCUUUAAAUCCCUGAAAAACACCUUGAAUGGCCAAUACUUGGUAAGCUUUUUAGAUUCUAUGGAUGCUUAUUGCUAGAUCCAUGGAUGUCUAUUAGUUAUCAUUUACGAGCCAUUGGAAGGUGAUUCAAGGUGAGGGUCUUUAGUGUUUGAAGCCAUUAAUGGGAAGCAAUUACCAUUUUUUCAUGAAUCCUUUGGAUCAAAUCUUAAUUGCUAAAUAUAAAACCGGUUUCGAGAGAUAACCACCAUCCUUUAUGUUAUUAUCCCCAACGCGAGGAGAAGAUCCGAAAUCUUCCUUUUUAUCUAAGGAACCCGAUCCUAGUGACCUAAAGCUCCAAGAUACCUUUUCUUUGUAGUUAACUUCAUUUAUUGUUUUUGCUUAACUUAAAAUCAAUCUUUGCAACCACAAUUCCAUUUUCUUUAAAAGCUAAUUUUUAUAAGGAAAAACACCAUUUUAUUUCCUUCACUAAGUCAACUGUACGAUGAAAACCCAUCCCUGUGGACGAUCCUAGAGCCACUAUACUAUGUUAGCUAUGCUACCCUAGUGUGAGGUGAUUUAGGUUUUAUAAAUUUUUUUGAUAACACCCAUCUGAGCCAGAAUCAAAUGGCACGACUGAACCAGGGACGAAUCAAAUGACGCCGCUACCAAGGAUGGUGCCAAAGUACAUUGACAUGACUUUUGGUGAACACUUGUGAUCUUCACCACAAGUUUGGUGAUUUUUCUUUUACUAAUUUUUUUUAUUUUAGCUUAUCUUUUAUUUAGUUUUUAGUUAACCUUAAAUUUUUCCUAGAAUUGUAUUUCUUUUGUUUUCUUUGUUUUUGUUUCAGUGAUCUUUAGUUGUGCAUGCCCUAUUGGAUAAGAGAUAUUGAGGGAAUACUUGUGAAGAUUGAAACUCCUCGAGAAACUGAGUUAGAAGUGUGCUUGAACAUCAUGGAUGUUCCACCUGAAGACCAGAAUAGCCAACAUGGUUAAGAGGAUAAUUUCAACACAUACCGAUCCAUGAGGAACCGCAUACAUCCACCUUGUAUGAGUGCACCGUCAGGCAUAAUGCCUCCCACUGAGCAGCUAGUAAUCUGACCUCACAUUGUGCCACUCCUACCUACUUUCCAUGGGAUGGAGAGUGAGAAUCCCUACUCGCAUAUUAAGGAAUUCGAGGAGGUUUGUAAUACAUUCCAAGAAGGAGGAGCUUCAAUUGACUUGAUGAGGCUCAAGCUAUUUCCUUUCACUUUGAAGGAUAAGGCCAAGAUUUGGCUUAAUUCUUUAAGGCCAAGAAGUAUCCAAACUUGGAUUGAUUUGUAAGCCGAGUUUCUUAAGAAGUUCUUCCCUACCCAUAGGACCAAUGGUUUGAAAAGGCAAAAUUUGAACUUCUCAGUUAAAGAGAAUGAGAAAUUCUAUGAGUGUUGGGAGAGCUACAUGGAAGCUAUUAACGUUUGUCCUCACCAUGGCUUUGACACAUGGCUCUUAGUGAGCUAUUUUUACAAUGGUAUGUCUUCUUCAAUGAAGCAACUCCUAGAAACUAUGUGUGGAGGAGACUUCAUGAGUAAGAAUCCGGAGGAAGCCAUGGACUUUUUGAGUUAUGUGGCUGAAGUUUCAAGAGGAUGGGAUGAACCAAAUGCUAGAGAGGUGGGAAGAAUGAAGUCUCAACCUAAUGCUAAGGGUGAGAUGUAUGUUUUGAAUGAAGACAUUGACAUGAAAGCAAAGGUUGCAGCUAUGGCAAGGAGAUUGGAAGAGCUAGAAAUGAAGAACAUACAAAAAGUGCAAGCCAUUUCUGAGACAUCAAUGAAAGCUAUGCCUUGUUCCAUUUGUCAAUCUUAUAAGCACCUAGUGGAGGAGUGUCCUACAAUUCCAGCAGUGAGAGAGAUGUUUGGUGAUCAAGCAAAUGUUAUUGAUCAAUUCAAGCCUAAUAACAAUGCUUCAUAUGGCAACACCUACAAUUCAAAUUGGAGGAACCAUUCAAAUUUCUCUUGGAAACGAAAGCCACCUCAAUACACACAACCUACUCAAGCACCUUAGCAAUCCUCGAAUCUUGAACAAGCUAUUGUGAACCUUAGCAAGGUUGUGGGAGACUUUGUGGGAGAUCAGAAGUCCAUCAAUGCUCAACUGAAUCGGAGAAUUGACAGUGUGGAGAGUACAUUGAACAAAAGGAUGGAUGAGAUGUAAAAUGAUCUGUCUCAAAAGAUAGACAAUGUCCAAUACGUAAUCUCAAGGCUUACCAACCUCAACACAGUGUAAGAGAAAGGAAAGUUUCCUUCUCAACCUCAUCAAAAUCCUAAGGGUAUCCAUGAAGUAGAGGCUCAAGAGGGAGAAUCUUCAAAGGUGAGGGAAGUCAAAGUAGUUAUCACCUUGAAGAGUGGUAAAGAGGUUGAUCAACCCACAUCCAAGCCAAAGCAUAAUGAAGAGAGUGUAGCAGAAAAAGAAAAGAGAGGAAAAUAAAGGAAUUAGAAUAGAGAAAAAUACAAAGAAAGAUGACCAUGAGUCUAGUGUGGAUGAAGAGCCCGAGAGGAUGGUGAUCAAGGAAGAUAUGAUGAAGAAACACAUGCCUCCACCUUUCCCCUAAGCUUUGCAUGACAAAAAAAGAACCAAUAAUACAUCAGAAAAUUUUGAAGUAUUGAGGCAAGUGAAGGUCAAUAUCCCUUUGCUAGACAUGAUCAAACAAGUGUCGACAUAUGAAAAAUUCUUGAAGGACUUGUGCACUGUAAAGAGAGGGUUGAAUGUGAACAAGAAAGCUUUAUUGACCGAGCAAGUGAGUUCCAUCAUACAGUGCAAGUCCUAGUGAAGUACAAAGAUCCGGGUUGCCGUACCAUCUCAGUGAGUAUUGGAAGGACUUGUGUGGAGAAAGCUUUGUUGGACUUGGGAGCAAGUGUGAAUUUGCUAUCCUACUCUGUCUAUAAGCAGUUGGGAUUUGGAGAGUUGAAGCCAAUAUCCAUCACUCUAUCUCUAGCGGAUAGAUCAAUGAAGAUUCCAAGAGGGAUGAUCGAAGAUGUCCUGGUUCAAGUUAACAAAUUCUACUAUCCAGUAGAUUUUGUUGUUCUUGAUAUGGAUCCGGUUGUCAAAUGAACUAAUUAUGUUCCUAUCAUACUUGGAAGACCCUUCCUAGCUACAUCAAAUGCAAUCAUCAAUUGUAGGAAUGGAGUCAUGCAACUCACAUUUGUCAACAUGACAUUAGAGCUCAACAUCUUCCAUUUGUACAAGAAGCAUAUCCAUCAGGAGGAAAAAGAAGGUCUAGAGGAAGUGUGAAUGAUUGACACUUUAGUGGAAGAGCAUUGUGAUCGAGAAUGCAAAAAGAUUUAGUUGAGAAUUUUGGGGAUCUUGAUGAAAGGUUACUUGAACCCUCAGAUUUGCUUGCUACCCUACUCCAUUGGAAGAGAAGAGAAGAAAUUCUACCCUUAUUCAAUGAGGAGGAGACGCAAAGAGCUGCAAAGGAGAAACCCCCAAAACUUAUUCUUAAGCCACUACCCACAGAGUUGAAGUAUGUAUACUUGGAAGAAGACAAGAAGUGCCCUAUUGUUAUAUCUUCAACUCUUACCAUUCAUCAGGAGGAUUGUCUACUUGAAGUCCUUAGAAGAUGUAAGAAGACAAUAAGGUGGCUAAUUUCUUAUUUGAAAGGGAUCAGCCCUUUAGUCUGCACCCAUCAUAUUUACAUGGAGGAUGAAGCUAAGCUAAUUCAUCAACCUCAGAGAAGGUUGAACCCUCACAUGCAAGAGGUGGUUCGAGCUGAAGUUCUGAAGCUACUUCAGACCAGUAUUAUUUACCCCAUAUCAAAUAGCCCAUGGGUGAGUCCUACUCAAGUUGCGCCAAAGAAGUCUGGGAUCAUGGUGGUGCAAAAUGAUAAGGGAGAAGAUGUCUCUACACGCCUCACUACAGGUUGGAGGGUGUGUAUCAAUUACAGGAGGUUGAAUGCAGUGAUAAGAAAGGACCAUUUCUCAUUGCCCUUUAUUGAUCAGGUGCUUGAGAGGGUCUCUGGGCUUUUUUUUUUAUUGUUUCUUGGAUGGCUACUCCGGGUACUUUCAGAUAGAAAUUGAUGUUGAAAACCAAGAUAAGACCAUUUUCACAUGCCCAUUUGGAACCUAUGCAUAAAGGAGAAUGCCUUUCGGCUUAUGCAAUGCACCCGCAACUUUCCAAAGAUGCAUGUUAAGCAUUUUCAGUGAUAUGGUGGAGCGUAUUAUGGAAGUCUUUAUGGAUGAUAUCACCAUUUAUGGAAGUGCAUUUGAUGAAUGCUUGGUCAACUUAGAAGCUGUUCUGAACCGAUACAUUGAGAAAGACUUAGUGCUUAACUGGGAGAAGUGCCAUUUCAUGGUACACCAAGGGAUUGUCCUUGGGCACAUUAUCUCCAAGCAAGGCAUUGAAGUUGACAAAGCAAAGGUUGAACUCAUUGUUAAGUUGCCAUCCUCAACAAAUGUCAAAGGAGUAAGGCAAUUCUUUGGCCAUGUCGGGUUCUAUAGGAGGUUUAUCAAGGAUUUCUCUAAGCUUGCAAGGCCUCUUUGUGAAAUAUUGGUGAAUGAUGUUAAAUUCAUAUGGGAUGAUGGAUUUGAAAGGAGUUUUGAAGAAUUGAAGCUAUUUUUGACAACCGUACCAAUAGUGAGGGCUCCCAACUGGCAACUGCCCUUUGAAGUAAUGUGUGAUGUCAAUGAUUUUGCUAUAGGAUUUUUUCUUGGGCAAAGAGAAAAUGGAAAACCUUAUGUGAUCUACUAUGCGAGGAAGGCAUUGAAUGAGGCACAAAGAAACUACACAACCACCGAGAAAGAAUUGUUAGCUGUAGUUUUUGCCUUGGAUAAGUUUCGCGCUUACUUGGUGGGGUCCUUCAUCAUGGUUUUUACUGAUCACUUUGCUUUGAAGUAUCUGUUGACUAAGCAAGAUGCUAAAGCAAGGCUGAUUAGAUGGAUUCUCUUACUUCAAGAGUUCAAUCUCCAUAUCAAAGAUAAGAAAGGAGUGGAGAAUGUGGUAGCAGACCACAUUUCAAGGCUAGCUAUCGCACAUAAUUCCCAUGCUUUGCCCAUUAAUGACGAUUUUCUAGAGGGGUCUCUCAUGUUGGUGGAAGUUGUCCCUUGGUACGCUCACAUUGCUAACUACCUGGUCACGGGAAAAGUUCCAAGUGAGUGGAAAGCACAAGAUAAGAAGCACUUCUUUGCAAAAAUUCAUGCCUACUAUUGGGAAGAGCCAUUUCUAUUCAAGUAUUGUAUGGAUCAGAUAAUAAGGAAGUGCGUUCCUGAAGAAGAGCAACAGGGGAUCCUUAGUCAUUACCAUGAAAAUGCAUGUGGAGGCCACUUUGCUUAUCAAAAGACAGCCAUGAGGGUGUUGCAAUCGGGUUUCUGUUGGCCAUCACUUUUCAAAGAUGCCCACACCAUGUGCAAGAGUUGUGAUCGAUGCCAGAGGCUUGGGAAGUUGACACGCAGGAACAUGAUGCCUUUGAACCCCACUUUAAUAGUUGAUAUUUUUUAUGUUUGGGGCACUAACUUCAUGGGACCUUUCCCUAUGUCUUUUGGCUACUCUUACAUCUUGGUAGGAGUAGAUUAUGUUUCUAAGUGGGUUGAGGCAGUCCCAUGCAAACACAAUGACCAUAGAGUGGUUCUCAAGUUUCUUAAAGAGAAUAUCUUCUCAAGAUUUGGGGUGCCCAAAGCCAUAAUUAGUGAUGGGGGUACUCAUUUUUGCAACAAGCCUUUUGAAACUCUCCUAGCCAAGUAUGGGGUGAAGCAUAAGGUAGCUACACCUUACCACCCUCAAACUCAUGGACAAGUUGAGUUAGCAAACAGGGAGAUUAAAAACAUAUUGAUGAAGGUGGUGAACACAAACAGAAAAGAUUGGUCAGUCAAGCUUCUUAAUUCACUAUGGGCAUAUAGAACAACUUACAAGACCAUUCUCGGGAUGUCUCCUUAUCGCCUAGUUUAUGGCAAAGCAUGCCAUCUCCCUGUGGAAUUGGAAUACAAAGCUUGGUGGGCAAUCAAGAAGCUCAACAUGGAUUUGAGCAGAGCUGGGUUGAAGAGGUUCUUAGACCUUAAUGAGAUGGAGAAAUUGAGAAAUGAUGCCUACAUCAAUUCAAAAAUUGCAAAAGAAAAAUUGAAGAGGUGGCAUGAUCAGUUGAUUUCCCGCAAGGAUUUUCAAAAUGGACAAAGAGUCUUACUUUAUGACUCUAAACUCCACAUCUUUCCGGGCAAGCUGAAAUCAAGGUGGAUAGGUCAUUUUACCAUUCACCAAGUGCAUUCAAAUGGAGUAGUGGAACUACUCAACUCCAACAAUAUCGAGAACUUCAAAGUGAAUGGCCACCGUCUCAAGCCCUUUGUGGAGUCUUUUUCUCACAACAAGGAGAAAUUCAUCCUCCUUGAUCCACAUCAAGCUUAACAAGACCAAUUUUCUUGAUGGACUUAGUCUUUCUAAAGACUAUCGAGUCCAUAACUUUUUGUUUUAUUUUUUAUUUGAGAUUUUUUCGGUAUUGUUACUUGUUUUGUUUUUUAUUUUUCGUUUUAAUUUUAUUUGGUUUGAUUUAACUUAGGUUUUUGAUGAUCAAUUACAGGGGGGAUUUCAAAUAGAGGAAAAACCAAGAUAAUUCGCACACCCUACGAAAAUUUCGCAAGGCAUGCGAAAUUUAUGGCUUAUUUUGCAUGGGGUGAAAAUUUUCGUACAUCUUACGAACCAAUUUCGAACACUUUGCGAAAAUAAACCAACCCUGCGAAAUCAUUUCGAUUACUCUACGAAAUUUUCGUAGAGCAUGCGAAAAAUUUAGCACACCAAACACCAUUUCGCAUACUAUGCAAAAACCUAAGGGGUCUGCGAAACCAUUUCGCACCUCCAAAUCCAUUUCGCACAUUGUGCGAAAACCAAGAGGCGCUGUGCGAAAAUGAAAAGUCGCCCUGUCAUCCCUUUUUAAACCCCUCGAGCCCUAAAAUCUCCAUUUCGCAAGCACCCCUGUCCUUGCGAAUCCCUCAUUUUCCUCUACUACCUUGCAACCUCGUCCCUUUCCAUUUGAUAUUGUGCCCCGCGCACAUCUCAUUUCAGAGACUCGCACUCCGCGCCCCCUCAAAGCAUGGACUCGAGACCCACCUUCCAUUUCCGACGUGGCACGGACCCAAGGAGCCCUUUCUGCCCCUUCACUAAGACACACACCAAGGCAGAAAGCCUCCUUUGCUCAAGUGCCUAGUGAUUCUCCAUCUUAGGCCUCAGAGGCCUCGGAGGCCCCGUGGAUUCCACCUUCCGAGGGUAGAGCAGCCAUUGGUCCUUCCUCUUCUACUCCUUAGCGUAGAUACGAGACGAGGAGACCACCUACUACACAAGGGGCGACUACUUCGAGCCUUGAGAAUUCAGUACGAUGCCUUCCUGCCAAGAGGGUCAAGACUUCAGGUCCAAGUGAGUCAUCCAGAGCUUCAUAGCCUAAGCCUCCUGUAGAUUCCAAGGUUCCUACUGACAUAUCACCGGAGUCUAUUAUCAGAAGCCCGAUGCUCAUAGCACCGCCCAUUGAGGGCAACUCAGAUUAUAGAGCGAGAUCUUUCCACUUGGAGCUAUAUUUUGAUCAGGAGGCCAUACGACAGCAGCCUGAGCUCCGAGACUCUUAUGGCUUACUGCAGAGGUACCAUCUUGAGGAACUUAUGACUCCUCGUGAGUUUUUUUAUCCCAGAGUAGCACUAAACUUUUACCAGUCCAUGACUACUCGUGGCGUCCCGAGUCCUACCACGAUUCACUUCACCAUUGAUAGACGUCAUGGUAUCCUCAAGGCCAGACAUAUUACAGAGGCUCUACAAAUUCCUUUCGAGCUAGAGGAUCCAUCUGUUUUUCGCUAAUGGUCCCCAGUAUCUCAGAGGGACAUGGUCCGUAUUUUAUCUAGGGGAACAUCUACAGAUUCGAUCUUUCUACGGAAGGAGCUUCGACCUGGGAUGCUCCUCUUAGAUGUGGUGCUAUGCUCCAACCUCUUUCCCUUACAACAUUCGGUACAUAGGUGAUGAGCUAUUUUGGACGCUUUAUUCCGUAUAUCAGAGGGCUUCUACUUUGGCCCGCACCACUUGAUCAUGGUCUCCCUCAUCCACUUUGAGGAGAAGGUUCAUAGGAAGAAGCUUCAGAGGGUGGACACCAUUCCAUUACUAUUCCUGAGGUUACUUUGCCAGGUCUUGGAGUACAUGGGCUUUCCUACUGAGCCUCGGCUCGAGCUUUGCCGCCUUUGUCGAGAGUGAUCCACUCUCGACAAAUGGAAUUAGUUGGCGGGCUAUUCUGCACCUCCAGGAGCCCCUCCCAUGGUAGCACCUCCAAUGUCCCCACAGGCAAAGUAGGGCGAGCUCCCGGCAAAGACUGUACCACCAAUGCCCACACUUGAGGCUAUUUCUGCUGCUCUGCCUAUGACUCCUACUGUUCCACCAGUUGGUCCUUUUACAUCCGAGCCUUCCAUCACCAUCUCGGCUUCGGAGUUUCGCGCCCUUGUGCAUACCUUUCAGACACUCACCACCACACAUACUCCUCUCUUCUAGCAAAUGGUUGAGAUGUGUGCCCAUCAGGACCGGAAGACUACUAUACUCUGCCAAAUUCAGCAGCACCUAAGACUUUUGCCUCAACCUCAACCUAACCAUCCCAUAUCAUCAGAGCCUCUAGCUCCAACUGAGGAUACUAUUCCACCUGAGAACACUACCACAGUAGAGGUCCGGUUUCCACCACCUUAAGAGGCCACCACAGCUACAUCAGAGGAUGUGUCAUCUCCACUUGAGGCUCCCACUACUUGAUCAUAGGACAUAUCUUUAUCUUAUUGUAUUUACAUAUUAUAUUACUAGAGAUUUGUCCUUGUUUUGAUACUUUAUAUUCUGGGAUUGGAUGUAUUGCCUGAUGAUAUCUCAAUUGUACUUUCUCAUAUUAAUAUAUAGACAUCAAUUUUUUUUAGUAUACUUAGCAUUUUUCUAUUUCCUCUACUCAUUACUCUUUUGUUUUUUUUUACUCAUGUGGUUUCUCUUAUACAACUCAGACUCCAUUUCACUCAGGAGGUACCACUUCCUCCCUUUAUUUUCAAUUGCUCUUGAAAUAUUGAGUGCAAUGUUGAUCUUGGUUGGGGGGAGAGUUGAGGAAGGAAGUUUUGUUAAUAAUGCUAGGUUAAUUUGUUAAUUUAGUUACUUUCUGCUUAAUUUUAAAAGUUUUCACUCUACUUUCCAUGGUUAUUAAGGAAAAAUUCUCAAAAUGAAAUGGGAGAAAUCGAAUUCUUGCAUUUUUACUUGAAUCUUAGAAUUUGUAUCAUGCUUAUUAAAGUUGAUGAAUUAUUGAAACUCCUAUUGAAUUCAACCUUAUUUUUUCCACUUUAAUCUUACCACACACGGUGCACAUUAGGUUCCAGUUAUAAGAUAAAAAACUAUCUCACCCCCUAAACUUAGAAAAAUUUACACUUGGUACCUUUGACAUCGUUUUAAUAGUGUUGGGACACCUUAUAAAAGGCCAAUGAGCCUUUAAAAAAAAAAAAAAAAAAAAAAAGAGAAAGAACAAAGUAUUGCACUUGCCUUGAAACCUGAGCAAGAUCCGAGGGGUAUACAGUGAAAGUCUUUAAAACCUGGUGCCCUAAGCCUUGAUUGGUUGGGAGUCACCGACCUCAAUGCUCGUUAUAAGGGUGAAUAGGUGGAGUUUAACAUAUUGUAGGUGCUUGGGUAUUGAAUUUCAAUCUCAAAAGUCCGGGAAAAAAUCUAAGGAGUUAGUGGUCAAAAGAUCCUUAAAGCUUGAUGCCCUAAACCUUGAUUGGUUGAGAGUCAUUGAUGGAUCCCCGCUACAUGGACAUUUUAGAAAACAAUACCUUUAGCAUUGCACGCCUACAAUGAAAAAAAAAUGUGAAAUAAAAGAGGUGCGUUCUUAGCCUAUUGGAGGUUGGUCAGUUUGCUAAAGUUUGAGAAAUCUAGGUUGGGGGGAGAGAAUAGUCCGACAUACUAUAAUAAAAAACUAAUAACCUUAACACUUAGAUUUUUGUGGAAGAGUAAGGAUUGGACCUUUAGGGGUGGAAAUUCUUUUGAUGCUUAAAUUUGCAUAAUGCCUACUCUUUAUAAAUUAUGAUUAGGCAAGAGAUUUGAUGACUCUUGUUCAAAGUUGGGUUUUUCCUCUUUGAUGUUCCAUGAGAGAGUAUAAUCCUCAUCAUGCCACUUGAAAUCUUUUUGGAGUGAUUAACAUGAUUUUGUAAAUUAUUUUACUGUCUAUUUUUCUUUAUCUCUCUUUUAUUGCUAAUGGACUAGCAAUAUGUCAGUUGGGGGGAGUGAUUACUACUCAAAAAGUACUCUUUUAUAGCUUGAAACUAACUGUUUUAAACACUUUUGAGUAGGUGUUAAUACAUUUUAACUCAAUUGGCACAUUAAGGAACCUAACAAGGGUUACUAAUAAGUUUUUGGCAAGUUUUGGUGUUUUUGGUAGCUAUUUGAUCAUUGAAACAAGCCAAGAAUGAGGGAGAAUUUUGUGAAGUCCAUAGCAAUGCAAGUUAAAGCUCAAAUACAUGAAGAAUCCAAGCUUUGAAGCACUUCAUAGCCCUUUGCGAAGCCAAUCAGAGAUGCAAGGAAGAAAACCAGAGGAAAAAAUCCAACAACCAGCAUUUUCGCAUGGCUGUGCGAAAUUUUGCACACCAUGCGAAACCACAAGAAGUAGCCAAAGAAUUUUGCACACCAUGCGAAAUUUCGCAUGGUAUACGAAAUCUUCCUAUGCACCAACUCCGUUAUAUUUUUAUCUUCAGAUAUUUUGUGUAAUUUCCUAGUUUCUCCUUGUAACCAACCUAGAUAUUUUCUUUUAUAUCUUUUUUUUAUAUUUUUUAGGUAACAUCAUAUAUAGGGGGAGAGACAUAAGGAGGAUAUGGAUGUUUUUCAUAAAACACUUUUAAUUUUCUGGUAGUAAGAAAUAUACAAAGUUUUUUGCUCUGCCUUACCUUCUCAUUUUGUUUUCACCUAUCUUUCUAGCCAAACAACCUCUGAGAAUGAUUUCUCAGGGGAUGAGUAGUUAGGUUUUACGUUUCUUGGAGUGAGAGAAGCUAGGUGAAAGACCCAAAUGCUAAGGUGGGAGUUGUCCUUGCUUUAAAUGAAAGUAGUUGUUAAAUAUUAAUGGUUUUUAUUUUAAGGUUUAGCUUUAAAUCCCUUAAAAACACCUUGAAUGGCCAAUACUUGGUAAGCUUUUCGGAUUCUAUGGAUGCUUAUUGCUAGAUCCAUGGAUGUCAUUAGUUAUCAUUUAUGAGCCAUUGGAAGGUGGUUCAAGAUGAGAGUCUUUAGUGUUUGAAGCCAUUAAUGGGAAACAAUUACCAUUUUUUCAUGAAUCCUUUGGAUAAAAUCUUAAUUGCUAAAUAUAAAACUGGUUCGGGAGAUAACCAUCCUUUAUGUUAUUAUGCCCAAUGCAAGGAGAAGAUUUCGAAUCUUCUCAUUUGUCUAAGGAACCCGAUCCUAGUGACCUAAAGCUCCUAGAGACCUUUUCUUUGUAGUUAACUUCAUUUAUUGUUUUUGCUUAACUUAAAAUCAAUCUUUGCAACCACAAUUCCAUUUUCUUUAAAAGCUAAUUUUUAUAAGGAAAAGCACCAUUUUAUUUCCUUCACUAAGUCAACUGUAUGAUGAAAACCCAUCCCUGUGGACGAUCUUAGAGCCACUAUACUAUGUUAUCUAUGCUAUCCUAGUGUGAGGUGAUUUAGGUUUUAUAAAUUUUGUUGAUAACACCCGUCUGAGCCAGAAUCAAAUGGAACCACUGAACCAGGGACAAAUCAACAGCCUAUAUGGGAGGGACACAAGUUUAAUUGAUUUGCAUUUCAGCGUUAUAGAUAAGUAUGUUUUGGAAGAUUUGUUCUGGAAAUACUGCACCAAGUACGAUUCUUUUUCUCUUGAGUGAGUCCAUUUGCAUGCCAAUUAACGAGUUGAAAAGUAGGAGCACCUACCUCGUGCUCAUGGAACCGAAUGUCAGUGAAGUGGGGCUCCUUUUAGCCUCUUGUGUUUCUGUUCCAACCAAGGCGGCGUAGGGAAAAACAACAAUAUGUCUGUGCUAAAUAUCAACGCAUGAUAGAUGUUUUUUUUUUUUUUUUUGGUAUGUCAAGGCUAACGAAUGAAAUGCAUUAGCUUGUUUUGUGACUAUAACUGCAAAUGUCCAAAUUGGAGUAUCUCCAUUUCUCACUUCGGAUGGUUAACUUUAUAAACAAGAUAUAGGAAACAUGUGAACAUCUUGAGGAACAAUUCAAAUUAUUCAUUAGAAGUCCUGGGUUAAGUUCCAAGAUUUAAAUCAGACCCUUCUAGCAGCUUCAAGGGUACUUAGCAACCUAUAACAUAUUAAUGAAGAUUUAGGAUUUAGACUCCGGAAUACAAAUAAAUAUGUAUCUCAUGCUUUGACUAGCUUCCCUACAUAUGCAUAAAAUGGAGAUGACCCAAAAAAAAUAGCAGAAUCUAGCUUCCCUACAUAUGCACAAAAUGGAGAUGACCCAAAAAAUAGCAUAAUCGCCUUAGUUUCUGUGGUUAAGGUGAUUCUCCGCUUAAUAUCCACAUUGACUCAUUAUGCAAAAUCAACUGAGCUAAUUUUAUUUAUUUAUUUAAUGUCAAAUAGGAACUCCUAAUUAACUGAUUACUGUCGAAAAGUGCUAUUUUGUAGACCUAAUUAUAAGGGUUUUAAGCACCUUUGAGUAGUAAUCAUAUUCAUUUAACCUAAUUAAUUCAUUAAGCUCCUUAGUAAUUAGUUCUAACCAUUUUUAGUGGCAAGUUUACAUGUUUUUCAUCAGCUUAUGAACCAAUUCAAGCAUGCCAAUUGAUGGAGGAGCUACUUGGGCGAGUUAAGCAAGGAUUUUGGACGUUUACAGGCUUGAAUUUCAAGUGGAAACACGAGCACAAGCAAUGGGAACACCAUUUCGCAAGGGGAGGCAAUUCACCUUGCCAAAUGACCAAUUUCGCAAGGGGAUUUUCCUCAUGGUGCAAAAUUUGGUCAUUUCGCACCAUGAAGAAACCACCUUGCAAAAUUUCGCAAGGUGGAUUUAGGCACCUUGCGAAAUGCCAAAUUUCACAAGGUGGCUUUUCACCUUGCGAAAUUUGGACCUUUCAUCUUCCCCCCUUGCGAAAUGCCUUUGAAAUCCCCUGUUUUGAGACGCUGUUGAUGAUAUUCCACUGCCGGUUCUCCAAGAUAUUUUGCUUGACUUUUAGCUUUAUAAAUACCUAUUUUACCCUUGUAAUCAACCAAUGAAAAGGUUGCUUUUGUAAUAGCUCUUGUAAUUUAGCUUUUUAUUGUCUUUAAAUAGAGGUGAAGAGCCUCAGACACGAUCAUCUUGUAACCUGUAACUUUAUAAGUUAUAAGAGCACUUUUGUUCAUACGCUUCUUUUCUCUUUUCUUUCUCAUUUUCUUAGUAGCCAAACAUCCUUGGAGGAUGAAAUCCCCAAGGAUGAGAGGCUAAAACCUUUUAGUUUCUUGAAGUAAUGGAUGCCAUGUGAAGCUCCCGUGUCAGGAUGGAGAUUUCCAAGCCAUAAAUGUAAGUAGCUGAGCGUCAUAAAUGUUUUCAUUCAAAGUAAAGCUUUUAAUCCCUCUGACUUGCUUUGAAUGGCCAAUACUUGAUAACCUUUUGGUCUCAAUGGAUUCUUAUUGUUAGAUCCACUGACGUUCAUUAGUUAUCUCCUACGAGCCAUUGUAUUGCAAGUCGAGGAGAUGACCUAUACCAAUAAAAGAGCAUUUAUGAGGUUCAACUACCCUUUUUGUAAGUUUUCAAGGACUAAAACUCAGUUGUUAAACUCAUACCGGUUCGAGAAGUAAGCAUCACCUUAGUUGCUUCCCCAACUCGAGGUGAAAAGUCCCAAAAUCUCCAUUUUUACACAGUGAGUUAAGCAUGGCUAUCCAAAGCUUUAAGAAACUUCUUUUUCCAUCUUUUAACCUAUUUUCAUGUUAGUUUAGUUUACAACACCUUCAUCUUUUUAUGUUUUCAUCUUAACCUAAUUUUUAUUAAGAAAAGUUCACUCCAUCCUCCGAACUUCACCAGUUAAAGUAAAAACCCUUCCCAGUGUUCGAUCCUAGAGCCACUAUGCUAUAGUAGCUUUGCUACUUUAGUGUAAGGACCUUAGGUAUAAAUUUUGUUGAUACCCUUACAUGCCAAGCUACCAAGAGUCGGGUUAUCAUUAACCUAACCAUUGGCCUGUGUAAAUUGAUUUCACAUGCACAAUGUUGUAGUAGAAGUCCAUAUUUUGAAUUUUAUUUUUGUAAAGGUAAGGAAAAUGAAGCAUUGUGUAAUUAUAAAAAUAACUUCAUUGGAAUUCACAAGGUUCACCCAAAAUGGAGCUACAUCUGUAUUCUAUCCUACAGUAGACUAUAUAGAUUGUACAAUAGUAAAUUGCAAAUACAAUUAAUAAGUCUUGUGCUUCCUUACUAAUAAUCCUUUGACAUGAACAUUGCAGCACUAAGGUCCUCUUGGGAAGACACCUUGCACCCAUGAGAGCACUAAGAGGAAGCAAGGCAGAGUCAUGGGUGCAAUGUCAUGACUUGUUGUUGCACCAAGAGAGGCUUGGUGAUGCCAUGGUGUUGCAGUAGCAAGAAUGUUGCCUUGGCAGGGACACGAUCUAGGGAUAGAUGCCAAGAAAGGCUUAGCACUCACAUGAGUUGCACAAAGAUGAAUGUAAUAGAGCAUCAGAGAGACGUCUUGGCAAGUAAAUGAAUGGAUCCAAGAGACAACAACAUGAGGAGUUUCAAAUGGAUAAGGAAUGACUCAAAGACAUUUGAAAGCUACAAGUUGGAUUCUAAUUACGAUUGCAAUUUGAGUUUGAGUAGGAGUUUAGAUUUUGAUUGUAAUUGUAGUAUGAGUUGGACUAGGAUUGCUUAUCCUUAGUCAAUAUAGGAGCGGUUCGUGUCACCCUAUGAAAAGAGUUUGAGUAGGGACUAGGAUUGCUUACUCCUAGUCAAAUAUGGAGUAGGUGGUGCCACACCUAUAAAAAAAAGGGACAACAUGAGAGAGAGAGAGAGAGAGAAAGAGAGAGUGAAUUCACUAAAGAUAUUGUGGGAGUUUUGCUUUGUUACGUCUUGUAUUAUUACUUAGAAUAGGAAUAAAAUACAAGUUGGGGCUAGAGCCCCAUAAUUAAUCUCGUGUGCCUUUGUGGUUAUUCUUUAUUUGUCAUCUCGUGUGGAUUGGAUUAGGUUGACUUAGAGGGCUUCUAAGCACCACCUUUGUGGGUUAUUAUUUAUUUUCCAUCUCUUGUGGAUUAGAUUAGGUUGACUUAGAGGGCUUCUGAGCACCACCUUUGUGGGUUAUUAUUUAUUUUCCAUCUAUUGUGGAUUAGAUUAGGUUGACUUAGAGGGCUUUUAAGCACCACAUUUGUGGGUUAUUCUUUAUUUUCCAUAUCGUGUGGGUUGGAUUAGGUUGACAAGGAGAAAAAUUAUGUGGGAAAUUUGUGUUGGGACACUUACCAUAACCAAGUAAAAUCUACCAAGUCCUUUGUAAUAUCUUCAACAAAUAUUUUAGACUAGUUCUUUCAGUUAGUGUAAAGGAGGAAGAAGUGGUAUUGAUUCUAGAAAUAGGGUGUGUGUAUUUGAACUACAAUCCUUAUGAUCCUUAGGUCUCUAAACCUUCGUGAUGGGCUCCCUGACAUUUCAUAGGUUGUGCUACACAUGCGUUUGAAAUUUAGAGUGCGUUUGACAGUGAUUCCGGGAAGUGUUUUUGGCCUUUCUUACACUUGAAAAUUUUUAUUUUUCAAGUAUUAGAAAUGCUACAAACACUUUUGAAAAUUACUGUCAAACACACUCUUAGGAGCGCACAUAUAUAGUAGAAAACUAGAAAUUGUGGUUUUUUUAGGAUUUACUGUAAUGUCAUUAGGAGGGUAGUAAGUUGAAAUUGAGUAUGAACAAAUAUUUCUUUCUUUGGGAUGUUCUUCUAGUAGGUGCUGAUGAAACUGUUCUUUCUACUGCCAAUGUCACAUAUCAGCCAGAAAUUGAAAAUUUCAGUCAAGGUGUCCUCUGUUUUAGUGGUGAGGAAAGCUAGAAAUUUUAAGGUGAAGUUUUGUUAAAAACCUUAAGUAGCUGGGAUAUCAGGCCUGUUUUGCUUGAAAAAAAAAGUUGCAAGAUAACUCAUAUGCCAAACAGGUUCUGAUAUUGUGAAUCUAUCGGCAGACAUCAGUAAUCUCAUCUUCUGAGAUGGAUGUUGGGGGUGCAUGUGGUGGUGGAGGGGCAAGGUUUCAUUUGGUUUAUUUUGUUGAUGGAUAUUGUCUAGCCACCUGCGCCAAGUUUGAGGGGUGGUGGGUUGUGAUGACCCUACAAUUACUAUUAAUUUCUUCAUCUUUUACCGAUUAAAGUGUCCGAACAGUCGAAGUUACCCUUAUGCAUGUCAACUUGAUCACUUACCUCUUCAAUGGAGUUUAUGCUGGUUCAUUUAGGAACUGAUUUUUAUUGUUAUGUAUUAUAUGCUGAUGUUUAGGUCUCUCCAUCAUCACUAUAUACAAAAAUUCUAGGUUGAUACUAUAGGUUGAGAUUUAUUUUUUAAAUAAAAAAUAAUAAAAAUAAAAAUUAUGGUGAUGUUUAGUUGUUUUAUGGAAAAUUUUAACAAGUAAAAGUUAUUUUUGGGCAAGUUUUCAAACAAAAAGAAAAGUAAAAGUUGUUUUGACAAAAACAUAUAGAAAAAAAAAUCAUAGAAAAUAAAUAAUUUCCCCAUAUUCUAACUUUUUUGAAUUUUUCUCAAUGGGCAAAGGAAUAUCAAAUCAAGUUUGAGUAGGAUUUCUUAAUUUUUAAAAUAACUUACAAUUAAAAAAUUUUGGUGUUUUCAUUUUUGGACAAUUUUUUAUUAAGCAAAUGGACUCUGAGUCAUGCAAGAGAUAUGGUUCAUUAACCGGUCGAACAAUUUUUUUAAAUUAAUUUAAAAGUCAAAUACAUAAUCAAUUUCACAAAAUUUAUAAACAAAAAUAGGUUUAGAGAAGAUCUACACAUAAUUUUACUUUUCUAAUUUUAUUUUAUUUUAUUUUUUGUUGGAAAAUAGUCUUCAAAUCAUGUAAGAUUUAAUAGGUUAAAUUUGUUAACAAUAAAUUUUAAAUUAUAAAAUAUAAUCUGGAACUCAAAAAUCAAUUCAAGUAAUGCUAAAAAAAAAUCAAAUUUGGUAUAGAAUGACUUUGUAAAUUUUUUUACAAAACAAAUGAAUUUUAAAUCAAGUGAGAUUUAAUGCAUUAGAUUUUUAUCAAAUAUAGUAAUUUUAAAAAUAAAUUUGGAACUCAACAAUAGACACAAUAAAUACCAAAAAAUAAUGAACCAAAAUUGGUUUGGAAUAACUCCACAACCUUUUUUUUUUUUUUUUGGUGCACACGAAUUUUCUUACUAGGUAUAUUGCUUUCAAAUUGAGAAAGAUUUACCAUUUAGAUUUUUUUUUAAUGAGUUUAAUGGUAUUUUAAAAUAAUUCAAAAUUUAAAAAAUUGACUAAUUAAUAUUAUAAAUUGAUAAACCAAGACUAUUUCAAAAUGCAUUGGGGGCUAAGGGGGUUGAAAAUAGGGACAAUGGGAUGGGUUUGGGACAUGACACUCAUAUCUCAUUUCCAUUCCAAUUACACAGUUAUCUCCCAUCCUUAUCCCAAACUUGUGUUGGAGCAAGUUGAUUUGUUCCCAUCUUUGUUGACGAAAUGACUAAUAACCUCAUCCCCUCCUUAUCUUAGAUGUACAUUUUGUCAAAUUUGAUCAGGUAUGAUUGAUCCAAGCCCUAACCCUAAUUGGUAAUGAGUGAAUACUACACCUAAUUGCAUUCUUCUUUCAUUGCAAAAUAAUGAGAUUAUAAUAAUCUAGCAAAUAAGAAAAAAUAGUAUGGAAGUUCAAAUUAACACCAUAACUAUCAAUAAUUUUAAGCUUAUAGAUGACUUAAAUGAUUAAAAACUAAUGCAAAAUCCUAAAAAAAAUAAAAAUCAUAUAAAGAAUUCACAAGAGAACAGAAUGAACAAAAACCAAAUAUGAACAUGGGUCAACAUUAGUUAUGGAUUUGGAUUCCUUUCAAGGCCAAUCUUUGAACCAAGACUUCAUCAAAUCAACUACUUCAAAGGCUUUUGUGUUCUUCUUGGGUUGUGCUCUCAAACAAAGACUUCGAGGUGAUGUUCUAGAUGAUUGAAUUACACAUAUUUAGGGUGGAGAGAUUGGAGAAGCUUGAAGAUGCCAACGAUGGGUACAAUUGAGUGGUCAAUAAGAACAAUGUAGCCUAUGACUAGUUUGAUGUCAUGGUACAAGAGUUUUAGGCAUUGAGGUUAAAGCAAGAGCAACAUGGAAUUGAUUUCGGAGUCUUUCAGUUAGUGUAAAGGAGGAAGAAGUGGUGUUGAUUCUAGAAAUAGGGUUUUAAGUGGUGCGUGAUUACUACUCAAAAAGUGCUAUUUGAUAGCCUUUAAUUAAUCCUUUUUAACACUUUUGAGUAGUAGUUUAGGCCUUUUAACUCAAUUGGCAUGUUAAGGAUCCUUUAAAGCAAUUUUGAUCACUUUGUGCAAGUUUUGGUGUUUUUGUUAGUAUUUUGAUCACCAAAGCAAGUCAAGAAUGAGGAGAACUAUGAGGAAUCAUGGGCAAAGCUUAGAAUUCAAUUGCCAAGAGUGAAUCCGGAUUGCAAGGAGAAAAAGCAAAGAGAAUCUGUCAUGAAGCCUAUUCUUGAUGACAGUCGUAGCAGCCACUUUUGGAGCACUUUCUGAAGUCCAAAUGAUGCAAGCUAUAUACCAUUUCAAAGAUCAGGAAGUCAACAAUCCAAUGCUUCAAACGGUGCGCGAUUCGGAGUUGAAACGAAGAAGUUGCAGCCAUUACAAGCCAGUCACUCUAAAGUGUUGCGGAAUCAGCCUUUUGUUGCGAGAAUUUCGCAGCACUUUUGUACAGUAAGGUGUUUCUCCUUCUGACGAUGCACGAACCAUGCCGCGAGAGGGAAGCUAGGAACUUCAAGAUGGAAGCCAACUUUGCAGCCUGGUGAAGAUAGCUUGGUCUUGCGAAAUAAUUUCGCAGCCCUCUUGGGUGUCUGCGAAAUUUCGCAGGCACCACUUUUUUCCUGCGAAAUGGCUCCGGAAGCCUCCCGAAGCUUGCUACCGACAUUGGGAGAUAUUUUCCAUUAGAUUUUUGUUGUCUAAAUUCCAAAAUACUCCUUGUAAACCACCAAUUACAUGAUUCCUUAGUUUUUAAGUUAGUAAAAAGACCAAAUAUCUAUGUAAUAAUUAGUUUUAUAUUAGUUUGCUAUAAAUACCUCUCGGGAGCAUGUUCUCAGAGAGGAGUUCCUUCUGUAACCAUUUUGGUAAGCAAGUAAAGUCUUUUCUUUCUACUGCCUUACCUUCUCACUUUGUAUUUUCAUUUUAUUUCUAAGUUAUGAAUUCUCUGAGGAGCUUUCCCCAGAGAAUGAGUAACUAAACCUCCAAUUCCUUGGAGCUAAGGUUGCCGGGGAAGGUUCCAAGUGCAAGAAUGCAAAGCUCUGUGGUUUUAGCUAGUAAUGAAGAGGAAGUGAAAUCCUUUAGUGAUUUCAAUGUUUUUAGUUAACUUAAAACACCUUGGAGUCACCUGGGCCAACACUUGGUAAGGCAAGUGAUUUCCAACCGUGGAAAUGCACUAGUUUACCCCUUGCGAGCCUCUGGUAGGUGACUUCAAGGUAGGAUUUUCUGGAAUUACCAACACUUGGUAAGCUUUUGGACUCCUAGGAGACAUCCAUUAGUUAUCUCUUGCGAGUUUGUGAAGGGGAAUCCAAGGUUAAAGAUCACCUUGAAUGGUAAGUGCUCGUGAGAGGCAUGAACCAUUGCAAGUUGUAUCAGUGAGAGAAUUAAAGUGAAAUCUAAUUGAAGGAGUCUCUGUACAUCACCGGUUAGAGAAUUGACUAUAAGUUGAAUCUCUAAUGCGAGGAAAUGAACCAUCUGACCGGAGCUAUGUCUUUUGCAUGAGGAACCACCCCAGUGAACCUAAAUCUCCAAGGAAUGCUUUUCUUCCUAAAUUAUUCCAAACUUCUGUUAAGUUAGUUAGUUUAAGUCUAAACCUUUACCAAUCAAACUUUGUGUUUUAUUUCUUAAGCUAACCGUGAAAUGAAACAAAACCAAUUCACUUGGAAUUGGUAUCCUUGAUUGCUUGCAAAUCAUUCCCAGUGAACGAUCCUUAGAGCCACUAUACUAUAGUAGCUUUGUAUUUGCUACCCUAGUGUAUGGUGUUAUAGGUAUAAAUUUUGUUGAUCACUUCCUCAAUCAAGGAACACCAGCUGAACACAAAUCAGCUGAGACACCAAUUGGGCAUGAGUCAAAUGGCGCCGUUGCCGGGGAAUGAGUGUCAAGAUCAUUGUGAUACCAUUUUUGAGCACUUGUGAUUUUCAUCACAAGUUGGUAAAGUUUCUUUCACUUUACUAAUUUUCAUUCUCUCUUUGUUUAUUUACAAUCUAAGUUUAUCUUUUUAAAAUUUAGUCUAGUUUAAUUUUGCUAUUGUAGCCUUGUUUCUCUUGUUGUCCUCUGUUCUUGUUGUCCUCUGUUUUCAUUUUAGUUGCAGCUGAAUACUAGUUGUGUAUGCCAAAGUGGAUACGAGACAUUGGAGGUAGGCUUAUUAAGUGUGAUACACCUCAGAGAGGAGAAUUGGAAGUAAUCUUGAAUAUCAUGGAGGCUGCACCUGAAGAUCAGCAUAGUCACCAAGGUCGUCAAGACAAUCUCAAUGAAUUCAGAUCAAUGAGGGACCGUAUGCAUCCACCUCGUAUGAGUGCACCAUCAUGUAUAGUGCCCCCUACAGAGCAACUAGUGAUCAGACCAUAUCUUGUUCCACUUCUACCAACUUUCCAUGGGAUGGAAAGUGAGAAUCCGUAUGCACACAUCAAGGAAUUUGAAGAUGUUUGUAAUACAUUCCAAGAGGGAGGAGCUUCAAUUGAUUUGAUGAGGCUUAAGUUAUUUCCUUUUAAUUUAAAGGAUAAGGCCAAAAUUUGGCUUAAUUCUUUAAGGCCAAGGAGUAUCCGCUCUUGGACUGAUUUACAAGCUGAAUUCCUCAAGAAAUUUUUUCCUACUCAUAGAACAAAUGGCUUGAAAAGGCAAAUUUCAAACUUCUCAGCUAAAGAGAAUGAGAAAUUCUAUGAGUGUUGGGAAAGAUACAUGGAAGCUAUAAAUGCUUGUCCUCACCAUGGCUUUGAUACUUGGCUACUGGUGAGUUAUUUUUAUGAUGGUAUGUCCUCCUCAAUGAAGCAACUCCUCGAGAAAAUGUGUGGAGAAGAUUUCAUGAGCAAAAAUCCAGAGGAAGCUAUGGAUUUCUUGAGCUAUGUAGCUGAUGUUUCAAGGGGAUGGGAUGAACCAACUAAAGGAGAAGUGGGAAAGAUGAAGUCUCAGUUGAAUGCUUACAAUGCAAAGGCUGGGAUGUAUACUUUAAAAGAGGAUGAUGACAUGAAAGCAAAGUUGGCAGCUAUGACAAGAAGAUUGGAGGAGCUGGAGCUGAAAAGAAUGCAUGAAGUGCAAGCUGUUGCUGAAGCACCAGUGCAAGUGAAGUUGUGUCCCAAUUGUCAAUCGUUUGAACAUUUGGUAGAGGAAUGCCCUGCAAUUUCAGCUGAAAGGGAAAUGUAUAGAGAUCAAGCAAAUGUUGUUGGACAAUUCAGGCCCAAUAACAAUGCUCCUUAUGGAAAUACCUACAAUUCAAGUUGGAGGAAUCAUCCAAAUUUUUCAUGGAAGGCCAGAGCAACUCAAUACCAACAGCCGGAUCCACCAUCUCAACAAUCUUCAAGUAUUGAACAAAUAAUAGCUAAUCUCAGCAAGGUAGUGGGAGAUUUUGUGGGAAAGCAAGAAGCCACCAAUGCUCGAGUGGAUCAAAGAAUGGACAGAGUGGAUCAAAGAAUGGACAGAAUGGAGAGUAUGUUGAACAAAAGAAUGGAUGGAAUGCAAAAUGAUAUGAAUCAAAAAUUUGAUAACAUCCAAUAUUCAAUUUCAAGGCUUACAAAUUUGAAUACACUGCAAGAAAAGGGAAGAUUUCCUUCUCAACCUAACCAAAAUCCCAAAGGUGUCCAUGAAGUGGAAAGCCAUGAGGGAGAAUCAUCACAGGUGAAAGAUGUGAAAGCUUUGAUCACUCUAAGGAGUGGUAAGAAAAUUGAGCAGCCAACACCCAAGCCACAUGUUGAGAAAGAAGAAGAGAUGAAGAAAGGGAAGGAAAUGGAAGAUAAAGGCAGUGAGAUCAGUGAAGAAAAGAAGGACUCUGAUGCAACAAUGAAAGUAAUUCCAGAGAAGGAGCUUCUGAAGGAAGAAAUGCUGAAGAAAUCAACUUUUCCACCUUUUCCUCAAGCAUUACAGGGGAAAAAGGGGGUUAGAAAUGCAGCUGAAAUCCUAGAAGUAUUGAGGCAAGUGAAAGUUAAUAUUCCACUGCUGGAUAUGAUCAAACAAGUUCCAACGUAUGCAAAAUUCCUAAAGGACUUGUGUACUAUCAAAAGAGGGUUGACUGUAAACAAGAAAGCCUUCUUGACUGAGCAAGUAAGUGCAAUCUUACAGUGUAAGUCUCCUUUGAAGUACAAAGACCCUGGAAGUCCUACCAUUUCAGUCAUGAUUGGAGGAAAGGUAGUGGAGAAAGCCUUGCUAGACUUGGGAGCAAGUGUGAAUUUGCUUCCAUAUUCUGUCUACAAGCAACUGGGACUUGGAGAGUUGAAGCCAACAGCAAUCACUUUGUCUCUGGCAGAUAGAUCAGUGAAAAUUCCAAGAGGGGUAAUUGAGGAUGUAUUGGUUCAAGUAGAUAAUUUCUACUAUCCUGUAGAUUUUGUUGUUCUUGAUACAGAUCCUACUGUAAAGGAAGCUAAUUUAGUUCCUAUCAUCCUUGGAAGGCCAUUUCUUGCAACUUCAAAUGCAAUCAUCAACUGUAGAAAUGGGCUUAUGCAACUCACUUUUGGUAACAUGACACUGGAUCUAAAUAUUUUCUAUAUGUCUAAAAAGCAAAUCACUCCAGAAGAAGAAGAGGGUCCAGAAGAGCUAUGUAUUAUUGAUACUUUGGUGGAGGAGCACUGCAAUCAACAUAUGCAAGAUAAGUUGAAUGAAAGUUUUGUGGAUAUUGAGGAAGGUUUUUCUGAAUCUCCUAAUGGGCUUGCUACUCUACAAAGUUGGAGAAAGAUAGAAGGAAUUCUACCUUUGUUCAAUGAAGAAGAGGAGGCAGCUGUUGAAAAAGAAAUUCCAAAACUCAAUCUGAAGCCUUUACCUAUGGAGCUGAAAUAUACAUAUCUUGAAGAAAAUAAUCAAUGUCCUGUCGUAAUAUCUUCAUCUCAAACCAAGUCUCAAGUGAAGGAUGCAAGCUUCAAAUGGGAUCCGGGCAAACUGAAUCAGGAAGGGCAAAAAGUUUUGAUGUAUGACACAAGACUCCAUAUCUUUCCUGGGAAGCUCAAGUCAAGGUGGAUUGGUCCAUUUGUUAUUCACCGAGUAUAUUCCAAUGGAGUGGUGGACUUAUUGAAUUCCAAUGGCAAGGACAGCUUUAGAGUCAAUGGAUAUCGUCUUAAGCCGUUCAUGGAGUCAUUCAAAUCAGAAAAGGAGGCAAUCAACCUCCUUGAACCUCAAAAAGCCUAAGUGAAAUGGGUUUGCUGGACGUGGUUUUACCACAGUCCAAAAAUUUUUGUAAAUUUUGUAAAUUUUCAAGUUGUUUCCAUGCUUUUAAUCUUAGUUUUUGAUUUUAAAUCAUGUUUUUAGGUGUGUUUUAAUCGUUUUAUAUGAUCCCAGGCGGAAGAAAUUUCAAGGGGAUUGAAAAGAAAAAAAUCGGGUCGAAAUUGGAGCCGAAACAGAGCAAAAACAGGGGAAAAACAGAGCUCUGCGAAAUUUCGCAGGGUGAAGGAAACUUCUGCGAAAUUGGCAUUUUGCUGCCAAACCAUUCCGCAGCACUGUAGAAGCCUCUGCGAGUGUAUUUCGCAAUUGCGAAAGUGGAUUUGGCACACGAGUGCCACUUCGCAGCACAGUGACAUCAAUUUCGCAGCUGCGAAACUCACUGCGAAGUUGCUGCGAAAAUGGCAAGUUGCUGCGAAAUUGGCGUUUUGUUGCGAAACGUAAUCUGACCCCUGGGCUUCCGUUUUUCCUAUUUAUACCUGUCAAAAGUGCUGCGAAAAAGGUUUCAAAAAUUAGAGCACCAUUCUCGCAGCCCUUUCAUCUUCUUCGCCAAGCCACGCCGUCCGUUUCUCCGGUCGUCUUCUCCGUUUAGCAGCGCCGGCCAAAGAUCGAUAGCCCAAAAAUGGCACGAACGCGAGGGGCAAAGUCUUCAUCCCCUUCGAACCGCAAAAGGAGUCUGCGAAAGGAGCCAAGUUCAGGCUCUGUUCCAGAACCUGCUCCAAAGCCUUCGCCGUCGAGACCACAACCUUCUCCAGUGAAGCCGGCGCCACCAAAGCCGCCGGCAAGGCGAUAUUUAACCAGGUCAGGUGGUCAGCCAUUGAAGAAGAAAGCCAGAGUUGAGAGCUCUGAACCAAUCGAUUUGACUGAGCAAUCCCCUGAGAAAUCACCAAAUCCUUCACCGGUACAAAUUCCAGUGCCAUCACCGGUUCCCUCGCCAAUUCCCUCACCAGAAGCAACUCCAAUUCCAUCGCCGGUACCAUCUCCGGCACCCCAAGAAAAAGCUCAGGAGCCUCAAGCGCCAAUUCCAGAGCCCCAAAUUGCAGCUGAAGCACCUCUGGAAGAAGUGAUCCGAAGGCCAAUGCUGCCUCAGCCCCCAAUCGAAGGAAACCUGGAUUGCCGAACUCGGGCAUUCCAUUCUGAGCUUUGCUUCGAUUUAACAGCAUUCAGAGUGAGGCCAGAGCUUGCCCAAUCCUUCCAACUGCUGAGGAGAUAUCAUAUGGAGCAUCUGCUAGCUCCAAGGGAUUUUUUCUAUCCCCGGGUAGUCACGGAUUUCUACCAAACCAUGACAACCAAAGAAGUAAGAAAUCCAACUCUGAUUCAUUUCAUAAUUGAUGGAAGGCAUGGUAUUUUGGGAGCAAGACAUAUUGCUGAAGCCCUGCAAAUUCCUUUUGAGCCAACUCAAUUCGACAAUUUUAAAGCUUGGACAAAUCCUACUGAGUUAGAGAUGGUUAGCACACUAACCAGAGGAGCUGCAAAUCGAUCGCAUUUGUUGAGGGGGGAGCUACCUCCAGUUAUGUUUUUGAUUGAUGCCUUUUUGAGGCAUAAUAUCUAUCCCCUGCAGCAUUGGACCCAAAGAAGGGGAAUUCUCCUAGAAGCCUUGUACAAAAUGUCUGAAGGAUUCUUCUUUGGGCCUCAUCAUCUGAUCAUGGCAGCCCUUCUAUACUUUGAGGAGAAGGUUCACAAGAAGAAGCUUCAAAGAGCAGAUUGCAUUCCACUCCUCUUCCCAAGGCUGCUAUGCCAAGUUUUGGAGCAUCUCGGAUACCCCUCUGAGCCUCAGCAGGAAAGAAAGAGAAUAUGCCGUGAGCCUUUUACCCUUGAUAAAUGGAAUAAUAUGACGGCCUACAAAAUUGAUCAGCCUGGGCAGCCUCAGCCAGCAGCAAGGAGAGUCUCCCCAAGACAUAUACCUGAAGGUAUAACACUUGCUACUCCUGCCAUCCCUCGAGCUCCACCAGCUGCACCUGCUCCAUCACAGCCAUCCACAUCAGCUGAGCCGAGGAUGGCCAUCCCUAUAUCCGAAUAUCGAGAGCUGUGCCGUGCAUUGGAGACUCUUACAGCUUCUCAGAGCAAUCUUGCUCAGGAGUUGGCAGCCAUUAAAGCAUGCCAGGAGCAGAUGUUAGCCUCUCAGACUCAACAAGCUGCCAUCCUAAGGCAGCUUCAAGUCCAUUUCGAUCUGCCACAAGCUGUAGAGCCCUCUAUUCCUACUCCACCAGAGCCACACUCUCAGCCUUCAGAGUCUCAUCCUCCAGAACCCGAAGCACCAGCUGAUCCACCUACUGAGGAGGCAGAUCCUUCUGCCUAGCACCAUCACCCCCCUCAUCAGACAUUAUAUAUAUAUUUGCUGUUUAUGUUUUUAUGCAUGUUUGUUUUGUUUUAGUUGAAAAGAAAUCCCAGUAUUUUGGUACUAUAUAUGGGAUUCCUUGUGUUACUUGUCUUUAGUAUUGUAAUCACAUGAACUCAAAGUAAUACAAGUUGACUAUUUCUUGUUAAAAGUUAGCAUUAAAGUUUCCUUAUUUCCUUUUCUCACAUAUUCUAUUCUUUUUGAAACAUGUGGUUUUCCCCAAUCAAUAUUCGAAUUUGAUAUCAGCAUGGAGGUACCACUUCCUCCCUUUUAUUACAGUCACUCAAAUCACAUUGAGGACAAUGCUCAGUUCGGUUGGGGGGUAUGAGGAAGGAAGUAUUCUAAACCUUUUUGGUAUUGCAAUUAUAUUGGUUAAUUAGUUGUAGAUUUUACUUUUUACUAGUGUUACUCUAUUCUCCAUGAAUUUUGAGGAAAAAUUUUCAAAUUAAACCAAGAGAAAUUGAACUGUUGUUUUUCACUUGACUUAGAGUAUGGAUUAUGCUUACUAAAGUGGUUCAAUUGUUGAAACUUCUACUGAAAUUGAAUUGAGUUCUUCCACUUUAAGCUAUCCACACACUGUGCACAUUAGUUUCCGAUUAUAAGAUGAAAAGCUAUUUCCCUCUUGACUUAGUAUAUUUUUGGGACUUGGUAUAUUUGACCUCAUUUGAUAAAAAUUGAAACACCCUGCAAAAGGCCAAUGAGCCUUUGAAAUAAAGAAAGUUGUUUGCUUGCCUUGAAACCCGAGCAAGGUCUGAGGGGUAUAUGGUGAAAAUCUUUAAAGCCUGGUGCCCUAAGCCUUAAUUGGUUGGGAGUCACCGACCUCAAUGCUCGUUACAAGGGUGAAUAGGUAGAGUUAGCAUAUGGUAGAUGCUUGGGUAUUAGAAAUUCAUUCUUAAAAGUCCGGGGAAAAAUCCGAGGAGUUAGUGGUUGAAAGAUCCUUAAAACUUGGUGCCCUAAACCUUAAUUGGUUGGGAGUCAUCGAUGGACCCCCAUUACAUGGACAAGUCAGAAAGAGUACCCCAUAAAGCUACCUUAAAAAAAAAAAAAAAAAAAAAAAAAAAAAAAAAGAUGAAAGUGUGUUCUUUUCUUAUUGAUUUUGGUCAGUUUGCUAAAGUGUUGAAAAGAGAUAGGUUGGGGGGUGAGAUUAGUAGCAUAUUAUUCUCGGAACCUAAGGAACCAAUACACAUAGAUUUUUGUGGAAGAUUGAAGUUUAGUUCUUAGAAAAUGAAAUGAUUUUAAAACUUCAGUUUGCAUAAUGCACUCCCUUGAUUGACAGUGUUUAGCAUAGGUGUUAUGACUCUUGUUGAGAUUUGGGUUUGUAUUUCUUUAAUGAUUCAUGUGAGAAAUAGAUCAUCAUGCCACUUGAGAAUUAUUUUCCUUUUAGCAUGAUGUUGUAAAUUUUAGAUUAGUUUGCUAUUUAUUUUUUAUUUUCUCUCCUAUAUUGCUAAGGGACUAGCAAUAUGUCGGUUGGGGGGAGUGAUUACUACUCAAAAAGUGCUAUUUGAUAGCCUUUAAUUAAUCCUUUUUAACACUUUUGAGUAGUAGUUUAGGCCUUUUAACUCAAUUGGCAUGUUAAGGAUCCUUUAAAGCAAUUUUGAUCACUUUGUGCAAGUUUUGGUGUUUUUGUUAGUAUUUUGAUCACCAAAGCAAGUCAAGAAUGAGGAGAACUAUGAGGAAUCAUGGGCAAAGCUUAGAAUUCAAUUGCCAAGAGUGAAUCCGGAUUGCAAGGAGAAAAAGCAAAGAGAAUCUGUCAUGAAGCCUAUUCUUGAUGACAGUCGUAGCAGCCACUUUUGGAGCACUUUCUGAAGUCCAAAUGAUGCAAGCUAUAUACCAUUUCAAAGCUCAGGAAGUCAACAAUCCAAUGCUUCAAACGGUGCGCGAUUCGGAGUUGAAACGAAGAAGUUGCAGCCAUUACAAGCCAGUCACUCUAAAGUGUUGCGGAAUCAGCCUUUUGUUGCGAGAAUUUCGCAGCACUUUUGUACAGUAAGGUGUUUCUCCUUCUGACGAUGCACGAACCAUGCCGCGAGAGGGAAGCUAGGAACUUCAAGAUGGAAGCCAACUUUGCAGCCUGGUGAAGAUAGCUUGGUCUUGCGAAAUAAUUUCGCAGCCCUCUUGGGUGUCUGCGAAAUUUCGCAGGCACCACUUUUUUCCUGCGAAAUGGCUCCGGAAGCCUCCCGAAGCUUGCUACCGACAUUGGGAGAUAUUUUCCAUUAGAUUUUUGUUGUCUAAAUUCCAAAAUACUCCUUGUAAACCACCAAUUACAUGAUUCCUUAGUUUUUAAGUUAGUAAAAAGACCAAAUAUCUAUGUAAUAAUUAGUUUUAUAUUAGUUUGCUAUAAAUACCUCUCGGGAGCAUGUUCUCAGAGAGGAGUUCCUUCUGUAACCAUUUUGGUAAGCAAGUAAAGUCUUUUCUUUCUACUGCCUUACCUUCUCACUUUGUAUUUUCAUUUUAUUUCUAAGUUAUGAAUUCUCUGAGGAGCUUUCCCCAGAGAAUGAGUAACUAAACCUCCAAUUCCUUGGAGCUAAGGUUGCCGGGGAAGGUUCCAAGUGCAAGAAUGCAAAGCUCUGUGGUUUUAGCUAGUAAUGAAGAGGAAGUGAAAUCCUUUAGUGAUUUCAAUGUUUUUAGUUAACUUAAAACACCUUGGAGUCACCUGGGCCAACACUUGGUAAGGCAAGUGAUUUCCAACCGUGGAAAUGCACUAGUUUACCCCUUGCGAGCCUCUGGUAGGUGACUUCAAGGUAGGAUUUUCUGGAAUUACCAACACUUGGUAAGCUUUUGGACUCCUAGGAGACAUCCAUUAGUUAUCUCUUGCGAGUUUGUGAAGGGGAAUCCAAGGUUAAAGAUCACCUUGAAUGGUAAGUGCUCGUGAGAGGCAUGAACCAUUGCAAGUUGUAUCAGUGAGAGAAUUAAAGUGAAAUCUAAUUGAAGGAGUCUCUGUACAUCACCGGUUAGAGAAUUGACUAUAAGUUGAAUCUCUAAUGCGAGGAAAUGAACCAUCUGACCGGAGCUAUGUCUUUUGCAUGAGGAACCACCCCAGUGAACCUAAAUCUCCAAGGAAUGCUUUUCUUCCUAAAUUAUUCCAAACUUCUGUUAAGUUAGUUAGUUUAAGUCUAAACCUUUACCAAUCAAACUUUGUGUUUUAUUCCUUAAGCUAACCGUGAAAUGAAACAAAACCAAUUCACUUGGAAUUGGUAUCCUUGAUUGCUUGCAAAUCAUUCCCAGUGAACGAUCCUUAGAGCCACUAUACUAUAGUAGCUUUGUAUUUGCUACCCUAGUGUAUGGUGUUAUAGGUAUAAAUUUUGUUGAUCACUUCCUCAAUCAAGGAACACCAGCUGAACACAAAUCAGCUGAGACACCAAUUGGGCAUGAGUCAGUGCGUUAGAGGAUCAAGAAGAAGAAAAAGAAGGAACUGUUGGAAUUAGUAUGAGUGUGAAGAGAAAAGUAUAUAAAUAAGGGGAAGUAAAAGCAAAGUUCAAAAAGCUAUAUUUUUUUAUUGUUGGUGUAUGGUUGCAUGAUUAUCCCUAUAAAUAAUAGGAGUUUUUUGGUAUUCUACUAGUAGUUGAAGCAUAAUUUCAUAAAUUAAUAUUUAGAGCGGGGUGGGGUGAGUUGUGACAAAAUUCAUACCCGUCCCAAACCUUGGUUCAGAUUUUUAAAAUAUUCUCAAACUUAUCAUAUACCCAACUUUUAUAUUUCAUACUUGUCCUAAUAGAGGCACGUUAGGCCGGGUUACUUGAGUAACCUACAUAAUUGUCAUCCCUAGUUGAAAUACACUUUUUGGCAGUGGCCACCAACUGAGCUAGAAGCUUGAUUGAUUGACCUACAAGAUUAGUUCUCAUCAUUUUAAAAAAAGUUCUGGCUUUGGUUGUGAGUGCAAUUGAAUCUAAACUGGCAUUUGCUUAAUGCAUCUACUUCAAUCCUAAACUUCUUACUUCUUAAGCCUCAAUUGUUGUUAGGAUUUUGGAAAACCCAUUUCCUUAAAUUGUAAAUUUAAGAUAAAAUAAAAUAAAAGUGAGACAUUUCUUGAUUGAAUAUUGUUAAAGGUCCCUUGGCAUUAAGACUUGGUUGAAGCCUUGGAAGAUUAGUGGAACUCUCAACAUGUGUUUGAAUCUUGAGGAGAGUGGAUGUAAGCCAAAAUUUUGUCAAACCAUUAUACAAAUUGAGUUUGAAUCCUCAUUUCUUGAUUUCUUAUUUAUUUGCUUUUUCUUAUUAUUACUUGAAUUGUCAUUUGCAUUCAUUAAUGUUAAAAUUGGUUAUAAUUAACCAACACUAAUUCUCUUUCCCCUUCCCUUUCUUGGGUGUAAACCUAGGUUGGAUUAACUAGAUAAAUCUAUUAAGAUGGUAAAAGAAUAAUUAUUCUUAACAUACAUAAGAUCAUCUUCAAUCAAAUGACUCAUUGGCUAAUAUGUUGAAUUUGCUUAUUACUUGCAACUCAAAAUUGUGUUCUAGUUGUGUCAAGUCCCCAGUGUAUGGACAUUAAAUUUGUAGUACGUGAUGAGUAAUUAGAUGGUCCAACUCCAAGAAAGUGAUUGAAAAGUAGUUCAAGAAAGGUGCAAAAGGGAAUUGUUUUGGUAUUUUCGUUUUUAUUCUUGAAGGUGGCAGAGCUAAAAUUUGAGAAAUCAAGCAAAACAUACUGAAAUUACAUUGAAAGAAAGAAGAUGGGAGUUAAUGUCUUGCAGUACAUGAUAAGGACUUCAUGCAUGUAGUGUGACCCAUGUCUUGGACUGAUGCCAACUCACGGUUACACUUAUACCCUUGGUUCUCUCUUUACUACCUUGGCUAACCUAGAUCAGGCUAUGAGAUAGGCUCCUCACCACACCAUUACUUGCCCAUUAAUUAGAGACAUUUUCAAGCAAUGAGGUAACAUGGUGACACCAAGAGGGUCUAUUCCUCGCCCGGAACAAGUCUAGACUUGGUCUCAAAAAAAUGGAGAAAAAUGAGGUGUCGUUAUGUAGAAAUACAACAACCAUGCCUUCCUCAUUACUUAGAUUCAGAAUGUGAAGGUGAAAUUGAGAAACAGAAACUCUUGAAACCAAAAUGAAAAUUGAUACUUUUACGAAGAAUUACAACAACAUUAGAGGAAGACUACAUUCUUCCUCUUUAUUCCUACAUUUCUACACUACUUCUACUCCACUCCAUAUUUCUACAUACAUCUUUAAUCAGUCUUCCCUCCUUUAUAUAGAGCCAUCUUCACACAAAUUUCGCAAGGUAGAAAAGAGGAAUGAAACUUGGAGCAAGGUUCGACUACUGGUUGUAGCUUGUCAAGGCUGGAAGUGAACUUUUCUUGGCUUUCUGGGCAUGGGUAGUAACUUGUGGGUUCCUGUUUGGCAUAAAAAUGGCUAGAACAUGUGGCACUAUCUUGUUGGAUGAUGUGUCAAGCAUGUGGCAGCCAUCUAGUGGCGAUUAUGUCAAUUUUGGGAUGGAGAGUUGGCAUCCAAUUGCAAAGAAAUAUGACGUCUACCAACAUGCAAUGUAAACCUAUGUAGAUCAUAUGAAGAUAGAGAGGAAAAAUAUAGAAAUGGAUAUAUACCUAGAACUAGCUUUUUAUUAAAUGAAACGGAGAGACAACAAUGAAGGAAAAUAAAAUUUUUUGGCUUAUAUCAAAGAGUUCACAUUGUGUUACCCUAGGUUUUCUUAAAACUUACUUUUAUGAUAACAAAAAAGAAAAAACCAUUAUUGUUUAAUCCUUUGUUUUAAACGCAUGUAAGGUGUAAUUAAGUUAGUUCAAUGCAUUAAUUUAAGAAACUUGACCUAUCAAAAGUACAAAAUUAGAUGAAAUCCAUUUCAAUGGUUAAAAUGAUCAAAAUCAAACUUUUUCUAAGUAUUUUUUAAAAGCAUCAAUAGUGAAAGACAAUUUUAUAUUUAGUCGGAGUUUGGACAAAACUGAAAAACACACAAAAUCCAAGCGACCAUCUCUAGCUUGGAUGGUCGCUUGAUCCCACCUAGAGAUGUGCAUGAGUAAAAGGAUUUGAAAAUGGAAAUUGACUAUGUAGUCGAUCAAUUAACUUUGCAACAUCAUAUGCAAUCCUAAUUGCUAGUCAUCUAAUCAAUUAGGUAGUCAAUCAACAGGCCAAAAAUAUGUUUAUAAUGACUAUUUUGUACAAAAACCACCUGUAUAGUUAAAUAUAAUGCAUUUCAUUUAUAAAUCUUCUAAUUCUUGAAUAACGAUCCUAUCAUCCUUUGAAAGUUUUUAUUACACUUUUUUUACUUUUGUUCUAAAACUUACACAUCACCCUUAAUUGUACCAUGAGAACCUAGCUAUUUUUUAUUUUUUUUUUUGUAAUUCAUCAAAGUUAGCUUUUGUAUUCAUUGUUGUAUUAUUUUUAGUAUAACUUAGAAAGCUAGUGUUUUCAAGUGAGUAAAAUUAACUUGUAAAUAUUGUAAAGAUUCAUCGACAUGUAUCUUAAACUAAGUGUACAAGUUAAAACAUUUGCUAGUAGAUUUUCUCAAAAUUUAGAAUAGAGCUUGAGACUAUUGAAAUAGGUGGGGUUGCACCAAACCACAUCACAUCGUUGUUUGCACCUUUUUUCACUCUCUUUUACUUAGUUGCUCUAUAUUUGUUGUCUAGUAAUAUCCUAUAGGCUUGAUGGGUUAGGGAGCAUCCCUUUGUGAAAAAAUUUUAUUCAAUCCUUAGUUGUAUCACGCAUAUAUAAAAUGCCUCAUUGUUUUAAUGGUAUUCAGUCGUGGCAUCACAGAUAUGGGCAUCUAAAUUUUAAAAGUUUGAAACUUUUAUCUAAAGAAAAUAUGGUGCUUUGCCUUUUUGUAAAGCAUGUUGAUGAAAUCCAUGAGAAUUGUGUACUUGGGAAGCAACACCGAGAUGACUUUUUUUUUUUUUUUAUAAUAUUGUUUGUCCAAAUUCCCUACAAAUUAGGCCACCAGAUGUUCAUAAUUCUCCCUUCUUGAAUUUGAAAACUCGGACAAUUGGACAAUGCGACACCUAAGUCCGGUUUCUAAAUGCUAAAGUGAAAGGGUAGGUAUGGACCAUUGAAAUGUGAUCACAACUUUUCUCUGUAGCCAUGUUGUCUCUUUUUUCUUUUGCAUGAUUUUCUUACCUUAACAGAAUCAUAGACUUGUUUAGUCUCUAAAUGGGAUUAAUUUCAUCCAGCUUUAAGCUACUAUAUUAUAUCUAGGUGGAGGACUUUUAAGAGUGCAACCGACAUAGAGCACAUGGAAGUGGGUAUAUGGGACAUGAAAUUUCUUCUUAUAAAGAUUGCAUGAUUUUUAUAUUAGAGUUGUUGAGGCGCUAUGUAUUUAGCUUGUUUUGCAGUUAAAUUAAUUGGAUAAGUAGACAUUGGCGUUUCUAAAUCUACUGUGAAGUGCUUCAUGUACGUGUGAAGUAUUAGAAAUUUCUUUCUUGGCAACUUGUUUUUCUUUGCGGUCUACUGAUAGGUUUGACUAAAAUUAUAUUCCCUGUCAUGCUAAUUAAUUUUCACGUGCAUGCUCAAAAGAAAAGUAUGACCUUAGUGCACCAAAAUCACUUUGAUUAAUUUGUGAUAGGUUUUUGUGCAUCAUGACAUUAGCCUUAUUCAUUUAGAUAAUGUUUAGUUUUUAGAAAGUAUUAAGAAAAGGAAAAUAAAUAUUAAGAAAAAUAUUCUUAUAUUUGAUUGUAUUAUGAAAAAUAUCAUAAAAAAAUCAAAUAUAAUUUAAAUUAAUUAAUAAUUUAUACAUUUUCAAAUUAUUUAAUCUUUAUAUUGAAGAUAUAAUAUAAAUGAAAUGAGUUUUAAGUAUUAUAUAAAAGUGAUUUAUUGAUCUUACAUAUAUAUAUUUCUUUUUUUUUUCCUUCUAUUUUUUCUCUUUAUUUUAUUUUCCUUAUGUUUUCCUCAACAUUUUCCGGAACCAAACAUAGCCUUAGGAAAUCCACAAUUACCUUCAACUGAGUAGAUUCUGUUGUUUUAGCAAUGUUAGGCUGCUAACUUGUGUUGGUACGAACCUAUUAAGCCUAAAGAUGUAAUUAGUUAGGAUAUUCUUUUCCCUCUAGUCUUGUAGCUCCACGUGUACAGUUGGUUAGGACCUCAUUGUAUAUAAUGCUUGCCCUGUUAUUGUAGAAGACAACAAAGAUAAAUAAUAUUAACAUUUUUCCUCUCAUCUCUCUCUGUUUCCCUCUGUUUUCAUCUCCUCUCUCAUCUUGGUAUCAGAGCCUCCAUGGCUUCUUUCAAAGAAACCUCCGAAUCACCUUCUGCUAGCAUUGUUAAUGUGCAAAACCCAUUAUCUCAAUCAAACAACCUUCCUUCACCAGUAGCCACACCCUCUUUUUCUUUCUCGUCUAUGAAUCAACCUCUCACAGUGAAGCUGGAUAAUGGGAACUACCUCAUAUGGAAGAAUUAGCUUCUAAAUGUCAUCAUUGCUAACGGACUCGAUGAUUUCAUUGACGGAUCUCGACCCUGCCCUCCUCGAUUUCUCGAUCUGCAACAACAAACCCUCAAUCCAGAGUACUCAGCUUGGCAGAGAUACAAUCGACUUCUGAUGAGUUGGCUGUACGCAUCCUUGUCCAAAGAUAUAAUGGCUCAGAUUGUUGGGUAUUCAACAGCUAUGGAGAUUUGGAAUGCCCUUAAUCAGAUUUACUCUGCCUCUUCUAUGGCGCGGUUUACUGAGCUUCGCACCAAGCUUCAAACGCUCAAGAAAGAUGGACUCUCAGUUGGUGAAUAUAUUCAAAGGCUCAAAUCCAUUUGCAAUAGUCUUGCAGCAAUAGGAGAACCAGUUUCUGAGAAAGACCAUCUUAUCUAUUUGUUCAAUGGAUUAGAUUGUGAGUAUUAUUCUUUUGUUACCUCCAUUCAAAAUCGAUCUGACCAACCAACUAUUGACAAAAUCCAUAGCCUAUUGCUUAGCUAUGACUUCCGGCUUGAACAACAAAACUCUGUUUCUCUCCAUUCUGCCCAAGUCCAUAUGGCUCAUCUGAACAAGAAACCUUAUAAAUCAACUCCUCAACCUACAUUCAAUCAUAUUCACAUUCAACCUAGAUACUCUUCUCCACCUUUUAAGCCAACCACUAGUCAAUAUCAACCCAACAUUUUGGGCAAACCACAACCACAACCAUGACAGCCUCAACCUCAAUGGAAACCACAUUUUUCAAUCUAAAAUCAAAAGCCUCAGCGCCAAAUUUGUGGUAAAUUUGGACACACUGCUCUUAUUUGCUUCCAUCACACAAAUUUGAACUAUUCACCCCAACCUUCUCCUAAAUCUUUCAAUACUGUUCUCACCACAAAUUCCCAGCUCCCUAAUCCUCCAAAAUUUUCUUACCCUACAAUGGCUCAUCCUGCUGCUACGCAUAACACGGUUCCCGAUACAAAUUGGUACAUGGACUCAGGUGCUACACAUCACUUUACUCUGGACAUCAACGUGCUUGACACUGUGACACCAUUUAGUGGUUCAGAACAGGUGACAGUUGGGAAUGGUAAGCAACUCUGUAUCUCACAUCUUGGUACUGCAAAACUACCAUCUUCGUAUUCUCCUCCUGUUCUACAUCAGGUAUAUCACACUCCAAAAAUUUCAAAUAAUCUUAUUAGUGUUAAAAAAUUGUGUUCUGAUAAUAAAGUUUUUGUUGAAUUUUAUGCCACUCAUUUUCUUGUCAAGGAUCAGGUUUCGAAGAGAGUUCUCCUUUAGGGUCAACUUGAUAAUGGCUUAUACAAAGUUCAGUCGUCAUGCUCUCCUUCUGCUGUUUCCUUUCCUCCUCAAGUUUUCAUAGCCAACAUCAAGUAUCCAAAUCUGUGGCACAAGAGACUAGGCCACCCAGCUUUAUCUGUUGUUAAUCAAAUCUUGGAUUCUUGUAACAUUGCUCGAACACAGAAAAUUUGUUUUAAUUUUUUAAAUUCUUGUCAAUUAGCAAAGAGCCACAGGCUUCCUUUUUCUCUGUCUCCAUCCAUUGCAGAAAAACCUUUUGAGUUAAUUCAUACAGACCUAUGGGGUCUUUCGCUCGUUCGCUCUAUUUCUGGUGCUCUUUAUUUUUUACUUUUCAUUGAUGAUCAUACUCGUUUUACUUGGUUUUAUUUGCUCAAAACAAAAGAUGAAGCAUAUCCUACUUUUCUCAAGUUUCAAGCUCUCAUUGAAAAUCAAUUUAAUACCAAGAUUAAGGCUGUCCAAUCUGAUUGGGGAGGUGAGUUUCGAUCUCUCUCCAUACCGUUUUCAAAUAUGGGCAUUGUCUAUUGUUUAUCGUGUCCAUACACCUCACAACAGAAUGGGCGAGUUGAGCGAAAAAAUCGCCAUGCGAUUGUCCUUUCUUGCUUGCUCUAUGCCCUUAUCUUAUUGGCCUUAUGCCUUUCAAACUGCCACUUACCUUAUUAAUCGUCUCUCUACCCCUGUGCUGCAUCAUCAAUCCUCUUACUUCGCACUCUAUCACAAACUCCCAACUUAUACUCAUCUUAAGGUCUUUGGUUCCUCUUGUUUUCCGUAUUUGCACCCUUAUAAUACCCAUAAACUCCAAUACAGGUCACUAGAGUGUGCUUUUCUUGGUUACAGUUCACACCACAAAGGUUAUCUAUGUCUUGACAUUCAUUCUAGCAGGGUGUAUAUUUCUCGCCAUGUGAUUUUUAAUGAAGAUUCUUUUCCAUUCAAGAAUUUGAAAUCUUCUCUCUCUCAGUCUAUUUCUUCUUCCUCUUCUUUAUAAGUUCCUCUGUUCAUUCUCUUGCCUCCCCUUUCCCCAUCUCCUCUUAUUUCUUCAUCUAUACCUCAUUCUUUUCCCUCUUCUUCUUCUACCUCUAGUACUUGUUCCCCUCUCGUUGCUCCUACCUCUCUUCCUUCCUCUUCACACUCUGUGUCUCCAUCUAUUCCACCUCCUUCUCCACCUUCUCCGAGUGUGGACCUGCUUGCACCUUGUGUGAAUACAAAUUUACAUACUUCUUCUCGCACUCACAAUAUUCAUCCUAUGGUGACUAGAUCUAAGGUUUGUAUCUAUAAACCUAAGUUGUUGUUGAGUGUCUCCAUAGGUUCUCUCACUAAGCCUACUUCCUUUCUUCAAGCUAUUAAAGAUCCUUCAUGGAAGCAAUCCAUGGAAUUCGAGUUUGCUACCCUUCAACACAACAAGACCUGGCAUUUGGUUCCUUCACCUUCCUCAGGCGAAGUAAUCGGUUGUAAAUGGGUCUAUAAGCUAAAGCUUCAGCCUGAUGGCUAAAUUGAGAGAUACAGCCUGCUUAGUAGCUAAGGGUAUCAUCAAAUUGAAGUAUGGACUACUUCGAAACAUUCAGCCUGAUNNNNNNNNNNNNNNNNNNNNNNNNNNNNNNNNNNNNNNNNNNNNNNNNNNNNNNNNNNNNNNNNNNNNNNNNNNNNNNNNNNNNNNNNNNNNNNNNNNNNAGCUUCAGCCUGAUGGCUAAAUUGAGAGAUACAAGGCCUGCUUAGUAGCUAAGGGUUAUCAUCAAAUUGAAGGUAUUGACUACUUCGAAACAUUCAGCCUGAUUGUCAAGCUUUCUACUAUCUGUAUUGUGCUCAGUCUUACUUUUUCCCAGAAUUGGUGUAUUAGACAGCUGGAUGUUCAUAAUGCCUUCUUACAUGGUGACUUAGCUAAAGACGUUUUCAUGGAACAACUGCCUGGAUUUGUUGAUCCUCUCUAUCCUACUCAUGUCUGCAAGUUGGAUAAGUCUCUCUACUGUCUUAAAUAGUCACCUCGGGCUUGGUAUACUAAGCUGAGUACUUCUCGCUACACUUGGGAUUUGUUACUUCUAAGAAUGACUCUUCCUUAUUUAUUUGUCAUUCGUCUCAUGGGUUACUUCUUGUUCUUGUCUAUGUGGAUGAUAUAAUCGUCAUUGGGAGCCACUCUCCUCAGGUUACUCACCUUAUCCAACAGUUGCAUCAUUAGCUUUCUUUAAAGGAUCUUGGUCCUUUACAUUAUUUUCUGGGCUUGGAGGUUCAUCACACCCCUACUGGUAUUCACCUCAGCCAAGCAAAGUAUAUCACUGAUCUCCUUACCCGGGCGGCUAUGUUGGAUGCCAAGCCAUGUCCCACUCCUAUGUCCUCCAACACAUAUCUCUCUUUUCAUGAUGGAGUGGCUCUUGAAAAUGGUUCAGAUUAUCGAAGUUUUGUUGGUGCCCUUUAGUAUUGUACCAUGACACGCCCAGAUAUAGCUUUUGCAAUAAAUAAAGUGUGUCAAUUCAUGCACCAUCCCUCUAAUGUUCACUGGCAGGCUAUAAAACGUAUUCUCCGGUACUUAAAGGGCACAUCUCAUUUUGGUCUCUUCCUACAGCCUUCCUAUGACUUCAACAUCACUUGCUAUACAAAUGCCGACUGGGCUUCCUGUCCUGAUGACAAGUGUAGCACCAGUGGCUACUGCCUCUUUCUUGCCUCUAAUCUGGUUUCUUGGUCAUCUUCCAAACAAAAAGUGGUCUCCCGCUCCAGCGCCGAAUCAGAGUACCGAGGGGUAGCAAAUGGGGCUGCUGAAAUUGCUUGGACUGAAUCUCUUCUUUGUGAACUUUCCAUUACUCCCCCUCCCCUCAUUCUCUGUGACAAUAUCAGUGCCACGUACUUAGCUGCCAAUCCUAUUUUGCAUGCCCGCACCAAACAUGUGGAAAUCGACUAUCACUUUGUCACGGAACGUGUUCUUCAAUGCUCUCUUUUUGUCCAGUUUACACCUUCUGAUGAUCAACUUGCUGAUUGCAUGACCAAGCCUCUCUCCACCCAACGUUUCAUCACUCUACGCUCCAAGCUCACUGUUCUCACUAGACCAAUGAGCUUGAGGGGGGAUGUUAAGCCUAAAGAUGUAAUUAGUUAGGAUAUUCUUUUCCCUCUAGUCUUGUAGCUCCACGUGUACAGUUGGUUAGGACCUCAUUGUAUAUAAUGCCUGCCCUGUUAUUGUAGAAGACAACAGAGAUAAAUAAUAUUAACAUUUUUCCUCUCAUCUCUCUCUCUGUUUCCCUCUGUUUUCAUCUCCUCUCUCAUCUGAACCAAAUGAUCCAUGUUAACCUUGGCUUGGUUUGAUUUGGCUCUAUCUUAGAGAGCUCAAGGAUCACGUCAACUCUGGUUUCUACUAUUCAGGUCCAUUCCCAUAUGAACUGGUUCAAAUUUGAGAAAAUGGUAACAGACCUUUAGUGAUGUUGGUUUGGAGCCAGUUGCCAAACCCGCCCUGAGCUUUACCACUAAUGUCAAGGGAGAAAGCCAUUUGAACAAAAACAAUAGCUUCAAGGGACUGAAUCGUGGAUGAAAUCUGAUCCACAUUUCUUCUCAUUUUGGAAACAAAUGAGAACUUAACUAAGAAGAUUCUACGGCCUCAUAGUGCUUUUCCUGAUCUAAGGUUGGUUCGUUUCCCAAACUGUGAGAUGCACGUGCCAGACUUCAGAACUCUCACGCUCAGGAGUGUAUCCACGUGGUGGACAUAAGAUGGUGGCUUAAGAUCUGGUGUCGGUGGCUUUACUUUACUAGGAGAGUAGUGUGUCUUCAUCUCAUUCACUGCCGGAGGGUGGCGUAAGCAGUGACGCUAAGGUGGGGCACAGUCAAUAUCAUUUGCAUUUGACCAUUAUAGUUUUCUCCCGGCUUUAAAGUAACCUUAUCGUGAUAAAGGAUUACUAGCACUAGUUCAGAUGAUAGUCAUGUUAAAUUCGGACCAUGUUUGUGUCACAUUAUCAGCAACCAUGUGUUUAUGGUUCAUGCUUUCUGCAACUAAAAUUGAUAUAUAACCAGGUGAACUUCAAUCUAAAUUCUGAAAGUACUCAUGUGAUAGAUGGUGCCCGUCUGCAGAGUCCAUCAAUUGAAAAAUGGAGUGAGUGUAUCUAUAAGAGGGAAGGCUUGGAAAAUGUUCAGUUUUCUGGGAAUUCAACAAGGAUCUAAAAUAGAUUGUUUUCUUUGCUGAUUUCAAUGGUUGAAAUUUGAGAAGAUUGUGUCCACAUAACACAACUAUUACUGGUCCUUCUGUUGCAAUUUAUCCUCUAAAGCUCUAGCAUGUCUUCCAAUUCCCACUUCCCUGUUACUCCAGGAAAGCUAUUUCUGUCAUUGUGAAGAAGAAAAGAGAAUGUACAUAUCGAUGCUUUUAAGUGACUGGAGCAUUUAUAUCAGGUGGUCUGCAGCCAUAUAUGCCACUUUGUGAAGAUUGGAACAGUCAAUCACUAGGCUAUAUAUUAGUGUGGCCCAGCCACUUUAAUCAAGGACAAGUCUUCAUACUUAAAGUCAAAUUCUGCCUUUAGUCUCAUUAUAAAUUUCUGUUUAAAUAUUAAGCAAACAUUUGUUUAAUGCGAUUAAGACAGUACUAACUCAAUACCUGUUCUAUUUUUGGAUGCAAAUGCUUGAUGGUUUCAUCAUUGGAUGGGAUAAAGGUGCAUUCAUGAUUAGGAAUACUAGUAGUUAUAUUUUAAUUCUCUUUUUUCUCAAUGAGACUUGUUGGCACAAUUUUGCUGUUGAGAAACCUACCUCUCCAUGGAAAAUAAGUUGUGAUUGAUAGUACUGGAUAUAUUCAAGAAAUCUAAAUAUAGAUAGCACAAAAUAUUAUCGACAUAAAUAGCAUUAACAGCGUACGUAUGUCUCAGUGCUCAUCAGCUAUAAGCAUGGGGCAAACACUUACUAUGAGCAACUUACGUCAAAAUUCCAGAAUAGGACAUAGAAGUGACAGAUAUAGAACAUUGCAUAUGAGUCACAAGAAAGGAAAUUACGGGUGCAUAGCAGCUCUUAUUUUACAUACUACUACUCAUACUGAUCAAAGUCACUCAGUUGGGAUGGGUGGGAGUAGGAGGUUUGUGGGGUGGCUUGUGCGGAGGAGUUGGCAGCUUCUUUCCAGGACCUGGUUGCUUCUCUGCUGGAGUUGAAGGAGGCUUAAUCUUCCGAGGUGGCUUGUAUGAGUCUUCAGCAUUCUCAGCUGGAGGGUGACCAGGGUUGUGACCAUAAUGUGGUGGCUUCUCUCCCUUAGGUGGUUUGCCAACUGGGGUUGGUGGCUUGUAUGAGUCUUCAGCAUUCUCAGCAGGAGGGUGACCAGGGUUGUGACCAUAAUGUGGUGGCUUCUCUCCCUUAGGUGGUUUGCCAACUGGGGUUGGUGGCUUGUGUUCUGGGAGUGGCUUCUCCCCCUUGGGAGGUUUUUCCAAUGGGGUUGGUUUGUGUUCAGGAGGUGGCUUCUCCACUGGAGGCUUGUGUUCAGGAGGUGGCUUCUCCACCGGAGGCUUGUGUUCAGGUGGUGGCUUCUCCACCGGAGGCUUAUGCUCUGGUGGUGGCUUCUCGAAUGGGGGAUGCUUAGGAUAAUCAGCAAGUGAGGGGGCGGUGAGAACCACCAGGCCAAGCAACACCACUAGCAAAUAUGUAGGAGACAUCUUUGGGUUUGGGCUCAGAUGGUGCAAAACUAGGAGAAUUGGCUAGCCUUUUAUAGCGGAUCGUACCCAAUAAUGAAAUGACACGUGUCAUUAUGACCCAUGUGUAAUGGGGUCGAUUUGGGUCCUACAGUGUUGAAAACUUCGACAUCCACUUUUGGCCUUUUGCUUUCUCUACAGCCGCCUUGCUUUUUCCCUCUUUCCUUUUGUUUUCCUCCUGCCCCAUUCUAUCAACUAAACACAAUUAUGUAGUUGUUUAAUUCUUAAAUGAGAUAUUAUCCGUCAAUCGUAUUAUAUUUUAUCAAGAGAGAACGGAGUGCAAUGUGGCUGUAAUUUUAUCGUUUAGUUUUAUCUCUUGGACCACUGCAUUUUUGUUAAGAGGUGCAAUAAUACACGUCUUUAUCUGCCAUUCAAUAUUUACAGUAAAGAGAGGGCACAAAACUCUUCACUUCGCACCAUAAUUAUUUUGUUUUCUGGACACCCCGGGGCCCUUUGGUUGGUUUGGGGGUCAGAAAGUGAACAUCAUAGGGGGUUUUUCCCUUAUGUGCAUUUGUAUCUGAUGGCUUUAACUCGCCUUGUUACUACAAAGAAACUGUCACAGAUAGGAACUUAUUCCAGGCUGAGUAUCUCCUCAUAGACCCUAUAAAAGAAGACAAGUCAUAAUGAACAUCUAACCUUUGUUCAAUUUGAUUCAAUGCCCCCAUUGUGUCCAUCUCACAAAUCUGAAUUAUUAUAUCCAUUGAAUACAUAAAUUAAUGAAGAAAAUAUGAAACCCAAGAUACAUCUCUGCACAACCUCAACCCUGGUUGCUAUGUUUCCCUUCUAUUCACAUGAUUUGAUGCUAAUUGCCAAACUUGCAACAAGCCCUGAGUUUGACACCUAGUAUCGAUGGGCGAAUUUAAAGUCUCCUCCAAACAUAUAUUCCACAGCUUGAAGCUCACAGAAGAUGUUACAGGCAGGGAAAAACCUUCAGAGUUCGCUACCAAAGAUAAUUAUUAAGGAGAUAUCACAAAGAGAAUUCCAAGGGGUCUGAAUCAAAGACAAAUUGGUCGUUCGUGGGGGUUCUUACUUUCUUUUGGGUAUAACUCACUGAGGGCACUGUCUUUGUUAUUUGCAUUUCACAUUUAGAGUUCUGUUCUGGAAACAUAUAAAAGGAGCAUCAUUUUGUUCUUGGGUAACCCAUAGUCGUGAGUGGGUCCAUUUGCAUGCUACUUAGUUGAAAAGUUGGACCAUUUGCUCCGACGCCUACCUCCCGGAUUCCAUGCUCGGAUAAAACAAGAAUAAAAAAAAUAUUUAUAAUUUACAAAUGGGGGAAAGAAAAAAAUGUCAACAACAAACCAGGAAAAAAGAGUAGUAAAAUUCAUGUCACAUGCUAGUGAGAGAAGGGGUUGUUACACUCACUCGAAGUUCUUUCCAAAAUAUCGCAUGGUAUUUUAUUUUAUGUGUCAGCGCAGUUGUGAAUGGAACGUGCAAAAGUCCAAAUUGGCGUUUUUCCUUUUCCCGUGUAGGAUGGCGACCUUUAAUAAAUAUUUAAAACAAAAAACGAAAAAAAGGAGGGAAAAGGGAUCAGAAAAGAUAAAACAAUGUGUACAAGAGCUCAAUUAGUUUGCAAAUUACUGUUUGGAUUUUGAUAGUAUUUUAUUUGUCCAUCUAUAUUUGAUGGAAAAGAGAAUUUAAGAUAUUUCUGAAACAAAAGCAUUAGUGUAAAACUAAAUUAAGGUAUAAUUAAGUUAGUUCAAUGCAUUAAUUUAAGAAACUUGAUCUAUCCAAAGUACAAAAUUAGAUGAAAUCCAUUUCAAUGGUUAAAAUGAUCAAAAUCAAACUUUUUCUAAGUAUUUUUUAAAAGCAUCAAUAUUAAAAGACAAUUUUAUAUUUAGUCGGAGUUUGGACAAAACCAAAAAGCACACAAAAUCCAAGCGACCAUCUCUAGCUUGGAUAGUCACUUGAUCCCACCUAGAGAUGUGCAUGAGUAAAAGGAUUUGAAAAUGGAAAUUGACUAAAUAUUUAGUUGAUCAAUUAAAUUUGCAAUGUCAUAUGCAAUCCUAAUAGCUAGUCAUCUAAUCAAUUAGGUAGUCAAUCAAGUGUUUGUAAUGACUAUUUUGUACAAAAAACCACAUGUAUAGUUAAAUAUAAUGCAUUUCAUUUAUAAAUCUUCUAAUUCUUGAAUAACGAUCCUAUCAUCCUUUGAAAAUUUUUAUUACACCUUUUUUACUUUUGUUCUAAAACUUACAUAUCACCCUUAAUUGUACCAUGAGAACCUAGCUAUUUUUUUUUUUUUUGUAAUUCAUCAAAGUUAGCUUUUGUAUUCAUUGUUGUAUUAUUUUUAGUAUAACUUAGAAAGCUAGUGUUUUCAAGUGAGUAAAAUUAACUUGUAAAUAUUGUAAAGAUUCAUUGAUAUGUAUCUUAAACUAAGUGUACAAAUUAAAACAUUUGCUAGUAGAUUUUCUCAAAAUUUAGAAUAGAGCUUGAGGCUAUUGAAAUAGGUGGGGUUACACCAAACCACAUCACAUCGUUGUUUGCACCUUUUUUCACUCUCUUUUACUUAGUUUCUCUAUAUUUGUUGUCUAGUAAUAUCCUAUAGGCUUGAUGGGUUAGGGAGCAUCCCUUUGUGAAAAAAUUUCAUUCAAUUCUUAGUUGUAUUACGCAUAUAUAAAAUGCCUCAUUGUUUUAAUGGUAUUCAGUCGUGGCAUCACAGAUAUGGGCAUCUAAAUUUUAAAAGUUUGAAACUUUUGUAAAGCAUGUUGAUAAAAUCCAUGAGAGUUGUGUACUUGGGAAGCAACAUCGAGGUGACUUUAUUUUUUUUUCCUUUUAUAAUGCCACACCUAAGUCCGGUUUCUAAAUGCUAAAGUGAAAGGGUAGGUAUGGACCAUUGAAAUGUGAUCACAACUUUUGGCCUUUUCCUUUCUCUGCAGCCAUGUUGUCUCUUUUUUCUUUUGCAUGAUUUUCUUACCAAAACAGAAUCAUAGACUUGUUUAGUCUCUAAGCUACUAUAUUAUAUCUCGGUGGACUUUUAAGAGUGCAACCGACAUAGAGCACAUGCAAGUGGGCAUAUGGGACAUGAAAUUUCUUCUUACAAAGAUUGCAUGAUUUUUAUAUUAGAGUUGUUCACGUGCAAUGUAUUUAGCUUGUUUUGCAGUUAAAUUAAUUGGAUAAGUAAACAUUGGCAUUUCUAAAUCGACUGUGAAGUGCUUCAUGUACGUGUAAAGUAUUAGAAAUUUCUUUCUUGGCAACUUGUUUUUUCCUUGCCAUCUACUGGUAGGUUUGACUAAAAUUAUAUUCCCUGUCAUGCUAAUUAAUUUUCAUGUGCAUGCUCAAAAGAAGAGUAUGACCUUAGUGCACCAAAAUCACUUUGAUUAAUUUGUGAUAGGUUUUUUUGCAUCAUUUAGAUAAUGUUUAGUUCUAAGAAAAAUUUAUAUAAAAAUGGUUUAUUUAUCUUACAUAUAUAUAUAUAUAUAUAUAUUUUUUUUUUUUUCAUUUUUUUUUCUUCUAUUUUAUUUAUUUAUUUUAUUUUCCUUAUGUUUUCCUCACAUUUUCCGGAACUAAACAUAGUCUUACGAAAUCAACAAUUGCCUUCAACUGAGUAGAUUCUGUUGUUUUAGCAAUGUUAGGCUGCUAACUUGUGGUGGUACGAACCAAAUGACCCAUGUUAAUCUUGGCUUGGUUUGAUUUGGCUCUAUCUCAGAGAGCUAAAGGAUCACGUCAACUCUGGUUUCUACUAUUCAGGUCCAUUCCCAGAUGAACUGGUUCAAAUUUGAGAAAAUGGUAACAGACCUUUAGUGAUGUUGGUUUGGAGCCAGUUGCCAAACCCGCCCUGAGCUUUACCACUAAUGUCAAGGGAGAAAGCCAUUUGAACAAAAACAAUAGCUUCAAGAGACUGAAUCGUGGAUGAAAUCUGAUCCACAUUUCUUCUCAUUUUGGGAAAAAAUGAGAACUUAACUACAAAGAUUCUACUGCCUCAUUCAUAGUGCUUUUCCUGAUCCAAGGUUGGUUCGUUUCCCAAAUUGUGAGGUGCACGUGCCACUCUCACGCUCAGGAGUGUAUCCACGUGGUGGACAUCAGAUGGUGGCUUAAUAUCUGGUGUCGGUGGCUUUACUUUACUAGGAGAGUAGUGUGUCUUCAUCUCAUUCACUGCCGGAGGGUGGCGUAAGCAGUGACGCUAAGGUGGGGCACAGUCAAUAUCAUUUGCAUUUGACCAUUAUAGUUUUCUCCCGGCUUGAAAGUAACCUUAUCGUGAUAAAGGAUUACUAGCACUAGUUCAGAUGACCGUCAUGUUAAUUCGGACCAUGUUUGUGUCACAUUAUCAGCAACCAUGUGUUUAUGGUUCAUGCUAUCUGCAACUAAACUUGAUAUAUAACCAGGUGAACUUCAAUCAAAAUUCUGGAAGUACUCUUGUGAUAGAUGGUGCCUGUCUGCAGAGUCCAUCAAUUGAAAAAUGGAGUGAGUGUAUCUAUAAGAGGGAAGGCUUGGCAAAUGUUCAGUUUUCUGGGAAUUCAACAAGGAUCUAAAAUAGAUUGUUUUCUUUGCCGACUUCAAUGGUUGAAAUUUGAGAAGAUUGUGUCCACAUAUCACAACUAUUACUGGUCCUUCUGUUGCAAUUUAUCCUGUAAGGCUCUAACAUGUCUUCCAAUUCCCACUUCCCUGUUACUCCAGGAAAGCUAUUUCUGUCAUUGUGAAGAAGAAAAGAGAAUGUACAUAUCGAUGCUUUUAAGUGACUGGAGCAUUCAUAUCAGGUGGUCUGCAGCCAUAUAUGCCACUUUGUGAAGGUUGGAACAGUCAAUCACUAGGCUAUAUAUUGGUGUGGCCCAGCCACUUCAAUCAAGGACAAGUCUUCAUACUUAAAGUCAAAUUCUGCCUUUAGUCUCAUUAUAAAUUGCUGUUUAAAUAUUAAGCAAACUUUUGUUUAAUGCGAUUAAGACAGUACUAACUCAAUACUUGUUCUAUUUUUGGAUGCAAAUGCUUGAUGGUUUCAUCAUUGGAUGGGAUAAAGGUGCAUUCAUGAUUAUGAAUACUUGUAGUUAUAUUUUCAUUCUCUUUUUUCUCAAUGAGACUUGUUGGCACAAUGUUGCUGUUCAGAAACCUACCUCUCCAUGGAAAAUAAGUUGCGAUUGAUAGUACUGGAUAUGUUCAAGAAAGCUAAAUAUAGAUAGCACAAAAUAUUAUCGAUAUAAAUAGCAUUAACAGCGUACGUAUGUCUCAAUGCUCAUCAGCUAUAAGCAUGGGACAAACACUUACUAUGAGCAACUUACGUCAAAAUUCCAGAAUAGGACAUAGAAGUGACAGAUCUAUAUAUAUAGAACACUGCAUAUGAGUCACAAGAAAGGAAAUUACGGGUGCAUAGCAGCUCUUAUUUUACAUACUACUACUCAUACUGAUCAAAGUCACUCAGUUGGGAUGGGUGGGAGUAGGAGGUUUGUGGGGUGGCUUGUGCGGAGGAGUUGGCAGCUUCUUUCCAGGACCUGGUUGCUUCUCUGCUGGAGUUGAAGGAGGCUUAAUCUUCCGAGGUGGCUUGUAUGAGUCUUCAGCAUUCUCAGCUGGAGGGUGACCAGGGUUGUGACCAUAAUGUGGUGGCUUCUCUCCCUUAGGUGGUUUGCCAACUGGGGUUGGUGGCUUGUAUGAGUCUUCAGCAUUCUCAGCAGGAGGGUGACCAGGGUUGUGACCAUAAUGUGGUGGCUUCUCUCCCUUAGGUGGUUUGCCAACUGGGGUUGGUGGCUUGUGUUCUGGGAGUGGCUUCUCCCCCUUGGGAGGUUUUUCCAAUGGGGUUGGUUUGUGUUCAGGAGGUGGCUUCUCCACUGGAGGCUUGUGUUCAGGAGGUGGCUUCUCCACCGGUGGCUUGUGUUCAGGAGGUGGCUUCUCCACCGGAGGCUUAUGCUCUGGUGGUGGCUUCUCCACCGGAGGCUUAUGCUCUGGUGGUGGCUUCUUGAAUGGGGGAUGCUGAGGGUAAUCAGCAAGUGAGGGGGCGGUGAGAACCACCAGGCCAAGCAACACCACUAGCAAAUAUGUAGGAGACAUCUUUGGGUUUGGGCUCAGAUGGUGCAAAACUAGGAGAAUUGGCUAGCCUUUUAUAGCGGAUCGUACUCAAUAAUGAAAUGACACGUGUCAUUAUGACCCAUGUGUAAUGGGGUCGAUUUGGGUCCUACAGUGUUGAAAACUUCGACAUCCAGUUUUGGCCUUUUGCUUUCUCUACAGCCGCCUUGCUUUUUCCCUCUUUCCUUUUGUUUUCCUCCUGCCCCAUUCUAUCAACUAAACACAAUUAUGUAGUUGUUUAAUUCUUAAAUGAGAUAUUAUCGGUCAAUCGUAUUAUAUUUUAUCAAGAGAGAACGGAGUGCAAUGCAGCUGUAAUUUUAUCGUUUACUUUUAUCUCUUGGACCACUGCAUUUUUGUUAAGAGGUGCAAUAAUACACGUCUUUAUCUGCCAUUCAAUGUUUACAGUAAAGAGAGGGCACAAAACUCUUCACUGCUCUGCAUGUGUCCCAAAAAUGCGAUUGGACAAAUUAUGAUUUGCAUGCUAAAAAGAGGCAAAUGAGGUUAAUUCGCACCAUAAUUAUUUGGUUUUCUGGACACCAUAAAAAGAUGUUAUACAGGCAGGGAAAAACCUUCAGAGUUAGCUACCAAAGAUAAUUAUCAAGCAGAUAUCACCAAGAGAAUUCCAUAGAGUCUGAAUCAAAGACAGAUUGCUCGCUCGUGGGGGUUCUUACUUUCUUUUGGGUAUAACUCACUGAGGUCACUGUCUUUUUUAUUUGCAUUUCACAGUUAGAGUUCUGCUCUGGAAGGUUUGUUCUGGAAACAUAUAAAAGGAGCAUCAUUUUGUUCUUGGGUAACCCAUAGUCGUGAGUGGGUCCAUUUGCAUGCUACUUAGUUGAAAAGUUGGACAAUUUGCUCCGACGCCUACCUCCUGGAUUCCAUGCUCGGUAAAACAAGAAUAAAAAAAAAUAUAUAAUUUACAAAUGGGGGAAAGAAAAAAUGUCGGAAAAAAUAGUAAAAUUCAUGUCACAUGCUAGUGAGAGAAGGGGUUGUUACACUCACUCGAAGUUCUUUUCAAAAUAUCGAAUGGUAUUUUACUUUAUGUGUCAGCGCAGUUGUGAAUGGAACGUGCAAAAGUCCAAAUUGGCGUUUUUAUUUUUCCCAUGUAGGAUGGUGACCUUUAAUAAAUAUUUAAAACAAAAGACGAAAAAAAAAAGGAGGGAAAAGGGAUCACAAAAGAUAAAAUAAUGUUUACAAAAGCUCAAUUAGUUUGCAAAUUACUGUUUGGAUUUUGAUAGUAUUUUAUUUGUCGUUCUAUAUUUGAUGUAAAAGAGAAUUUAAGAUAUUUCCGAAGCAAAAGCAUUAGUUUGCUCUGUGAUGUCCCACAUCGAAUAGGGGAGAAAGUUUCUGGCGCUAUAUAUGUAGAGGCUCCUCUUAACCAAGUAGAUGCGUUUUAAAACCAUGAGGGCCCCCUUAGGUCCAAAGCGGACAAUAUCUACAUGAUUGGGUGUAAGUCAUUACAAAUGGUAUCAGAGCCGAUCCCCGACCCCGGUGUGGGGGUUUGUUUGGCCCUGUAAGGGGUGUUUGUCUGUUUGACCCCACAAUCCCAUGGGACACAACGAGGACGUUGUGUCUGCAUGGGGGGGCGUUUGUGAUGUCCCACAUCGGAUAGGGGAGAAAGUUCCUAGUGCUAUAUAUGUAGAUGUUUCUCUUAACCAAGUAGAUGCAUUUUAAAAUUGUGAGGGCCUCUUUGGGCCCAAAGCGGACAAUAUCUACAUGGUUGAGUGUAAGUCAUUACAUGCUCCAUGUCAAUUUCAGCAUUUCUCAUAUGUUUCACACAUACACAGAAGAGCAUCGUUUUUUAAAGCAUGCAUUUAUGUUGGAUUAAUUUGGAUUUUGUGGGAACUGGGGCAAGGAUCACAUGGAAGAGAGGUUGACUUUUUUCAGUACUUCAAUGGUUGAAAUAUGUGAAGGCUUGAUUGAUACUAAAGCUUGAAAUUGCGACUCUGUCAUUUGUAAAAAAAUAUGACAGCUUCCAUGCUCUCGUUUGGUUGCAUUGUCCGGUCGAGAGGUGCAAAAAGCAUUCUCUCUCUUCUAAUAGUCUUUUCGUUUAAAUCAAGGGAUUUGCCUUCCCGGUCGAGGUCCAAUAGAGGGUAACGGUCACCUACUAAACAUUAAAUGCUCCAACAACUAGUGAACUGAUCGACCCCAGCUCGACUAGUUGAGGUUACUUUUUGGUUUUCUUGUCUCCCGAGGUUAGAAACCUAUAAAUAGAGAGCUUCACUUCAUUUAUGAGUAAGAGAACACCUAAAUUUAUUUGUUUACCUACUUGUUUUUGCCAUAAAAGCUCUCAUUUCUUUUCUUGGUGUAUUAAAUCUCCAUUUGCAUAUCCUUUAGUGCACCUUUGUGAUUCAUUCUAGCCUUGAGUUGUAUUUAAGCCUUUGUUGAGCUAGGUUGAGAGUUUCAUACUUGUUUAUUGAGUGUUAAAGCCUUCAAGUGAGUUAAAACUUGAAGAGAUUGUGUAAGAGCCCAUUGGAGUCGGAAUCCAAGUGUAAAGGUGAUUAAAAGCUUGGUUGAAGCUUCAAGUUAGUGGAACUCUCACUCGGUUAUGAGCUUGAGAAGAGUGGACAUAGACAAGGCAGUGUCGAACCACUAUAAAAUCUGAGUUUGAUUUCUCUAACCUUAUCUCUUUAUAUUUGCUUCUCUUGUGCUUAAAUUUUUUGUGUUUAAAAAGAAUUUUUAAAAACUCAAUUCACCCCCUUCUUGGGAGUUUUUCUCUUUUAAGAUCAGCUUUUAUUUUCUCAAUUGGUAUCAGAACUAUGCCUCUUGUUUAAGACUUAAUCGUCUAAGAGGAAAUGGCUAAUCCAUCAAGUUCAUCUCACAUUGAAAGUUUUGCAACCAAUAGACUUCUUUUUUUUUUUUUGCGGGAACUGAUUAUCCCUAUUGGAAAACUAAAAUGACUUGGUUUUUACAAUCAAUUGAUUUAGAUGUAUGAGAUGCCAUUGAAGAUGACCUAACUUUUCCUUCAAAACUAGUUGAUGGAGUCAUGGUUCCAAAACCUAAGCAAGAAUGGGAUGAGCGUGAUUGAAGAAAUUUUCAAUUAAAUGCUAAAGUCGUUUAUACUUUGCAAUGCUCUAUGGACAGAAAUGAAUAUAAUAGAAUAUGUCAAUGCAAAUCGGUUAAAGAAAUUUGGAGAUUGCUUGAAAUAACUCAUAAAGGAACAAAUCAAGUUAAAGAGUCAAAAAUCAAUUUACUUGUUCAUAGAUAUGAAUUGUUUUUUAUGAAAGAUAAUGAAACUAUUGUUAAGAUGAUCACUAGGUUCACCAACAUUGUUAAUGGUCUUAAAGCCUUGGGAAAGACCUACAAGGAAUCCGAAAACGUGAUGAAGAUCUUGAGGUCACUUCCAUCAAAGUGGCAUACCAAGGUCACCGCAAUUUAAGAAGCAAAAGACUUGAUCAAGCUACCUUUGGAGGAGUUCAUAGGGUCAUUGAUGACAUAUGAAAUCAAUUUGGCAAAGAAGUAACAAAAAGGUGAAGACAAAAAGAAGAAGAACAUAACUCUCAAAGCUACAACUAAGGAAGAAGAAGUUGAAGAAGAAAAACAAAUUGAAGAAGAUGAAGAUUUAGCCCUCAUCACAAGAAAGUUCAACAAAUUCAUGAGGGGUGAAAGGUUUAGAAGAAGAAGGUUCACUUCUAGAAGAGACUUUUCUAAAAAGGAAUCUUCAUCUAAUGGUGACAAAAAGAGAUGGGAAGAGAAAAGAGACUUGGUGUGUUUCAAGUGCAAGAAACCGGGACACAUUAAAUAUGAUUGUCCUCUCUACAAAAGUGAAGUCAAGAGGAAAAAGAAUAAGGCAAUGAUGGCCACUUAGAGUGAAAGUGAAGAUGAAUCAUCCGAAGAAGAAAAUGAGAAAGAAGUGGCAAACAUGUGUUUCAUGGCAAUAGAUGAACUUGAUGAGGUAAAAUCUAACCUUAGUGAUUAAGAUAUACAUGAUGCAUUUGAAGAAUUGUAUGAGGAUUUUUAAAAACUUAGUUUGAAAAAUAUUUCUCUUAAAAAGAAAGUUCAACAACUUGACAAAGAACUUAGAGAAGUAAAAGAAAAAUUUUCAAAUGUUAAAGUUUCUAAAACUCAUCUUGAAAAAGAAAAUGAGAUUCUAAGAAAGAAAAAUGAAUAGUUGAACUCCUCUCUUUCAAUCUUUUCUUCUAGACAAAAAUCUUUUGAAAUGAUUCUAACUAGCUAAAAAUGUGUUUUUGACAAACAAGGGUUAAGAUUUAAAUCUUCAAAAAAUCAAAAGUAUUUUAAAAACUAUUUUGUAAAGGAAUCCACAAGUGCAAGUCCUUCCACUACUUGCAACUUUUGUGGAAGAGAAUGGCACAUUAGUAGUACGCCCUUUAAGAAAUGGUUCUCAAAAGAAUUUAAAUGCAAAAACUAAAAAAGAUUUGGAUUGAGAAAUCCAAGGUCACUAACCCUCAAGGACCCAAAAAGAUAUAGGUACCUAAAUCAACUUGAGUUUUAUGUUGUAAGGUUCAAAGAAUGAUAAGUGGUUCUUAGAUAAUGGUUGCUCAAGACACAUGACCGGAGAUGAAUCCAAGUUUGCUUUUCUUAAAAAGAAAAAUGGAGGAUAUGUUACCUUUGGAGACAAUGCAAAAGAAAGGAUGAUUGGUCAAGGCAACAUUGGUAAUGGCACAUCCUCUCUCAUUGAAAGUGUUUUAUUAGUAGAUGGUUUCAAACAUAACCUUUUAAGCAUUAGUCAAUUUUGCGACAAAGGUUUUUAAGUGAUUUUUUAAGCAUCUCAUUGCAUCAUCAAGGAUAUUCAAAAUGAUAAAACCAUUUUCAUGGGCCAUAGAUGUGAUAAUGUUUAUGCUAUAAAUAUUUCAAAAUAUGAUGGCCAUGAUAGAUGUUUUUCAAGCAUGCAUGAUCAAAGUUGGUUGUGCCAUAGGAGAUUGAGACAUGCUAACAUAGACCUCAUUUCCCAACUCAACAAAGAUGAACUUGUUAGAGGCCUUCCCAAAAUAAUUUUUUAAAAAGAUAAAGUUUGUGAAGCUUGUCAAGUGGGAAAGUAAAUCAAAAACUCUUUUAAAAACAAAAACUUCAUUUCCACAUCUAGGCCACUUGAGUUGUUGCAUAUGGAUUUAUUUGGUCCCUCUAGGACACCAAGUCUUAGAGGAAAUUCUUAUGCAUAUGCUAUUGUGGACGACUUCUCUAGAUACACAUGAGUCUUGUUUUUUAGUCAAAAGAAUAAAGUUUUUUAUGAGUUUUCAAAGUUUUGCAAUAAGAUUCAAAAUGAAAAAGGUUUUUCAAUUACUUAUAUAAGAAGUGAUCAUGGGAGAGAAUUCGAAAAUAUUGAUUUUGAAGAGUAUUGCAAUGAGCAUGGAAUUGACCACAAUUUUUUGGCUCUUAGAACUCCUCAACAAAAUGGGGUAGUUGAAAGGAAAAAUAGAACUCUUCAAAAAAUGACAAGAACCAUACUAAAUGAAAACAACUUACCAAAAUAUUUUUAGGCCAAAACGGUUAACACUUCUUGUUAUGUUUUAAAUAGAGUAUUAUUGAGGCUCAUACUUAAGAAAACUCCCUAUGAGCUUUGGAAAAACAAAAAACCCAACAUUAGUUAUUCCAAAGUCUUUGGAUGCAAUAUUUUAUAAUAAACACCAAAGACAAUCUUGGAAAAUUUGAUGCAAAAUUGGAUGUUGGAAUUUUCCUUGGUUACUCAACUUCAAGUAAAGCUUUUCGAGUUUUAACAAAAGAACCAUGGUUGUAGAGGAGUCCAUCCAUGUUAUUUUUUAUGAAUCUCCAAGAAAGAGAGAGGAUUGAUGAUGAUUUAGGUUUGAAGACCUCUAUAGGAAGAUUGCAAAUCGAAGAUAGAAGACAACAAGAAGAAAAUGGAGAGAAUCCAAAGAAAGAAGGAUCACCAUUGGCACUACCCCCUCAUCAACAAGCGCAAGGUGAAUCAAGUCAAGAGCUUCCUAAAGAAUGGAAGUUUGUCAUCAAUCACCCACAAGAUCAAAUUAUAGGCAAUCCAUCUAGUGGGGUAAGAACUAGAUCCUCUCUUAGAAAUAUUUGCAAUAAUCUAGCUUUUAUCUCUCAAAUUGAGCCUAAAAAUAUAAAUGAUGUUUUAGAUGAUGAAAAUUGGAUAAUUGCAAUGCAAGAAGAGUUAAAUCCAUUUGAAAGAAGUGGAGUAUGGGAAUUAGUACCAAGACCUUCAAAUCAAAGUGUUAUUGGAACUAGAUGGAUCUUUAGAAAUAAAAUGGAUGAAAAUAGCAUAAUUGUUAGAAAUAAAGCAAGAUUGGUAGCCCAAGGUUUUAAUCAAGAAGAAAUGAUAGAUUAUGAAGAAACCUUUGCCCCCGUAGCUAGGUUGGAAGCCAUUAGGAUGCUACUUGCCUUUGCAUGUUUUAAAGACUUUGUUUUAUAUCAAAUGGAUGUGAAAAGUGCUUUUUUAAAUGGUUUUAUAAAUGAAGAAGUAUAUGUUGAACAACCACCCGGUUUUCAAAGUUUCAACUUUCCUAACCAUGUUUUUAAACUUAAAAAGACACUUUAUGGUUUGAAACAAGCACCUAGAUCAUGGUAUGAAAAAUUGAGUAAAUUUCUUUUGAAAAAAAUGUUUUAAAAUGGGAAAAAUUGACACAACUCUUUUUAUAAAAACCAAAGAAAAUGAUAUGCUCUUAGUUCAAAUAUAUAUUGAUGAUAUCAUUUUUGGUGCUACUAAUGUCUCUCUUUAUGAAGAAUUUUCUAAGUGCAUGCAUAGUGAGUUUGAAAUGAGCAUGAUAGGAGAACUCAACUUCUUCCUUGGACUUCAAAUCAAGCAACUAAAGGAAUGAACCUUCAUCAAUCAAGCAAAGUAUAUAAGAGAUCUUCUCAAAAGGUUCAACAUGGAAGAAGCCAAAACAAUGAAGACUCUAAUGAGCUCAUCCAUUAAGCUUGAUAAGGAUGAGAAAGGUAAAUCCAUUGACUCUAUUAUGUAUAGAGGCAUGAUAGGUUCUUUGCUCUAUUUGACCACUAGUAGACCUUACAUUAUGUAUAGUGUGUGUUUGUGUACUAGAUUUCAAUCUUGUCUUAAAAAAUCUCACUUAAGUGUCGUGAAAAGAAUCCUCAAAUAUUUGAAAGGGACAAUGGACAUAGGCUUAUGGUAUCCUAAGAGUGAUAACUUUGAAUUAAUUGGUUUUUUGGAUGCUGAUUUUGUCAGUUGUAGGGUUGAAAAAUAAAACACUAGUGGCACUUUUCAUUUCUUAAGACACUUACUUGUCUCAUGGCAUAAUAAGAAGCAAAAUUUGGUAGCUUUGUCAACAGCAGAAGCUAAAUACAUAGCAACUGGUUUAUGUUGUGCACAAAUCCUUUGGAUGAAAUAAACACUUAGUGAUUUUGAUUUAUCUUUUGAGCAUAUUCCUAUUAAAUGUGAUAAUAGUAGUGCCAUAAGUAUAUCAAAAAAUCUCGUGCAACACUCUAGGACUAAGCAUAUAGAGAUUAGACAUAAUUUUCUUAGAUAUCAUACACAAAAGGAUGAUAUAACACUUGAAUUUGUAAGCAUAAAAGACCAACUUGCCGAUAUCUUUACAAAACCUCUAAGAACAUUUUGUUGAUAUUAGAGGACAAUUAGGAGUGAUUUCUUUAUGAUCUAAUGUGAUGAAUUCUUGAUGAAUAUACUUUUUGAUUGCAUGAAUUUCAUGUCAUAUAUGCAUCAUAUAGAAAUAUACUUAGAUAAUGGUCAAAUUUCGACCAAAAAUCAAAAUUCCCAUGGCAUUAGGCAUAAAAAUUUUGGAAUUUCAACUGAAAAUGGUAGGAGGAGGAUCACAAAAUGAGAAAGUAUGCAAAAAUUGAAAAAUCAAAACGUUGACCAAGCGGUCAAUCGGACUAGACCGAUCGACUAGUUUGUCGAGAUUUAGGAUUUUUAAGAGACUCCAACGCUUCAAUUUUUGCACCGUUCUCCUCUAUUUCUUCACGGUUUCUCUGAUUUUGUCUUUUAGAGACUAAUUUGAGUGCGUUUUGGAUCAAUUGAAGCAUUUUGGAUUGGAUUUUAGGAAGAUUGAAAGUUAAGGUUUCGGAUUUGGGUCGCCUUCUCUUCCUCUCGCGUGUCACAAUCAGCUUUAGCAUUGUUCUCUUUCCAUUUUCACACACCUAGGGUUUCAGUUGUGAGCAUCUCUCUCUCUUUACCAACCACUACUCCCUUGCUUCUUCCAUAUGGCUCCUAGGCGAGAGUCCGCUACUUCUAGGGCACAAGGCAAGCACCCAACUGAGUCGUCUCAGUCAAAGGCACGUCGAAAAGUGAGAUUUGACAUUGCCUUGUUCAGUUCCAUGGAGGACUACCAACUAUACAAGCAACACUUUGCUUAGAGACGAGUAGUUCCCAAGAGAAAUAUUAAUUUUCCUCAACUUCAGCAUUUCGAAUUUAAGGGUCUAUUUACUAGGAUGGUUGGUUGUCUAUUGUCACAAUUUCGGAGCCGGUUUUCCUGACCUUAGUGCGAGUUUUUUACUCGAGGGCGACUUAUGGCAUGGGUGGCAUGAUCAUUUCUACUGUUGGAGGAGUUGAGAUCUGUCUGGACCCAGAGAGCAUCUGCCAUAUUUUCGAUAUUGCUCUGGUUGGACUCAAAGUAUACAAGUCCAAAAUGUGGCCCAUUGUGCCAGGAUUUGAGCUUAGAGAGGUCAUUCAGAGGAUUUGUGAACUUCCAGACGCCCAGGAGAUGGGCAAACCAUUGCCACACAGUUUGACGGUCAUCAACAGGGUGCUACACCAUAUAUUGUGCUCUAUCUUUCUACCACGAAGUGGACAUUGAGAUGAGGUCUCUUAUUAUGAGGCAUUCCUUAUUGACUCCAUUCUAACGGAGAGACGAAUUCAUCUACUAUGUCAUCAUUCACUAAGCCUCCUCACAGUGACAUACCACCUCAUCAGGCACCUCUUGCUCCUGACCAUGCUCCAUUGAUGGAUUUAUUUACUCAUAUUAGCUCUCUAGGCACUCGCAUGAAGGAGUUUGUUGUAGUUAGUGAUACAUGGUUCUACUCCAUAGAGGAUCGCAUGGAUCAGUAUCAGACUGGCUUCACGUCACAGUUUGAGUAUCUCCAAUAGAGGAUUGAGCAUAUUGAGGAUCACUUGAGCAUGAGAAGAUGAUGGCUUUUCUAUGCUCUGUGUUUCCACCUCCACCUCGUCAACCUUGAUUUCUUAGAGACCCAUUGUUUUCAUUUUGUAAUGUUGCCAAAAGGGGGAGAUAUUUAGGAUCUAGGACUCUAUAGGAGACUUACAUGCAUAUCAUUUUCAUAUCAUUGUUUGGAUCGUACAUAUUGGAUAGUGAUACUUUUUACUUAUAUAUGAUAUGCCUAUAUGUUUCAUGUCUUACAUUGUUUCUUAUUGCAAAUUAUCUCUAACAUGUCUUGAUUAUCUUUUUUUUAACUUCAUAAAUUUUGAUUGUUAACCCAUGAUUGGUUUGAGGGGAAGAUUCUUCUUCUCCUAGAUAACCAAGGUUUGUCAUCAUAAAAAAAUUGGAGAUUGUUAGCCCAAGGGUUCUCCUAAUCAUGUUUUGAUGAUAACAAACCAUGCUUAAGUUACUAAUUGGUUUGAAUUAUAAAGAAUUUCAAGUGUUAAUUUGAAAAUUCAUCAAAGAACCUAAUGGAUGCAAGAUCAAGAUUUUUGGAAGACCUUUAAUCAUAAGAAACAUAUGUAAGAUGAAUGCAUGGGUGCACUUAAGAUUUGCAUAUCAUUUCAUGCAUAUUUGGAAAACACGGUUUAUGCUUUAAAGUUACAUUUCCAUCAAAAUUUGAGAUCCAUCAAAUGAACCUUAGGAAAAAUGUUUUAAAAUUGGCAUAUAAUUUUACCUAAAGACCUUGCCUAAGUGUUAGAAGCAAAAGGACAAAAAAAAUAUAGGUUUUCUGGUCAAAAAUGGUGAACCAGUCAAGGCAUUGUCUAAAUCAGCUCAAUCGGCCAAGGUACCGGUCGAUCGGUUUCCCUUUCCCUGUCGAGAUCUAGUCAAGAGGUACAAAAAUCACAAUCUCUGUCUCUUUCUCUCUUUGUCUAUCUUCCAGUAGUCUUUCCUUCCCGGUCGAGGGAUUUGCCUUCCCGAUUGAGGUCCGAUUGAGAGUAAUAGUCACUUGCCAAAUAUUAAAUGCUCCAACAGUUAGUGAACUGGUCGACCCCCACCUUGCCCAGUUGAGGUUACUUUUUGGUUUUCUUGGCUCCCGAUGUUAGAAACCUAUAAAUAGAGAGUUCCACUUCAUUUAUGAGCAAGAGAACACUUGCAUUUAUUUGUUUACCUACUUGUUCUUGCCUUAAAAGCUCUCAUUUCUUUUCUUGGUGCAUUAAAUCUCCAUUUUGAUAUCCUUUAGUGCACCUUUGUGAUUCAUCUUAGCCUUGAGUUGUAUUUGAGCCCUUUUUUUAGCUAGGUUGAGAGUUUCAUACUUGUUAAUUGAGUGUUAAAGCCUUCAAGUGAGUUGAAACUUGUAGAGAUUAUGUGAGAGUCGAUUGGAGCCGAAAUCCAAGUGUAAAGGUGAUUAGAAGCUUGGUUGAAGCUUCAAGUUAGUGGAAUCCUCACUCAAUUAGGAGCUUGAGGAGAGUGGACGUAGCCAAGGAAGUGUCGAACCACUAUAAAAUUUGAGUUUGAUUUCUCUAACAUUGUCUCUUUAUAUUUGUUUAUCUUGUGCUUAAAUUUAUUGUGUUUAAAAAGAAUUUUUAAAUACCCAAUUCACCCCCCUCUUGGGUGUUUUUCUCUUUUAAAAUUAGCCUUUAUUUUCUCACAAACUAUUGUAGUAUAGUGGUUUUUAGGUGUCAUCCAUUAGGAUGAAUUGUUCUCGGUAAUUAAGGCGUGAAUGAGAGGAGAAUUAAUGAUUGUGAUUAAGUAAAAUUGAUUUGAAAAUUCAUGGUGAAAAAUCAAUUUAACAAUGGUUUCUAAUUGAGAAAAACAAUGAAAUGUGAAAUAAAAUAAAAUUAAUAGGAAAUGAAAUUCUCGAAGUUAGAAUUUUCUAAAAAACAAAUUCCAUGGUGAAUGGAUGUUGAGAUCUAAUUUUCAUCAAGUUAGAUUGAAAACCGAAAUUUUCAUAUAAACUGAUUUUUUAUUUAGUUUUAGGUCUAGAUUUAAUUUCCCUUAAAAUUAGGUUAUUUAAUCCAAGAAAUCAAUUCAAAUCAUAUAUUCAAUUCAUCUUAAAUUAUCUUCCAAUUAUUCACACAAUGCAACUAUUCAAUCUCAUCAAAUCUAGCUUUUAAGAAUUUAAUGAAUCUACCUAGUUUGCAUUGUAAUAGUCAUCCAUGACAAUUUGAAGAGAAAAAUAAUUCAAUUAAUCAAUCACUUGGAUCAAAUUACCUUUGCAAUUAAAGUUCAUUUCUCUAAUUCACCACAGAUUUUGUCUCUAGAUCCUCCUUUCUCAAAGAAAAAUGAGAUUUAGCCACACAUGAUUGGAGAUUUGGUCUCAUAAGGCAUGUUUAGCUAGUGAUAAAAUGAGAGAAAAUAAAGAAAAAUAGAGAAUUCGAUUAAGAAAGAAAAUCUAAAAAAUUCUACAAUUAGAAAUGUCCAAAAAGCUUUUUCAUGAGAAAAUCAAGUUUCUAUUUAUAGGCCAAGGUCAAGUGGACACUUGACAUCAUCUAAGAGGUCUUCCGGAAGCUUCUUCAUCAAGAAAUCUGGAGUUUAAUAAUAAAAUGGUCAUUUCACAAGAGCUCAAACAAUUUCGCAUGAUUAUGUGAAAUAAAAAAUGCAACAACAGCAAUUUACAUCUUCUUGGAGCAUUUCGCAUGACUGUGUGAAAUUUUCACAUGAUCAUGUGGAAUCGACUUGACAACUCUCAUUUAGCCUACAACAUAAUUCCACCUUUUGGUCCAUUUUUCAUAGUCAUGCGAAAUGGAAAUAUUUGAUUUUUAAGUUUUCUUUUGUCAUUUCUUUCAUUUCCUUCUCUUGAUUCCACUUCAACUACCUCCGAAUCCUGGUCCAAACCAAUUGCAUUACUUCUUUCAUUAUGCAUUUGGAUCAUCAUCAACAUUAUUUGUUCUCUUCAAUUUGAUUCAUCUCUUUUGUCACCAAUUUAUCAAAAUCAUACCUUGAAAUGACUCCAAAACUUCAUAAAACUUGUUAGUAACUCUUGCAAGGGCAACAACAUAUUAAUUAAGUGUUUUAGGCAUAGUUACUACUCAAAAGAUGCGAAACUCAUGAUAAUUAUUAUAUAAAAUAUGCUCUUUUUGAGUAGUAAUCAACUUUCUUGCAUAAGCAGACCUUUUAGGGUGGAGUACUAAAGACCAAUAUGCUUGUCCUUGUUGUAAUAAAGAAACUUGCUCUUAUUGAUUGCACCAUGGGAGAAAAUUUUGCUACAUGAGUUAUCAUCAAUUUCUUCCCACCAAUCAUAGAUUUAGACGUGACAAGAGGCCUCUUAAUGGCAAGGAGGAACUGACACUCACACUUAUACAAUUAUCGGGCAUUGAUGUGUUGCAACAAUUAGAAUAACUUACACCAAUUAUGUUGGGGAAGUCACAAAAGGCAAACAUGAAAACUAAAAGGAAAAAAGAAAAAUGUUACAUAUCACCACAACUGGAAAGAAAAAAGUAUUUACUUUCAUUUGCCAUAUUGGAAAGCACUUAUUUUACAUCAUAAUAAUUUAGACAUAAUGCAUAUUGAGAAAAAUGUGUGACAAUAUAAUUGAGACAUUGUUCAGUAUUGACGAAGAAACAAGGACAACCUAAAUAGUCAUCUCGAUUUACAAGCUCUAACUAUUAGAAAUGAGAUUCACCCAAUAGAAAGCAGGACCAAAUUUAUUUUGCUUGCAACAUGCUACUCACUCACCCCAAAUGAGAUUAAGGAAUUUUGCAAGUUUUUGAAAUCAAUAAAGGUCCCCAAUGGCUAUUCUUUCAAUAUCUCUCGUUAUGUGCAACUCAAUGAAAGGAAGAUAUAUGAGCUCAAAUUGUAUGAUUGUCAUGUCCUAAUGCAACAACUUCUCUCACUUGUAGUUCGUGGAGUUCUACAUAAGAAUGUUUGUGGAGUUAUCAUAGAAUUGCGUAAUUUUUUCAAGCAAUUGUGCUCAAAGGUGUUAGAAACAAAUCACUUACACCAACUUGAGAACAAUAUUAUUGUCAUACUAUGUAAAAUGGAGCAAAUAUUUCUUCCAUCAUUCUUUGAUAUUAUGGUGCAUUUACUUGUGCAUCUAGUAAGGCAAAGGUUGCAAGACUUGUGCAAUAUUGUUGGAUGUACCUAAUUGAACGAUAUUGUUAUAAUUUCAUAUGAAUCAUUUAAUUUUAUUUUAUAUUAUGUUCAGUUCAUUAACAUGUACAUUGGUCUACAUAUGGAUGAUGAUAGGUACCUAAGCACUUUAAAGUCAUAUGUGCGUAAUAGAACUUUUCUAGAAGGUUCUAUUGUAGAAAGGUACCUUGCAAAAGAAUGUACAACAUUUUAUUCUAGGUACUUGAAUGAUGUGGAAAUAAAGUAUAAUCACAAUGAUAGAAACUUUGUUGGUUUCAACACUAGAGGAGAUGAAAGGGGUUAUCUUUAAACAUAUUGGACAUGCAUUGGGAAAGCCCAUAUUUCAUUAACUUAGUUCAAAAGAGUGGUCACAAGCACAUUUAUAUGUGUUGACAAAUUGCGAAGAUGUCAUACCAUUCAUUGAGUAAAAAAUUUAUUUGAAUUUUAAUUAAAGCUCUAGUUUAUAUCCUUAAUCAAUGUUUUUUAAAUUCACAAGGAGCACAAGCAAACCAUCAAGGCUAGACCACAUAUACGUGUUUGAGACGUAGAUUUAAUUCAUAACAAGGAAUUUAUCAAGUGGUUUGAAAGACAUGUAAGUAUAUUCCUUAUUAUAAGGGAUUUAUUUCACAUUAUGUUUAUAUUGAAUCCAAACCUAUUAUUGAAUUGUAGGUUGAACAAUUACAUAAUGAAGGUCAUAUAUCUGAACACCUUCUCACAUUAUCAUGUGUUCCAAAUUCAUUAGUUACAUGCUUCAAAUGAUAUAUUGUCAAUGGAUUUAGAUCCCACAUUAAAGAACGUGAUAAAAAAGUUUUUAAAAAAAGACUCAGAAUAAUGGAAUUGUUGUAGUUGCAAAAACGUCAAGCUUUACAAGUGCAUGUGAUAUGAGUCCAAUUAUUAGUGAUGCUCUCUACUAUGGUGUUCUAACUAAAGUUGUUGAGUUACAUUAUCUUGGUGAAAAUAAGGUUGUUUUAUUCGAGUUUGAUUGGUGGGAUGUUACAAAUAUUGGAAAAUUGAUAAAAGAUGAUGAGUACAAUUACACAUUUGUUAACUUUGCAUGAAUUCUAACCACGAACGAACGAUUUGUACUUGCAUCUCCAGCAAAGUAAGUGUUCUAUGUGAAGAAUGCGAAUGAAUCAGAUUGGCAUACUAUCAUGGAGAUGCAACCUCAAGACCUCUAUAAGAUGAACGGGAUAGGAUCCAAUGGUGAUUUUGAACCAUUUCAACAAAGUGAACUACAUGAUCACUAAUAUAUCUCAGAUUUAGUUGAUGAAGAUAUAAUCAAGUGGAACAAAAGUGAUGUUUUAGGACUAAUCAUCCUAAAAAAUAUUGUAGUUUCUUAAAAAAAAAAUGAAAAUGAAGAAGAUAAUUGAACCUUUGUCAUACUUUAAAAAGCAACUAUGCAUUGUUCAUUUUGUAUGUUUUGGUUUUCUUCAUUUAAUUUCCUGAUUUUUGUGAUUCAAUGUCAUAUUAUUGAUCUUGAAAUAUUUUUCUAAUUUUUCAUUCUACGAUGGUUUCAACAAGGAUGACAUCAAGUCAAAAAAGGAAAUGUGGUCCCACACACAAUAUUGCAUUACAGGGAUUAAGGUCAGGGAAGAAGGUAAAAGUUGCAUUUAAUGAGUACAAUCAAUUGGUUAAACAGAAAAAUGGAAAACACUUAUCGAGCUACAUAGGGACACUUGUAUCUAACCAACACAAUGUACCUCUCCAAGCUAGUGAUUGGAAAAAUGUUCCAAAUGAUGCAAAAGAGAAAGUAUGGCCUUUGUUUUGGUAUGUUGUAUUUCUCACUAUAUGAUGUCAUUUCACUGUUAUUCUAUUUUGUGACUAACGUUUGAAUCAUAUGUAAGAAAAAUUUGAAGUAGAUAAAGACUGAAAAGAUUACAUGUUGGGUAUAGCCUCAAAUAAAUAUAGAAGCUAUAAAAAUAUGAUGAAUGCAAAAUACUAUGACCCUUGGCAUAAGGAUGCAUGAGGAGAGGUUAAUACAUAAAUCACCAUUUGUCUCUGAUGUUGAUUGGAAGUGGCUUGUCUCUGAUGCAUAAACCAAAUCCCCCACUGAAUGUUUGAUAUUUGAUAGCAGGAAAAACACACCCGCAGCUAUACACCUCCAUCAUUCAGAUAAUUAUAGUGGGGGAGAUGAUUCAUGGUUGCCCUUAUACCCUUUAUUUGCACCAUCUAUUGAGAUUCUUUAUCAUGGCCAGGUUUUACUGCAGCAAUAAGAUAUGGUGGCAACAAUUUUAUCUAUAGGUGCGGUUCCAGACCGCCUCCAUAGGUGCGGUUCCUGACUGCCUCCAUAGGUGCCUCUUCUUGUAAUGUUUGUUCUGGGAAUUACACUUGAAAGCCUUAUCGUGAUAAGGGAUUACAAACACUAGUUCAGAGGACAGCCAUGUUAAACUUCCACUAUGUUUGUGUCACAUUAUCAGCAGCCUAGUGUUUAUUGGUCAUGCUAUCUGCAACUAAUAUAACCCGGUGAACUUCAAUCUAAAUUCUGAAAGUACUCAUGUGACAGAUGGUGCCUUUCAGCAGAUAUCAUCAAUUUAAAAGUAGUGUGUGUGCCUAUAGGUGGGAAGGCCUUGGCAAAUGUUCAGUAUUCCGGUAAUUCAAGAAGGAUAUAUCUAAAAUAGAUUUUCUUCUUGCCCAUUUCAAUAGUUAAAAUUUGAGAAGAUUGUGUCCACAUCACACAAAUAUUAUUGGUCCUUCUGUUGCAAUUUACCUCUGAACAUGUCUUCCAAUUCCCACGGUCCUGUUACUCCAGGAAAACUAUUUCGGUCAUAUUGAAAAAAAAAAUAUUAAAGAAGGUACACAUGCUUUUAAGUGGACUGGGGCAUUCAUAUCAGGUGGUCUGUAUCCACAUAUGCCACUUCGUGAAAGGUGGAACAGCCUAAUCACUAGGCUAUUUAGUGUGGCCCAGCCACGUUAAUCAAGCACAAGUCUUCAUACUUAAAGUCAAAUGGUGUCUUUAGUCUCAUUACACAUCGCUAUUUGAAGAUUAACUCAUCACUAGUGUAAUGCGAUUAAGACAGUCCUAACUCAAUAUUUGUUCUAGUUUUGGAUGCAAAUGCUUGCUGGUUUCAUCAUUGGAUGGGAUAAAGGUGCAAUCAGGACUAUGAAUACGUGCAGUAAUACUUCAUUCUCUUUUUUCUCAAUGAGACUUCUUGGCACAAUUUUGCUGCUCAGCAACCUACCUUUCCAUGGAAAAUCAGUUGUGACUGAUAGUAAUGGAUAUAUUCUAGAAAGCUAAACAUAGAUAGCAUUCAAUAUUAUCGAUAUAACAUUAACAGCGUAUGUCUCAAUGCUCAUCAGCUACAAGCAAUGGACAAACACUUUGAGUAACUCACAGCAGUCAAAAUUCCUAAACAGGACAGACGUGACAGAUCUAUAUAUAGAACACUGCAUAUGAGUCACAGGAAAAGAUAAUACGGGUACAUAGAAGCUCUUAUUUUACAUAUUACUCAUACUGAUCAAAGUCGCUCAGUUGGGAUGGAUGGGAGAAGGAGGUUUGAGGGGUGGCUUGUGCGGGGAAGUUGGCAGCUUCUUUCCGGGAGCUGGUUGCUUCUUUGCUGGAGUUGAAGGAGGCUUAAUCUUCCGAGGUGGCUUGUAUGAGUCUUCAGCAUUCUCAGCAGGAGGGUGACCAGGGUUGUGACCAUAAUGUGGUGGCUUCUCUCCCUUAGGUGGUUUGCCAACUGGGGUUGGUGGCUUGUUUUCUGGGAGUGGCUUCUCUCCCUUGGGUGGUUUGCCAACUGGGGUUGGUGGCUUGUGUUCUGGGAGUGGCUUCUCCCCCUUGGGAGGUUUUUCGAAUGGGGUGGGUUUGUGUCCUGGUGGUGGCUUCUCUCCCUUGGGAGGUUUACCAAUUGGGGUCGGUGGCUUGUGUUCUGGGAGGGGCUUCUCUCCCUGGGGAGGUUUAGUGGGUGGCUUGUGUUCUGGAGGUGGCUUCUCCACCGGAGGCUUAUGCUCUGGUGGUGGCUUCUCGAAGGGGGGAUGCUCAGGGUAAUCACCAAGUGAGGGGGUGGUGAGAACCACCAUGCCAAGCAACAACACUAGCAAGUAUGUAGUAGACAUCUUUGGGUUUGGACUCAGACAGUGCAAAACUACGAGAAAUCGCUAGCCCUUUAUAGCGGCUCGGACCUAAUACUGACAUAAUAUAAAAUAAAUAUUAUAUUUUAUCAAGAGAGAACAGAGUGUAAUUUUAUCAUUAAUACCGAUCGAGGCCAAAGAAAGAAGACCCAUAAUCCAUUUCCCACAAGCAUACACAAUGCAGCUGUAAUUUUAUCAUUUACUUUUAUCCCUUGGACCACUGCAUUUUUGUUGAGAGACACAAUAACACAUUUUUAUCUGUCAUUCAACAUUUACAGUAAAGAGAGGGCACAAAACGCAAUUAGAUAAAUUAUGUUUUGCCUGCUAAAAAGAGGCAAAUAACUUUAUUUGCAACAUAAUUAUUUUGGUUUCUAGUGACCCCGGGGCCUUUCGGUUGGUUUGGGAUCGGAAAAUGAACAUCAUAGGGGGGGUUGUGCCCUUAUGGGCAUAUAUAUCUGAUAGCUUCAACUGGCCUUGUUCCUAGAAAGAAAUUGCCAAAGAUAUAAACUUAUUCCAGGCUGAAAGUAGAUGAGAGUCAUAAUGAACAUCAACCUUUGUUCAGUUUGAUUCAAUGCCCCCAUAGUGUUCAUUUCACAGAUCUGAAUGAUUAUAUCCGUUGAAUACAUAAAUUAAUGAAGACAAAUAUGAAACCCAAGAUACAUCUCUGCAUAACAACCCCAACCCUGGUUGCUAUGUUUCCCUUCUUCUAUUCACAUGAGGAUACUGGUUAUAAUUGUCAAACUUGCAACAAGCCCUUUGACACCUAACGUCAAUGGACGAAUUAAAAGUCUCCUUCAAACGUCUAUUUCACAGCAUGAAGCUUAUAAAGGAUGCUGACAACCUUCAGAGUUAGCGACAAAAGAUAAUUAUCAAGGAGAGAUAGUUCCAUGAGAAUUCCAAGGAGUCUGAAUCAAAGACAAAUUGCUCACUCAAGGGUUCUUAUUUUCUUUUAGGUACAAAUCUCUUGAGUGUUGUUAAAGAAACACGUCACUGUCAUUUUGAUUUGCAUUUAACAUUUCACUUUUGUUCUGGAAGGUUUGUUCCGGAAACAUAUCAAAUGAGCAUCAUUUUCUUCUUCGGUGACACAUGGUCGCGAGUACGUGGGUCCAUUUUCAUGCCACUUAGUUGAAAAGUUGGAAAGAAAAAACAUGCCAACAAGAAGAUAGUGAGAGAAGGGGCACUUCAAGCCUUUAACAUGAACAAACAGUAAAUAAAAGAUGUUUCUCCACUCAUAAAAGUGUGUUAGAUAGCAAUAUAACGAAUCACAUCCAAAAUCUUUACUAGGCUCAAACAUAAAGAAGACUCAUUUUUAAGAAAAGAUAAAAAUGGCAUUGUCUGAUAGUAUCCAAUACACGAGAUGGCACUUAAUUUGUACAAGAUCUGUCAAUGCUGACGCACAUUUUCUGAUUAAAAAAAAACUGAUCAGUCAAAAGCAAUGAAGAGAAGUGAUGACAAUGAAUGAUGCUUCCAAUAUUUUCACCCCUUAUAGUGUUCUUCAUGAUUCAGAUAUAUAAUUGGAAAUAGAACAACCCUAUGCCAUACAUUCGUCUAAGUAUGGUGUCUAAUUUUUUGUGUCAGCGGUUGCGAAUGGAGCGUGCAAAAGUCCAAAUUGGCGUCUCUCCAUUUCCACAUAGGAAGGUGACCUUUAUUGACAAAUACCCAAUAUUUGUAGACAUUCCUUAAAUAUCAUAACUUCUUGUUGAUUUGAAAAUCAUUUUUCAACUACCAUGUUUUAAUAAAUAUUUUUUAAAAUGUAUUUUUAUCAAAGUCCACCAUGAUGGAUAAUAUUCACCAUGCAAUAAUUAAUAAAGUACAAACUAAGCGAAAUGAAAAGCAUUUUCUUUGCUUUGAGUUGAUUUUGGUUGCAUUGAGUUGAUUUUGGUUUCAUGGUUUUUUCAACUCUUAUUUUGAUUGGAAGAUGUCAAGAAAAGAAAACAUAAAGAAAAAUUAAAAGGGAAAAAAGAAGAAAAAUAAAAAAAAAUAGAUUUAAAAGUUAAUAAAUUAUUUUUUAUAUUUAUUUUAAUUCAUUUCACUUAUUUUUCUUUUACUAUAUAAAAUUUAAAUAAUUUAAAUUUUAUAAUUAAUUUAAUUACAUUUCAUUUUCUUCUAUAUUUAAAUAUUGGAAAAAUAUUUUACUUAAUAUUUUUUUCUUUAAUUUCUUUGGCAUUUUGGGAACCAAACUUAGCCUUUAAAAUAAAAAACAAAAAAAAAAUGAAAAUAAGGAGGGAAAAGUGAGAAAAGAUAAAAACAAUAUGUAAAGGAUUUGAAAAGUAUUAGUUUGUAAUUACUAUUUGGAUUUCAAUAGUAUUUUAUUUGUCUUUCUAUAUUUCAUGUAAGAGAGAAUUUAAGAUAUUCCCCAAGGCAAAGCAUUAGUUACCUGCAAUCAGUGGUGAUAAGGCUCCAAGCCAAUUUUGGGCCCCAUAUCUUAAGACAGUACAAUUUCCAUUUCAACAUUUCUGAUUUCUCAGAUGUUUCACAUACCACAGAAGAACAUUGUUUGUGAAAAUAUGCAUUUAUGUUGGAUUUUGUAUGCUGUGGGGACUGGGGCAAGGAUCAUAUGGAAGAGUGGUUGACUUUUUCUGUACUUUAACGGUUGAAAUAGGAUAAGCACGGGCAUUUGUGAGGCUUAAUUGAUUUUGAAGCCUGAAAUUGCGUUUCUGUCAUUUUGUCAAAAAAAUGGCAGAUUCCAUACUCAUAUGUUUGGCCUGUGGCCAUGUACAGAUGCCAUUUAGUGACCAGUUUGUAACUGUCAAUCGUUGCGUUUUGACUCUGCCUCAACAACAUCUGCCAUUGACGGGUUUUCAUACUUGCAAAUCAAAUAGUCUUUCGUCCCAUCAGGAAUUUCGGUUUAAAUAUUAUUAAGCAUACGUUUGGCUGACAAUCAUUAUCCAGUUCAUGAUUUGGUUUCUUACCCUUAAUCAAUGGUUUCUAAGUGAAUAUAUGUAGAAGGAAAUCCGAAGUGUAGACAGUAGUAUCGAUAACUCUCAAUAUUCUCUAUAUAAUAGAAUAAACAGCGUCAUAGUGAUCGUCGCCUACAAGCAAGGUACAAAUACCAAAACGAGUGACUCACAUAGACAUCUCCCAACAAGAUGUAGUAGUGACUGACACAUGGACACAAUUAACUCGUAGAAAAGGAUAAGACCAUUGCACAGCAGCUCUUAUUUUACAUACUACUUAUGCUAACCAAAGUCAAUUAGUUGGGAUGGGUGGGAGAUGGAGGUUUGUGCGGUGGCUUGUGGGGCGGAGUUGAUGGCUUCUUUCCAGGAGCUUCUGGCUUUUUCAUCGGAGCUGAAGGAGGCUCAAUCUUAUGAGGCGGCUUGUAUGAGUCUUCUUUACUCUCGACAGGAGGGUGGCCAGGGUUGUGAUCAUAAUGUGGUGGCUUCUCUCCCUUAGGUGGCUUGCCAACUGGGGUUGGUGGCUUGUGUUCAGGAAGUGGUUUCUCUCCCAUGGGAGGUUUAGCAAUUGGGGUUGGUGGCUUGUGUUCUGGGAGUGGCUUCUCUCCCUUGGGAGGUUUAGUAGGUGACUUGUGUUCUGGAGGUGGCUUCUCCACCGGAGGCUUGUGCUCCGGUGGUGGCUUCUUGGUUGGAGGGGGCUUGGGGUAAUCAGCAAGAGAUGGGGUGGUGAGAACCACCAGUCCAAGGAACAACACUAGCAAGUAUGUGGGAGACAUUUUUGAGUUUGGGCUGAUCAGAUGAUGCAAAACUAAAGCAUUACGUGACCUUUUAUAGCAUGUAGCUCCCAAUACCCACUAAGUAUUGUGGGGUCCAUUUGUGCCCUACGGGGUUGAAAACUUAGACAAUUGGGCAAGGACCCACCUGACUAUGGAGGACUAGUGAGGUGUGAUCAUAGCUUUAGGAUUUUUCUUCCUCUGCAGCCGUCGUGCCGUUGGCAUGAUUUUCUUAAUCUUAAAUAAAGGCAUAGUUAUAGAGUUGUUUAAUCUCUAAAUGGGAUUUUAUAUAUAUCUUCAGAUAGCCAUUAAUAUAUUUGAUGAAGAAAGAAAGACAAGUGCAUACAACAUGUAUACGACUAGCUUUCAUGGAGUUCAUUUAUGAUCAGUUUUCCUGUACAUGUAAACCAGGAUCAUAUAUAUGUUUCUGUUCCACAACUAUUUUGGAAUCUUGUUUAUCAGUUUUUAUCAUUAUAAUGUCACAUAGGCUGCCAACUUGGGCGCUAAAAGAACCAGUUGGGCUAGUUCGUUUCAGAAUUUCAAUGUGGAUUCAGGAAUUGUUUUGUAAGAUAUGCGAAAUAGUAGAGGGAUGAAUAGUGUUUCAUUAAUAAAAGUGUCCUGUAAAUUAGAAGGUGUCAUAGAAACUAUAAUCAAUAAAUAACUUUUUUUCCCCACGGGUGGUGUUUCUUGUGGGGAUCAGUGACUGGUUUAGGUUCACCCAAAAUGAGUUCAGACUAAAAUUGGUUUGAGUCAAUGCCGUGUCUCUUUUUUCCAGAAAUCAACUAUUUUAUGCAUUGAAUAAAUCAUACAAAGAAAAUAUGAACGCCCGCAAAACCUAAACCCUGGUUGCUAACUUUCUAUGUUUCAGUUCUAUUCACGCAAGAAUAUUAGUUUAAGUUUGGGAAAAAUGGCAACUUACCUAGUGAUUACUUGGUUUUGGUUUGCGACUAUUUACGCAACCAACCAUGAGUUUGACUUUAACGUCAUGGGUUGAAGCCUCCUACAGGAAGGGAGAAAGCUCCACAGCUAGCUCCAAAAGAGAAUUAUCACAUUGAUAGCUCCAGAGAUUCCCAAGGGGACUGAAUCAAAGACAAGUUCCUCACUUUUUCUUCUUUUGAGGCCAAAUAUGAACCAAGGAUCACACAACCUCAUUCAACUUCAUAAGUUUGAUUUCAUGCAGUUGAACACUGGGUGAAGGCCAUGACAAGAAUUGAUUCAAAAAUUCUAUCACUCUUUUAAGUAAUGGAAGAUUAUUAUCUCUGAUUGGCAUCACAACAGCACAUGCUCCUAGAUCUUUCUAGACACUCCAUGCAAUGAAAGCACAAUGGAUCUUGUAACGAUAGAAACUAAGCCAUGCUACAGUACUAGAUGAUGAGGUAAAACUAGUAGACACGGGUGGCAGCCUAUAUGGGAGGGACACAAGUCUAAUUGAUUUGCAUUUCAGCAUUAUAGAUAGGUAUGUUUUGGAAGAUUUGUUCUGGAAAUACCGCACCAAGUAGGAUUCUUUUUCUCUUUAGUGGGUCCACUUGCAUGCCAAUUAACGAGUUGAAAAGUAUGAGCACCUACCUCGUGCUCGUGGAACCGAAGGUCAGUGAAGUGGGGCUCCUUUUGGCCUCGUGUAAACUUGAUUCAGAAGUGAAGUUAAUAGUCUUCCAUUCAGAUGGAUACAUGGGAAUUUUUCUCUUUUAUUUAUUUAUUUAUUUUUUUUUUGUGUGUGUAUGUCAAAGGAUAAUGAAUGAAGCGCGUUAGCUUGUUUUCUGACUGGAACCGCAGAUGUCCAAAUUGGAGUUCCUUCAUUUCUUACUUAGGAUUGUUACAUGUAUAAACAAGGUAUAAGAAAUAUGCCAACGUGUCUUGAGGAGUUAUUGAUUAGAAAUAACAAGUCACCCGACUGUAGAGUUCCAAGAUUUGAAUCUUCAGACCCUAUAGCAGCCUCUGGGGUACGUGGCAUCCUAUAGCAUAUUAAUGAAGGCUUUUUCGAUUUAGACUUCACAAUACCAAUUAAUAUGUAUGCACAAAAUGGAGAUGACCCCAAAAAAAACAGAAUCGCCAUAGUUUAUGAGGUUAAGGUGAUUCUCCACUUAAUAUCUACAUUAGCUAAUUAUGUAAAUCAAAUGAACUUCUAUUUUUCCUUUUUUUUUUUGGUUUAUGUCAAAUAGUAGCCCAUAAUUAACCCAACCAUUAGCCUGUUUGAAUUGAUUUCACAUGCACAAUGUUGUAGUAGUUCAUAUUUUGAAUUUUAUUUUUACAAAGGUAGUUAAGGAAAAUGAAGUAUAAUAAUUAUAAAAGCAGACUAUAUACACUACAAUAAUUGUUAGAAUGGUAUCUCAAAUUCUAAUUUAAAAUAUUAUUUUUUGUAAAAGAAAUAUUAUAUAGAAUAUUUCCUAAUUUUAUAAAUGAUUAUAAUUAGAUCUUUAUAAAAUAAGGAAAGUUGGUAAGAAUAUCUUUAUAAAUAUUUUAGGUCAUGAGAGAAAGAAAUGGGAUAAAAAUGUGAUGAAGAGGUGAAAUAAGAGAGUUGAUUAGGAUAUAGAUGUGAAGAAGAAAGGGAUUCAAUAUAUAUAUAUCUUUCAAUUACCACAUUAAAACCCUGUGAACCUUUUAUAUGGUUUACUUUAUUUUUAUAUUCCUCCUUUAAUAUAUUUACAUUAAUGCUUCCAUUGGCACAACAAUAACGAAUUACAAAUACAAGCAACAAGUCCCAUGUUUUAUUACCAAAAGCAGGUAAAAUCCACCUAAUAUAUUACAAUAUAUUCAUCCAAUAUUUUAGACCAAUUCUUCACCAUAAAUAUCAUAAUGUGGCUUUUGUUCUUUCUUAAAUUUAAAUUGAAUUGUCUUAUAUCAAUUUGUUUGUGAUUUUUUCAUUAACUUCACUUUCAUUUGGUUAUCUUUGGUUUUUGAAAAGUAUUAAGGAAUUAAUUAACAAAAUAAUGUUAAGAAAAAUAAUUUUCUCUCUUUUGAUUUUGAUUUUGUAGUAGAAAAAUAUAAUUAAAAUUAUUUAAAAAGUAUGUAAUUUUAAAUUAUUUAAUAUUUAGAUAAAAAAAAUAAGUCUAAUGAGUUUAAAAUAACAUAUAAAAAUAAUUUAUUUAUUUUAAAUUUAUUUUUUAUUUUCCAUUAUGUUCUCUUUCUCUUUUACUUUUUCAUAUUUUUUCUUACGAAGAAUCAAACACAACCUCAUAUUAUAUGUCAAGUGUUUGUCUAUAUUUGAGCAAUGUUAGAUACGGCCAUGGAUUCAUCAAACUAAACUGAUUUUAAUAGAUACUUCACAAAUUGAUUUAUACACUAAAUCAUUGGAUAGCAAUGAUGCAUUGGAAUUAAACGUAGGAUGAAGCUCGAAGAACACUGUUUGUGUAACAACAUAUUUAUGAAAUUAUGCAAAGGAUGAGCUUCGGGGUAGUAGUACAAGGUCAUUAAUGGAGAGCCGUGUUAAACCUUGAUUGUGAUUGGAUUCCGUUAUCAGCAACAGCAACCUUGUUUGUAACCUUGAAAGUCAUUCUGUCCACAUCGAAACUCCAAUUUGACGUUUGUAAUUACCAUUCCUGGAGUGUUCCUUGAUUGAAAUUUAAAUAAUAAUUGCGGCCCACAAGGAAUAUUUUCGAUUCUGUGGGAAUUUGACAAGGUUUGUUAGAGAAGACUGGUGACAUGUUGACUUCAAUGGUUCAAAUAGGAGACGUAUGUGGAUUUGGGGGGUUUAAUUGAAACUGAGUCCCUAUGGCUUUUUAAUAUUUGCAUUGAGCAGUCUCCAUGUGACUUCCUAAUUCCCACCAACCCUCCUGUCCAUGCUGUGAAACUAAAUUGUAAUUUAUCAGCCUUUGUCAAUGGUUUCUAAAUUAAAGAUAUAGACCAUGCAUGUACUUUAAUAAAAGCAAAUCUAAAGUGUAGAUAGCAGCAAUGGUGACACCCAAUAUUCUCCAUAAAAUAGAAUUAGAAUAAGCAGUGUUACAUUGUUCAUGAUCACCUACAAGCAUACAAGAACUUCCAUGAAUAACUCAUAGCAAUUGCCAACAGGGCGUCGUAGAGACUCAUACAUAGAACACUAUCCACCCAGAGGAAAGGACAAGACCAGUGCGCUGCAGCUCUUAUUUUUCACAUGUAUACCACCACUCGUAAUAACCAAAUUCACUCAGUUGGGAUAGGUGGGAGAUGGUGGUUUGUGGGGUGGCUUGUGGGGAGGAGUUGGAGGAGGCUUUAUUUUCUGAGGCGGCUUGUAUGAGUGUGCAGGAGGAUGCCCGGGAGUGUGACCAUAAUGUGGUGGCUUCUCUCCCGUAGGUGGUUUGCCAAAUGGGCUUGGUGGCUUCUCUCCCUUAGGAGGUUUACCAAUUGGGGUUGGUGGCUUGUGUUCUGGGAGUGGUUUCUCUCCCUUGGUAGGUUUGCCAAUUGGGGUUGGCGGCUUAUGUUCUGGGAGUGGCUUCUCUCCCUUGGGAGGUUUGCUAAUUGGGGUUGGCGGCUUAUGUUCUGGGGGCGGCUUCUCUCCCUUGGGAGGUUUGCCAAUUGGAGUUGGCGGCUUAUGUUCUGGGAGUGGCUUUUCUCCCUUGGGAGGCUUGCCAAUUGGGGUUGGCGGCUUAUGUUCUGGGGGUGGCUUCUCUCCUUUAGGAGGUUUGCCAAUUGGAGUCGGCGGCUUAUGUUCUGGAAGUGGCUUUUUUCCCUUGGGAGGUUUGCCAAUUGGGGUUGGCGGCUUAUGUUCUGGGGGUGGCUUCUCUCCCUUGGGAGGUUUGCCAAUUGGAGUCGGCGGCUUAUGUUCUGGGAGUGGCUUCUCUCCCUUGGGAGGUUUUGUUGGUGGCUUGUGUUCUGGAGAUGGCUUCUCCCCUGGAGGCUUGUGCUCCGGAGGUGGCUUCUGAAAUGGCGGGGGCUUGGGGUAAUGAGCAAGAGAUGGAGUACUGGUGAGAACCACCAUUCCAAGCAACAAUACUAGCAAGCAUGUGGGAGACAUCUUUGAGUAGUUGUAGCUAAGAUGGCGCAACACUGUAGGCAUUGGGUGGCCUUUUAUAAAGGGCUGGACCCAACAGCCAUAUGACACGUGUCAUGAUGACAAAUGAAGUUGAGGGGAUCCAGAUGGGUCCUACUGAGUCGAAAACUUGCACUAAUUGAUCUGGUGAGAUGACUAUUUCUGUCCUUUUGCCCUUCUCGGCCACCCUGUGCUGUUUUCCUUUUGCACGAUUUUCGUUGCCAAACAAGCAAAUAAUAUUUCGCCAAGAAAGAGGAGAGUGAAUGUGGAAUGCAUCAAGUCCCAUCAAGGAUGGCAGAGAAGAAAUAGAAGAUUGCCCAACUGUGAUAAACAUAGCAUACACGUAGCACCAGGAACUUCAUUUACUUCCAUCUAAUGGAACAUAACAAUCUUCUAAAGUUUUUGCAUGAUUUUGUUAUAUGUCUCUUAGCCUAAAGUUGGAAAUGCGCAACAAAUUUUGUCACUUCUCUAUUUCCCACUGAUGAUGUUAAUUAGCCUUCAUAGAUAUCAUCCUUUCUACAAAGUGCUUCAUUUGUGUGUUAUUGUAAAGUGUAAGAAAAGUAAUUGAACAUGUUCUUUUUCCUUUCAUAGAUGACUUUUGAUGUGCAUUUUAAAAGCAGCGCUGUGAGUCGGUGACCUUGAUUCACACGGAAACUAAGGCUCCUAUAGGACCCACUUUUAGCUGGUUAGGGGUGAAGAAAAUAUCAACUUUUCAGAGUGAUUUAAGUCAAGGCCAAGCCUCACUGUGUCAUUACUCGUGUGAAUUUUAUAUGCACAUACAUACAUAAAUAAAGUAUGAGACCCAAAUAACACCUUCCCUUUACAAACUUAACCCCAGCCGCUCUCUUUCAAUUCUUUUCACACAAGGGUAUUGACUCUAUAAAGGUCAAGAAAAUCAUAAUUUCCUAGGGUUUACAAGGUAAUUGGCUUAAUGCUAAUGUGAAAACAUAAAAGAUAAUAGUAUAUUGUAAGCUAACGAAUAUUCUAUAGUUAUAAUUAUUUGUGAUGUGCAUAAAUAAAUCUUCAUAUAUAUAAUGGAACAAUGAAUAAAGAACCAAUGAAAAAAUACUAUAUAUCAUUGCUUGGCAUUUAAACCGUAUAUGCUGCUCUUUCUAGCUACUCCAUCCACUGAAAGACAACAAGGUAAUCCAUGUUAUAAUGAUAGAAGAUACUGUCUCUAGGCUUUUUGUGAUGAAAAAUAUAAGAUAUGGGUAGGGUUGACCCUUGUAUGUUUGUCCUAUAAACACUUCAAAGUAACAUAUUUUUCUUCUUUAGCAACUCAUAAUGAUGGGGUUCAUUUGCAUGUCACUGAGUUGAAAAGUUGGACAAUUGCCCAUGUCGCCUUCCUCCUAGAUUCCGUAGUUCACGGGAAGGUAACUCAAGUUUGACAUAUUUUGAAUUCUUUUCACUCGGACGUCUUCAUAACCUGACAAAACAAAAAUGAAAAACAGAGGAUUGGUAUAUUAUUCAUGGUAAGCCUCAAAUUAUAGUAGUAUGAGAAAGGAGAAAAAGAUUUUGGGAACUCCAAUCUGGAUAAUUCUCGUUUCUUCUCUUGAAUAAAAAUUUCACUUACCUAACUUCGUUUGGAGAAAUGGCAUAUUUUAAUUUUGUACGUCAUUGCUAAUAAAUGGAGCAAUUUAGCAUGUUUUGUGACUGAAACUGCAAAUGUCCAAUUGGCAUUUCUUCAUUUCCCACUUAGGAUCUGAUCUUGUAGACCAUAUAACGAUAUGUAUCUGUGCAAGCAUUGAAAACUAAUGUGAACUAUGAGGAGUUACAAGCCACUGGACUGUAGAGCGAGUGCCAAGAUUUAAAUCUUCAGGCUCUAUCUGGGUAAGGGGAGGAUAGCGACCUAACCUUUUACCAAAGGCUUAGAAUUUAGACUUUUGGAAAAAAAUUUCUCAUGUUUUGGCUGGAUUUCUUGUGCUUGGCGCAAAAAGGAGAUGGCCUCAAGAAAUAGCAGACUCACUUUUGUUUUCAGCCCUUAAUAAUUCUCCACUGCUUUCCAUAACUACAUGGGUUAUACAUGCAGUCUGCUGCAAUAUUCCAGUUAUAUUUAUUAUUUCAAAGAGGGUGAAUGACUUCACAUGCAAUAUGUUGCAGUAACAACCCAAAUUUUGGCACACCAUCUUAAGAAUAGAAAAGUAUAAUAAAAGAAAUCAAUCAGAGAAUCACUUUGCAUGCAGUUCAUAGAGUUCGCCCAAAAUGGAGCCACAUGUACGGACAACCCCACAAUAGACAAUCUUCUCUAUACAGUAAUAAAAUACAGAAAUGGUUAAUGAAGCUCUGUAUUUCCUUAUCAUAUAUGACCGGUUGAAAACUCAGCAAGUCUUCCUCAAUCACAGACAGUUGGAGUUGCUUCAUCAAAAUCAUGCCUUCAUUACUGGCUUCAUUUUGGUUUCAAUGUCUGUUCUACCCUUAAAUUGGGUCUCUGCUUACUACCGGGAUAUCCUUUAGCGUCCUGCAAUUCUACUAGAUUAAAGAGAAUGACUUAAUUCUGCAUUCUGCCGUCCCUAGUCCAAGUGGUACUAGAAUUGAUGUUUCCUUUAGUGUCCUUUCUUCAUACUUUCAGGUUCUUCCCUUGUUUCAAUAAUGCUGUUUUCCUUCAUGUUUAACCUCUGUUGAACCACUUAAAACAACACAAUUUGCACACCAAUGUUUCUUUACAGAAAAGACUGUUUGCAAAAAUGCACAUGUUAUAAGGUUAAUGGAAGAAUUAAUUUGGGGAUAAGGGACUAGGAUUGGGCCAAUGAAGUUUGGUGUUAAAUUUUGAUUAUGAUUGCUUUUCAUUAUCAGGUACCUUAUAUUUGCUGAUGCUAUCUGGAACUAAAUUCAAAUCAGACAUUAUCCGAUUACUAACAGGACAUAUCAUGUCCCUCUGCAGAGUUUCUAAACUAACAUGUAUCGAAAUGUGGCCCCAAAAGGAAGGCUAGGAAGAUGGAGGAUUUUGUAGGAAUCGACCAGAAUCAGAUGGAAGAGAGAUAGUCCUGUUGACUUUAAUGGUUGUGAUAGGAACAUGCAUCAUUAUAUGAGAAGUUGCAUGAAUUUAUGUAUCCUGUUAUCGUUCCUUGACGAUUUCCCAAUGCAAUUUCACUGUCCACAAGACUAACCUCUCCAUGCAGUCAAAUGAAUUGUAAUUUCUCUAUUGGUACCAGUAGUACAUUUCAUACCAAACAUAUAGUAAAUAUAAAAUAUAAAUAGAUCAAGGAAAUCUGAAUUGUAGAUAGCACUGCAAGUAACACUCAAUAUUCUCUAUAUAUAAUAAAAUAAACAGUGUCACAAUACUCAUCACCCAGUGGCAAGGGAGAAAAACCUACAAUGAGUACUCAAAUCACCAUUCUCAAACAGAAACAUAGCAGUGACUGAUACAUAGAACCUAUAUGCUCACAGGGAAAGAAUAAGAUGACCAGUGCACAGCGGGCAGCAGCUCUUAUUUUACGUACAACUCAAAUCCCAAACUAACCAAAGUCGCUCAGUUGGGAUGGGUGGGAGAUGGUGGUUUGUGGGAUGGCUUCUGGGUAGGAGCUGGUGGCUUCUGUCCCUUUGGUGGUUUGCCUAAUGAGCUUGGUGGCUUGUGCUCCGGGAGUUGUUUCUCUCCCUCGAGUAGGUUUCGAGUCUUGUCAGAUGGCUUGUGUUCUGGUGGUGGCUUCUCUCCCUGGGGUGGUUUGCCGAAUGGGCUUGGUGGCUUGUGUUCGGGGAGUGGCUUCUCUCCCUGGAGAAGGUUACGAGUUUUGUCAUAUGGCUUUUGUUCUGGUGGUGGCUUCUCUCCCUGGGGUGGUUUGCCGAAUGGGCUUGGUGGCUUGUGUUCGGGGAGUGGCUUCUCUCCCUGGAGAAGGUUACGAGUUUUGUCAGAUGGCUUGUGUUCUGGUGGUGGCUUCUCUCCCUGGGGUGGUUUGCCGAAUGGGCUUGGUGGCUUGUGUUCGGGGAGUGGCUUCUCUCCCUGGAGAAGGUUACGAGUUUUGUCAGAUGGCUUUUGUUCUGGUGGCGGCUUCUCUCCCUGGGGUGGUUUGCCAAAUGGGCUUGGUGGCUUGUGUUCGGGAACUGGCUUCUCUCCCUUGGGAGGUUCAGUUGGUGGCUGCUGUUCCGUAGGUGGUUUCUUCACCGGCGGCUUGUGCUCCGGAAGCGGCUUCUCUACCUGGAGAAGCUUACGAGUUUUGUCCGAUGGCUUGUGUUGUGGUGGUGGCUUCUCUCCCUGGGGUGGUUUGCCAAAUGGAGUUGGUGGCUUGUGUUCGGGGAGUGGCUUCUCUCCAUUGGGAGGUUUAGUUGGUGAUUGGUGUUCCGUAGGUGGUUUCUGAAGUGGGGGAUGCUUGGGGUAGUCAGCAAGAGACGAGGUAGUGAGAACCACCAGUCCCAGCAGCAACACUAGCAAGCAUGUGGAAGACAUCUUUGAGUUCAGGCUGAGAUCUGUGCAAGGAUAACAGAAUUAGGUGGCCUUUUAUAGAGGCCUGGACCCAACACCCAUAUGACACGUGUCAUGCACUCAUGGUGACACAUAAUUCUAUGGGACCAUUUGGGUCCUACAGAAGUUGCAAAGUUGGACUACUGAGGUGUGAUCACAACUUUUGUCCUUAUUGCUUUCUCUGCGGCCAUUGCACGAUUUCCUUUAGCAUCAUUUUCUUGGCUAAAUAAGCGUAUUAUAUUUGUGGCAGACCGUCCACGUGUCAUAAACAGAUAUAUUAUAAUAAUGUAGUAUGCUUUUCUCCAAUGGAACAUGACACUCUUCUAAGUCUUGUUUUAAAUAUUGUGCAGGAUUACUUUAUACGUUGCAGUUCCAAGUCAAAAUUGGUGGGCAAACGUUGGCCUUUUUUCAUUUCACCUAAGAUUAAUGCUCACCUGGGAUAGGCACUACAUGACUUAUCUGCUCUUUUACUGUAAAGUUGCUUUGUGUAUGAGAUACACCUCCCCUGCACACCCUCAACAUUCGUUGCUCUGUUUUCCUUGUGUCCAGACGAGGAUAUUAAUUGGAGGCUGACAAAACGACUGCUAGCCCAGGAUUUACAAGGUCCUGGUUUGAGGCUUCGGUGAAAGUAUUUUUGAAAAGACACACAUAGAGAUAGUGCGUUUGGUGCAAUGCAGCACUGUGAGCCAUUCUGACGCGUUCUUAAUUUCAAAACUAAUGAAUGCUUCAAAAUUUUAAGAAGUGACAUUUCCAAAUAUUUGAGUUCGUUUAAUUGAACAUUGGAUAACUAGUGAUCAUAGAUUAUUAUCUGUGCUUGGCACUAUAAGAGGGUAUAUGCUUCUUUUUCUGGCCCCUCCUUCAAGGGAGGAGGGACAAUGUGAUCUGUAACGUUAGAAGCUAUUCCAUGUCAUCUUUGGGCUCAGUUCAAAACUAAAAGAUAAUGGGGGGGGGGGGGGGGGGCAUAUCAUUUUAUAUUUCUUCUAGAAGGUUUGUUCUGGAAAUAUUUCACAGGAGCAUAUCUUUUUCUUCUAUUACGUCAUCCGCAGCCUCCAAUAGGUCGGUUAACAAGCCACCGAGUUGAAAAGUUGGAAAAAUGGGAACACAGCCCGCCUCUUGUAUUCAGUAGUUAAAUAAAAGGUCACUAGAAGUGAGAUCCCUUUUGGCGUCUUGAUUUUCAAUCCAGCACCUCUGUGACCUGACAAACCAAAAAAACUAAAAAAUAAAAAACAGUACGUGGGUUGGUGUUAAGCAUCAAGACAUGUUAAUGAAAGAAGGUAGAGAAUAGGAUAUUGAAAUCCCAAUCCUGAUAACAUGAUUUUCUUUGCUAACAACCAUAUUAUAUUUUAUCAAGAAAGAGUAAUGCAUGUGGCGUCCAUCAAGACCCAUUAGAGUUCCGCUAAAGCUAUAGUUCUGUCAACGUUAUCAUUUACGUUUCCUCUAGAUAAUGGCAUUUUCCUCUAAAGCUCUUGCACCAUUAGGCUUCAAGUCAAAAUUUCACAUGUGAACUUUGGAAAUUUUCUCCAUUUGCCCCUAAGGAUACAGUUAGAAUUGACUUAAAAUCCUGAUUGAUAUGUACUAUUAACCAAAGAAUAUUGUAUAUAAUAAUUGAAAUAUUGUUGAUUCAUCGUGGAAAUACAUUUUGUAAGGAAAGUUGUUGAGAAUUUAGUAUGCUAUAUGGAGAAAAAAGUCAUGACUUAAGGUUGUGUAUGUAUAUUCUAUAUCAAAUAUUAGGUAGGAAUGUGGGAAAGAGCAGAGUGUAAUGAUAAGAAACAAAGAAAUAUAAGAUAUUCUUGAAAGUGGAAAAUAUAAAAUGGCUAACGAGUCAAAUUUAUGAUGCGUAAGGGGGAUCAUGUCACAUAAGAAAACCAUGGCAUACUAAAGACGUACGUGUGGUAUGGAGUAAUAAUUUUGUUAAAAUAAGUUUCUUGUUGGAGUACAUUAGGUGACUAUUCAUAACGUAUCAAAUUAAAGAGUCAAGUGCAUCAAUGAAGGCAUAUGUAGAAAAUUUGUUUGUGACAUGUACCAUAAAGAUAAGAUUGACUUGAUAGAAUUUAGUCUAAGUAGGAGUUGUUAAAGGUGUCUUAAAUUUCUAAUUGAUGUAUAUUUUUUUCUAAAAAAAUAUUAUAUAGAUAUUUUAAUAAAUGAUUAAUUCUUUGUAAAAAUACUUACAUAAUAAAAAACAUCAUUAAAAAUAUCUUUAUAAAUAUUUUAAGUUACAAGAAGGAAAAAAACCACUGUGAGAUAAUGAUGAACAUGCAACACUGUACCAAGUAAAUAAAAAUGUGAUAAAAAAAAAAGAGAAACACUCGAUAAAGGAAGGCUCGUAUAUAAAGAGUAAUAUUUUUAAUCAUAUGAUAGAAUGAUUUUCUCUCAUUCAUGAAUAUAGGCAAGAUUGGGGAACCAUUAUAAAAUUUUGUACACCUCGUGUAAAUUGAUGUUUGUCUUCAUAUUUUACACCAACAAAUGACAUUGAAGUUGUCAUUGAUAAAAGGGAAAAGGCAUGCCUCCACACCAUGUGCUUGAUUCGAAUGGUUCAAGUUUGAAGAAUUUUCUCCGGAAGAUCUAAAACAUUUUCGCCUUUAAAUUUCAUUUGAUUAUUAAUAUCCGAAAAAAUAGUUAAAUACUCUUUCUAUUUUUGAGUUGUUGAAUUUUUUGAAAGUUUUUAUAUUUGUUAUCAAGAAUUUCUAUUUUAUUAAGGGUGAAUAUUUAUAAAUAAGAUAUUAUAUAAUAUUUGGAUAAGAGAGAAUGGUGGAAUAUAAUAAAGUUUUAAUCCUUCCCAAUUUUGAACCUUUUUUUUUUUUUUUGAUAUAAUCGCCUUUCUCUUGCAAUCCUAUUAUCAGGUACCUUAUAUUUGCUGAUGCUAUCUGGAACUAAAUUCCAAUCAGGCAUUGUCCAAUUACUAAUAGGACAGAUCAUAUCUCUCUGUUUCUAAACUAACAUGUAUCGUAAUGUGACCUCAUAAGGAAGGCUAGGAAGAUGGAGGAUUUUGUGGGAAGCGACCAGAAUCAGAUGGAAGAGAGAUAGCCCUGUUGACCUAAUGGCUGUAAUAGGAGAAGCGUGUGGUUUUAUGGGACUUAACUGAUACUAAACCUGUAUGAUGCUUGGAGUGGUGUUUCUUUCAUUUUGUUAAGAAAAUAUGGCAGCAUACAUGCUUUCAACUGAGUGCAUCAGAGCAUCCAUAACAGAUGGUCUGCAACCCUAGGUGCAUGCCACUUUCUGACUGAUAAUGAAAUUGUCAGGUACCUGGCCUUGACUAAGCUCAACAGCAUCACAUAAAGAGAAGCUUUCAUACUUAGAUUACUGUUUAAAGUUUUUGCUUAUUUGAUUUCUUAAUGCCAUUAUGACAUUAUUGAUUCAAUUCUGCUUCCGAUUUUCGAAGUUCUGGGCAUCUACUGAUUGCAUCAUUAUAUGAGAAGUUGCAUGAGUUUAUGUAUCCUGUUAUUGUUCCUUUGCGAUUUCACUGCUCACGGGACUAACCUCUCCAUUCAGUCGAAAUGAAUUGUAAUUUCUUUACUGGUAGCAGUAGUACUUUUCAUAGCAAAGAUAAUAGAAAAUAUGAAAUAUAAAUAGAAGGAAAUCUGGAUUGUAGAUAGCACCAUAAGUAACACUCAAUAUUCACUACAUAAUAAAUAGACAGUGUUACAUAGGUAGAGAAACCUACAAUGAGUACUCAUCACCAUUCUCAAACAGAAACAUAGCAGCGACUUAUACAUAGAACCUAUAGGCUCGCAGGGAAAGAGUAACAUGAUAAGUUCACAGCGGGUAGCAGCUCUUAUUUUACGUAUUACUCAAAAUCUCAAACUAACCAAAGUCACUCAGUUGGGAUGGGUAGGAGAUGGUGGUUUGUGGGGUGGCUUCUGGGUAGGAGCUGGUGGCUUCUUUGUUGGAGUUGAAGGAGGCAUAUUCUUCUGAGGUGGCUUGUAUGACUCUUCGGCACUCUCUGCAGGAGGGUGCCCAGGGUUGUGACCAGAAGGAGGUGGCUUCUGUCCCUUUGGUGGUUUGCCUAAUGGGCUUGGUGGCUUGUGCUCCGGGAGUUGUUUCUCUCCCUCGAGUAGGUUUCGAGUUUUGUCAGAUGGCUUGUGUUCUGGUGGUGGCUUCUCUCCCUGGGGUGGUUUGCCGAAUGGGCUUGGUGGCUUGUGUUCGGGGAGUGGCUUCUCUCCCUGGAGAAGGUUACGAGUUUUGUCAGAUGGCUUUUGUUCUGGUGGCGGCUUCUCUCCCUGGGGUGGUUUGCCAAAUGGGCUUGGUGGCUUGUGUUCGGGAACUGGCUUCUCUCCCUUGGGAGGUUCAUUUGGUGGCUGGUGUUCCGUAGGUGGUUCCUUCACCGGCGGCUUGUGCUCCGGAAGCGGCUUCUCUACCUGGAGAAGCUUACGAGUUUUGUCAGAUGGCUUGUGUUGUGGUGGUGGCUUCUCUCCCGGGGGUGGUUUGCCAAAUGGACUUGGUGGCUUGUGUUCGGGGAGUGGCUUCUCUCCAUGGGGAGGUUUAGUUGGUGGUUGGUGUUGCGUAGGUGGUUUCUGAAGUGGGGGAUGCUUGGGGUAGUCAGCAAUAGACGAGGUAGUGAGAACCACCAGUCCCAACAGCAACACUAGCAAGGAUGUUGAAGACAUCUUUGAGUUCAGGCUGAGAUCUGUGCAAGGAUAAAAGAUUUAGGUGGCCUUUUAUAGAGGGCUGGACCCAACACCCAUAUGACACGUGUCAUGCACUCAUGGUGACACAUAAUUCUAUGGGACCAUUUGGGUCCUACAGAAGUUGCAAAGUUGGACUAUUGAGGUGUGAUCACAACUUUUGUCCUACUUGCUUUCUCUGCGGCCAUUGCACGAUUUCCUUUAGCAUCAUUUUCUUGUCUAAAUAAGCGUAUUAUAUUUGUGGCAGACCGUCCACGUGUCAUAAACAGAUAUAUUAUAAUAAUGUAGUAUGCUUUUCUUCAACGGAACUUGACACUCUUCUAAGUCUUGUUUUAAAUACUGUGCAGGAUUACGUCAUAAGUUGCUUGUUCCAAGUCAAAAUUGGUGGGCAAACGUUGGCCUUUUUUCAUUUUCCCUAAUAUUAAUGCUCACCUGGGAUAGGCACUACAUGAUUUAUCUGCUCUUUUACUGUGAAGUUGCUUUGUGCAUGAGUUACACCUCCCCUGCACACCCUCAACAUUUGUUGCUCUGUUUUUCUUGUGUCCAGACGAGGAUAUUAAUUGGAGGCUGACAAAACGACUGCUAGCCAAGGAUUUACAAGGUCCUGGUUUGAGGCUUUCACGAAAGUAUUUUUGAAAAGAUACACAUAGAGAUUGCGCGUUCGGUGCAAUGCAACAAUGUGAGCCAUUCUGAAGUCUUAAAUUUCAGAUUAAUGAAUGCUACAAAAUUCUAAGAAGGGCCGUUUCCAAAUAUUUGAGUUCAUUCAUCCGAACAUCGGGUAUAUGCUUCUUUCUCUAGCCCCUCCUUGAAGGGAGGAGGGACAAUGUGAUCUGUAUCGUUAGAAGCUAUUCCAUGUCGUCAUCUUUGGGCUCAGUUCAAUACUAAAAGAUAUGGGCGGGGCCCUUAUCAUUUUAUAUUUCUUCUAGAAGGUUUAUUCUGGAAAUCUUUCACAGAAACAUAUCUUUUUCUUCUCUACGUGAUCCGUGGUUUGAAAGUUGGAAAAAUGGGUCCGUUAACAAGCCACCGAGUUGAAAAGUUGGAAAAAUGGCAACACCGCCAACCUCUUGUAUUCGAUAGUUAAAUAAAAGGUCACUGGAAGUGAGAUCCCUUUUGGCCUCUUGAUUUUCAUUCCAGCAUCUCUAUGGCCUGAUAAAUUAAAAAACUAAAAAAAAAGACAGUACGUGGGUUGGUGUUAAGCAUCAAGAGUCAAGACAUGAUAAUGGAGAGAAAGGAUAUUCAAAUUCCAGUUCUGACAACAUGAUUUUCUUUGCUGAACUACCAUAUUAUAUUUGAUCAAGAAAGAGUAGUGCAUGUGGCCAGGAUCAAGACAUACAUUAAUUUCCACAUGAUGAAGACAGUUUCUGAGAGUUUCUUCUAAAGCUCUUGCGCGAGUAGGCUUCAAGUCAAAAUCUCCCAUGUAAACACUGGUUUUUCUUUCAUUGCCACUAAGGAUGCAGUUAAUAUUGACUUAAGAUCCUACGUGAUAUAUUUUUUUAAAAGAGCUAUAUUGUAGAUAAUAUUUGAAAUAAUGUUGAUUCGUUGUGGAAAUAUAUUUGUAAGGAAAGUUGUUGACAAUUUAAUAUAGUAUAAGAAGAAAAAAGUUAUCAACUAGCUAGAGAUGAGUAUGUAAAGUGAGGCUCACGAUUCAACGCGUAAAUAUAAGAUAUUUUAAGGCUCAAUAGUUAUGAUAUCUAUUUUAUUUUUUGUAUCUCAUAUAUUCAAAGAUAUAGUAAAAUGAUUUUACAUAUAUAUAUAUAUAUAUAUAUGAACAUAACUAUUUGUGCCAAUUGAUUUUUAUCUUUAUUUUGUAUAUUAGUAAUUAUAUUAAAGUUUUUACUAAUAUAAUAACUAAUAUAAAAGCUUUUUCUAAAAGAGUCAACAGAGCAAAACACUUAUUAUAAAAAAUAAUUUUGAUUGAAGGUGGAGUCAAUUAUUCUUUAUUUAACAUGUAAUGCAUACGGCGUGUACUUCAUAACUAAAGUAUAUAAGUGUAACAUCUCUUAUAUAUUCUCAUUCAAUCUCGAAAGUGGAAAUUUUAAAAAGAUUAAACGGUUCAAAUUUGUCGUGCAUAAAGGGGAUCAUGUCACAUAAGCAAACCAUGGCAUACCAAAGACAUAGGUAUGGACUAAGAAUUUUUUUCAAAUAAGUUUCUUAUUAGGGUACAUUAAUAGGUGACUUUUUAUGACAUAUCAAAGGAGUCAAGUGCACCAAUAAAAACAUAUAUAGAAAAUUCAUGCAUGACAUGUAUCACUAAGAGAAGAUUGACUUGAUAGAGUUUAAUCCAAAUAGGAGAUUGUUAAAAGGUGUCUCAAAUUCUUGAUUGAUAUAUAUUUUUUUUAUUAAAAAGGUUAUUAUAUAGAUAUUUCAAUAGACUAUUAAUUCUUUGUAAAAAUAGUUAUAUAAUGAGGAUGGUGAUUAAAAAUAUCUCUAUCAAUAUUUUGGAUUAUAAAAAGAAAAAAAAUGAGAUAAUGAUAAACAUAUAAAACUUGUACAAGUAGAUAAAGAUGUGAUGAAAGACACUUGAUGAAUGAAGGCUUUGUAUUUCAAGAUAUAAAUAUAUGGAGCAAAACUCUUAAUUAUAUGAUCAAAUGAUUCUCUCAUAUUCAUGAAUAUAAGCAGGAUUGGGGAACCAUGAUAGAAUCUUAUAUGCCUCUCCAUGUAGAGUGAUCGAUGUUUAUCUUCAUAUUUUACACCAGUGAAUGACAUUGAAACUCUUAUUGAUAAAAGGGAAAAGGCAUGGCCUCCACCCCAAGAAAAACAAGUAACCUCGGUUUAAAUCACUAGUCUACACCCCGAAGAGAGAACUAGCCAAACCUACUAAAAGAGAAACUUAACAAUUUAGAAAGAAACCGUCCAUGAUAAAGGGCCCCUAAAGGUCCAAUUCAGUGAGGUCGUGAACAAAAACACUUUCAUGUCAAAACAGAGAUAGGUACCACCAAAAUGUAAAGGGAAAGAUGUAAACCACGUCGAACUUUGGUAAUCAAUGGUAAAGAUAGCAUGAUAGCUAAAAGCACUAAAGCUGUGCUUGGUAUGCAAAAAUGAAAAGUGGAAAUCAGCGUCUUAUUCUUUUUCACCUUUAUUCACAUAUUAGGAUAACUAAUAUCUAAUGUUUUUUAUGUCUCAAAUUCUAUUCCAUGUUAUGGUAAACUUUCAUCUUGUUUAGAUCACUUUUGUCUGGUUUGGGCUCAAGACGAUAAGCCUAUAGAGACUUCAUAUUGGGUUGAAUCGAUGCCCUUGAUCUGAUCUGUUCGUUAGAAAAAUCUGAAUUAUUAUAAGCAUUUAGAUAAAAAAUAAAUAAAUGUGAAACACAAACUACUCCCUGCACAACCUUGACCCUAGUUACUCAGUUUCACUGCUCACAGGACUAACCUCUCCAUUCAGUCGAAAUGAAUUGUAACAAGAAGAUUUUUGACAGGAGGACGGUAGUUUAAAAUAAUAAUUUCUAAAGUACUUUUGUGAAAAAAAAUAAUUCCAAACGUGGAUUUUAUCAAGUAAAAAGAAAAAAAAAAGUUAUUUUCUUUUAAAAUCUGUUCUUCUAAAGAUGAUAUAUAUACCAAAAAAAAAAAUUGUUUUCUGAAGGUAAAAUUUUUAAAAUUCAUUUUUAAAAAAAUUUACACACUAAAAUUAUCUUUUCAAGAGAAGAUUUUUUUAAUUUUAAAUAAUUAUUAAUUUAUAAUUAAUUUGUUAUUAAUUAUUUAUUAAUUUUUUUAUUUGAAAAAUGCAUUUAUAAAAAACAAAUUUGUUAUUAAUUUAUUAAAUAAUUUUUACAAAAUAAAUAAUUUUUUUUUAUUUUAAUUUUAAAAUUAAUUUUAUUAUAUAAAUUUUAAAAUUAAAAAUAUUAAUAUUUAAUUUAAAAUUUAACUAUAAAAGGAAUAAAAUAUAGAAAAAUAAAUUAAUUUAUUAUUCAAUAAAUUAAUUUUCAAUAAAAUUUUCAGCAUUAAGAGAUAAAUUUUUAAGUAUUAAUCAAUUUAAAAAGAAAUAAUGAUCAUUUGUAUAUUAAGAUAUUUUAUUUAGUAAUUAUGAAUGAUAAACAACUAAAGUAAUUUGAAAAAAUAAUAAAAUAUUUAAAAAAUAAUAAUUUAAUACACGUAAAAUUAGAAAUGAUUAACUAUUUUUUAUUAAGAAAAAAUUGAGGAAAUAUUUUGUUAUUUAAAAUUUUUUAUUUGUUUUCAAUUUUUAAUGUUAUAGGUUUCAAGAAAAUUGAUCAAAUAAAAAUUAAGAAGUCAUUUUUUCAAAAACUAUAUAUCUAAAUAAAAGCCUUGAAAUUCAAAUACACAAUAUCAUAAAUAUAAACACCAAGUCAAUCCUUAAUUAUCAAAUGUUUUUAAUAUUAAAGAAUCAAAAUCACCUACUAUCAUGAUAAUAAGAAAACCAAUAAUAUUGUUCAUAUAAAUACUAAAAAGCUAACAAAUAUCCCAAACAAUUAAUAAAGUAUCAAACAUGAUAAAAAGUCAAUUAUUAUCAUGAAUGCAAAAAAUCAAUAAUUUUGUUUAUAUGAACCAUCAACAAAGAAAAAAAAAAUCAAUAUCUAAAUAUUAAACAUAAUUUAUAUUUUUAUAAAUAUUAUUGUUGAUAAAUAUCUUAACAAUUAUAAUUUUAGUAAAUAAAAUUAAUUAAUUUUAGUUUAAGAAUUAUUUUUUUAUACUUUCGUAUUCUUAUCAAAAAUCCCCAUUUUGCAUGUCUCCUUUGGCAUGACUUUCUUACCUAAACAAGCAUAUAUAUAUAUAUAUAUAUAUAAAAUAUUUGGUUAAGAAAGAGUACUAAAGUUUAUAUGGCACACAUCAAGAUAGAAACAGAAGUGGAAGAUAAUCCAAAUGUAUGAACAGAUAUAUUAUAUCCAUGUAGUGGUAGUGACUUCAUUAUUUACUUUUAUCUAAUGGAGCAUGACACACUUCUUCUGAAUAUUUUGCACGAUUAUGUUAUGUGUCAGCUUGUUCUAAGUCAAAACUAGUGAUAAAAAUCGGUUUUUUUUGCAUUUCCUUCAUGAAGAUGGCACCUGGAUGGGGCACUACAUGAGUGGCAUAGCACGAAGUGAUUUAUCUGCUCCCUUUACUAUAAAGUGCUUUGUGUAUAAGUUACACCUCCCCUGCACUGCCUCAACAUUUGUUGUUCUGUCUUCCGUCUGUCCAAACGAGGACAAACGUAUGUUGUAGGUUGACAAAACCACAGCUAGCCUAGGAUUUGCAAGGAUCUAGUUUGAUUCGUAUGCAAAAGGAUUGGUGAAAAGAUUCACAAAGAUAAUGCUUUUUGCAAUGCAAUCUUGUUCUAAUUCAACAGUGUGGACCAUUUUCAUGUAAUGCUUCAACUAGAUGUCAGUUUCAUGAAUUUUUGUUCAUCUAAUUGAUCACUGGAUAGGCCAUAACCCGAAGAAAUUCAAAAUUCCCUUCAGUACUGUAGCUAAGGAAAGAUCCCUAUCUACCACUGGGAUUUUAAGAGGGUAAAAAUGUAGGUGGGUGCCUAUAUCAUUUGCACUUCACUAUAGGCCUCUUUGGGAAGAUUUCUUCUGAAGACAUUUCAAAGAAACAUAUUUUUCUCUUCUCUCCGUAAACGGCAGCUGCAAGUCAGUCCAUUCACAGGCCACCGAGUUGAAAAGGCUGGAAAAUUGGCCAAAGCACCCGCCUCCUGGAUUCCAUGGGUAAGGAAAAGGUCACUGGAGGUGUGAUCCCUGUUGGCCUCUUGAUUUCCAUUCCGCCAUCUAUAUGACCUGAUAACCCAAAAACACAGAAGGAAAACGUCACCUGGGUUCAUAGUAAGCAUCAAGUCAUGAUAGAGACCAGACAACAUGACCAACAAAGAGUAGCGAAUGGGGCCAACAUCAAGCCCCAUUACGGUUAGAAGAUGGAAGAAGUAGAAGACAAUCCAAUUCUGAUAGAUUCGGGCAAAUGUAGUGCUGUUCAAACUUAAUCAUUUACUAUUUCUUCAUGAAUCACGGCAUUUUUCUUCUGAAAAUUUUCCAAGAUUAGGCCUCUGAAGAAAAAUUUCAUAUGUAAAUUGGUAUAUUAAGGAAAAGGCGUUACAAAGGUGAAAAAAAACCAAUCAAAUCUUAUAUAUGACAUCUCAAAAAUAUGAACUUGCUAUAAAUAUUUAAAAUCAAAAUCUUGCACAUCACCUCGUAGUACGAACUUGCUAUAAAACUUGAAAAUCAAGAAGAAAGGGGCAGUAUUGGACGAGACUACUUAGCACAUAUUAUUAUGAUGUUUUUUCAUUUUCUUAAUGUUGUUUUUAUGUCUUAAAUUCUAUUAUUCUAUGUUACGGUAAACAUUCAUCUUGUUUGUGUGGAAUAGGAUCACUUUUCUCUGGGUUGAGUCGAUGCCCUUAGUUAAUUUGUUCAUUUGAAUAAACUAAAUUAUUAUAAGUAUUUAGAUAAGAAAAACGUGAUACAUAAAUUACGCCUCUCGGCACAACUUCAACACUGGUUACUCUGUUUCAGUUUCCUCACACAAGAUUAUUGGUUCUAGGGUUUAUUUGGUUUUGGUUUGAUUCUAAUUGCUAAACUUUCUCAAGGAAGAUGUUAUAUAGGGAGUGAGAAACCUUCACUCUUGGCUACCUCCAAGAGAAGAGCAAGUGGUCUGAAUCAAAGAUAUACUGCUCACUUUUUCUUCUUCUAAGGACAGCUAUGACCUUGCUUUAAGGUUCGAAUAGCCUAAUGCAACCUCCCAUUUCUCAAGUCAGCUGAUGAUGUAAGUCACCUUGGCUUUCCACAUUCAUACGGUGAGGACGUUUGUGGGUGUAAUUCUCUUAACAGUUUUCAUUUUAUAUGGAAAAAUUCAUAAUUAAGGGUAAUUACUGAUUCCAUUUGACAGUGACCAAGUUUAAAAUAUUAAUUCAUAUAUUAAAUGCACAUUAAAAAAUCAUGGAAUAAAUAUAUUUACUAAUAUAUAGUUCUUUUGCCAUGUUCUGUCACAGAAGCAUCGAACUUUCCCUAGAAAUUUUUGCAUGGUAUUCUACUUAUGAUUUUGAAAACUCUAGGCACCUGAGGCCACUAAUUGCAUGGUUGGAUGAGGAGCUGCAUGAGAUUAUGUAUCGUGUUGUUCCUUAACUACAAAUAUCAGUUUUAAGUAGCAUCUCCAUGUGACAUUUUCCUGAUGCAAUUUCGCUGUCCACCAACAAAUUUCACCAUGCAGCAAGAUGAAUUGUAAUUUCUUUAUUGUUAUCAACAGCUUUAAUUAAUCUUGAUAUAUAUAUAUAACUUAGUAGAAGUAUAUUAAUCUAGAUUGUAGUUGCACUAAGAUAAUAGGCAAUAUUAUAACAGUGCCACAAUGCUCAUCGCCAAAUAGAAAGGUAGAAAAACUACAAUGAGUAACUCACAACAUUCUCAAACAGGACAUAGCGGCGACUGAUACAUAGAACACUAUUGGCACUCAGGAAAUGAUAAGAUCAGUGCCCAGCAGGCAGCACGUCUUAUUUUACAUACUACUUAAAACUAACCAAAGUCAUUCAGUUGGGAUGGGUGGGAGAUGGUGGUUUGUGCGGUGGCUUUUGGGUAGUUGGUGGCUUCUUUCCUGGAACUGAUGGUUUUUUUGUUGGAGUUGAAGGAGGCUUAAUCGUCUGAGGUGGCUUGUAUGAGUCUUCAGCACUCUCUGCGGGAGGGUGCCCAGGGUUGUGACCAUAAUGGGGUGGCUUCUCUCCCUUAGUUGGUUUGCCAAGUGGGCUGGCUGGCUUGUGCUCCGGGAGCGGCUUCUCUCCCUUAGGUGGUUUGCCAAAUGGGCUUGCUGGCUUGUGCUCUGGGAGCGGCUUCUCUCCCUCAAGAAGUUUACGGGUUUUGUCAGAUGGCUUGUGUUCUGGUGGUGGCUUCUCUCCUUGGGGUGGUUUGCCAAAUGGACUUGGUGGCUUGUGUUCGGGGAGUGGCUCCUCUCCCUUGGGAGGUUUAGUUGGUGGCUGGUGUUCCAUAGGUGGUUUCUCAACCGGGGGCUUGUUCUCCGUUGGUGGUUUAUGAACUGGGGGAUGCUUGGGGUAGUCAGCAAGAGACGGGGUGGUGAGAACCACCAGUCCCAGCAGCAACACUAGCAAGUAUGUGGAAGAGUACAUCUUUGAGUUCAGGCUGAGAUUUGUGCGAGACUUGAAGAAUUAGGUGGCCUUUUAUAGCUGGCUGCACCCAACACUCACAUGACACGUAUCAUGGUGACACAUGUGCUAUGGGUCCAUUUGGGUCCUACAGAAGCUGAAAACUUUUGACUAUUGAGGUGUGGUCACAACUUUUGUCCCUAUUGCUUUCUCCGCAACCGUUUUACAUGUUUCCUUUGGCAUAAUUUUCUAAGCUAAACAAGCAUAUAUCAUAUUUGGUUAAGAAAGAGUAAAGUGUAUAUGGCACACAUCAAGGAAGAGAAACAGAAAAAGUGGGAGACAAUCAAUUGUGAUAAACAGAUAUAUUAUAUUCAUGUAGUACUAGUGACUUUAUCAUUUACUUUUAUCCAAUAGAUCAUCACUCUUUCUUCUAAAUAUUUUGGAGGAUAAUGGUACAUGUUGCUUGUUUCCAAGUCAAAAUUGGUGGCAAAAAUCGGCAUGAUACGAAAGGAUUGGUGAAAAGAUUCACAUAGAUGGUGCUUUGUGCAAUGCAGUCUUGCUCUAAUUCAACAGAGUGGACCAUGGUGAUGUAUUUUAAAUUUUAAAUUUUAAAUUAAUGCAUGCUUCAAAGUUUUAACUAGAUGUCACUUCCAUGGAUUUUUGUUCAUUUAAUUGAGCACAGGAUAGGCUAUCAAACUUGAAGUAAUAUAAAAAUCCCUUCAUUACUGUAACUAAUGAAAGAUCAUUAUCUGCGCUUGGUAUUUUGCCAAGGUAUUUGCUGCUCUUUCUAGCCCUGUCUUACAGUUAAGGACAAUGUGAUCUAGUUAACCUUAGAAGCUAUUCCAUGUCAGAUACAAGAGAUCAAGCACAUUAUCUUUGGGCUCAGUUCAAAACUAUAAUAUAUGGGUGGGGUGGAGGCCCAUAUCAUUUGCAUAUCACCACUAUUGGUUUAGUUUGGAAGGUUUCUUCUGGAAGAUUGCUGCUUUCUGGAAUCAUUUCAAAGAAAUAUAUCUUUUUGUUCUCUUGGUGACGAGCAGCGGCAAUCAAGUCUGUUGACAAACAACCGAGUUGAAAAGUUUGAAAAUUGGUCACAGCCCACGUCCAUGGUUAAGGAAAAGGUCACUGGAAGUGAUCCCUUCUGGGCCUCUUGAUUUCCAUUCUGACAUCUAUAUGACCUGAUAAAUAGAAAGAAAAAAAAACAGAAGAAAAGCGGCACCCGGGUUCAUAGUAAGCAUCAAGACAGGAUACUGAAAGAAGGGAGAAAGGAGAUUGCAAGUCCAAUCCUGAUAAAAUGAUCAACAAAGAGUAUCAAAAUGGGGCCAACAUAAAGACCCAUUGAGGUUAGCAGAUGGCAUGGCAUUUUUCUCCUUAAGUUUUCCAUGAUUAGACUUGAAGUCAAAAUUUCACAUGUAAAUUUGUAUUUCUACAUUUCCCACUGACGACACCCAACUUCAACUUGAGUUAGAAUAACAUUGUGUGAACUUAUCUGGCCCUCAAAAUUUACUGUGAAGUGCUUUCUGCGUGUGAAGAUUCAGAAAAGCACCAAGGGAACAUGUAUGGUCUGCCUUUUUCUGAUGUUAUGUUUGUCUCUAAUUCUGUUCCAUGUCAUGGUAAAUGUUCACAUUGCUUGUAUGGAACACACCAGGAUCACUUUUUCGGGUUUAUUUUGAGGCUUCAUAUUGGGUUCAUAUUGGGUUCAAUGCUUUUAAUGUGUUCAUUAGACAAAUCUGAAUUAUCAUAUGCAUUUAGAUAAGAACAAUAAUGUGAAACCCUAGUUACACCUCCCCUGCAUAACCCCAACCCUGCUUACUCUAUUUCAGUUUACUCACACAAGUUUUACCGGUUCUUAUAAGUCAAGAAAAGGCAACUGAUGUUGGAUUGACUCUCUUCCAUGUAUAAAAAGCAACUUUUAUAUAUACAUAAAAUAACUUCUUCCCCUCACCAAUGUGGGAUAUCAUGGAUUUAUUCUGGAAACACAUCAAAGGAACAUCUUUUCUCUUGGGUGACCCUAAGUGGUGAGUCAGACCAUUUGCAUGCCAUUGAGUUGCACAGUUGGAUAAAUGCACCUACCUCCUGGGCUCCAGAGUUAAAAGGGUGGAUCCCUGGAUCGCAACCCUCUUGGCAUCUUGGUUUCCAUUCCAACAUCCACAUGACUUGACAAAACAAAAAACAGAAUAAAAUCAUCACUAUUUUCAUGCUAAGCACCAAUACAUGAUGGAAAUCAUUGCUUAAAGAUUUGGGGUCAUUUAGGUUUUGACUGCCUCCUAACACCUCACCUAAUCACAAGUUUUUAUGCUUACAAAUCAAAUAUCGUUCUUCAUUAUAUUAAAAUCAUUUUAAGAUUUCAGAUCCAUCUGCUAAUUAUGAUUAUGAUAACAUUAAUUCACCUGUGCUUCUCAUUUUCGACACACAAGGCAUCUAGGUUUGCAGGAUUUCCUUAUUAGAUGAGAUAAAUGAGUACGCAUGGUUAUGUAUGCAGCAUUCAUUAACCAUGGUAUGUGACAUUUAGAAUUAAGAUAGCAAGCAAACUUUCCCUGCAGCUUGAGUAAAUUGUGAUUUCUUAGCCUCUAUGAGUGGUUCCCAAAUCAAAUUAACAUAGUGAAAUAUACGUAGUCCAGUGAAAGGAAAUGUAAAUUAUAAACUAACAGCACUACACUACUGGUAACACUCGAUACUCUCUAUAUAAUGCAAUGAAAUAUACGUUAUACGUUGCUUGUUCCAAGUCAAAAUUUGUGGCCAAACGUUGGCCUUUUUUCAUUUUCCCUAAGAUUAAUGCUCACCUGGGAUAGGCACUACAUGAUUUAUCUGCUCUUUUACUGUAAAGUUGCUUUGUGUAUGAGUUACACCUCCCCUGCACACCCUCAACAUUUGUUGCUCUGUUUUCCUUGUGUCCAGACGAGGAUAUUAAGUGGGGGCUGACAAAACGACUGCUAGCCAAGGAUUUACAAGGUCCUGGUUUGACGCUUCCGCGAAAGUAUUUUUGAAAAUAUACACAUAGAGAUUGCGCGUUCGGUGCAAUGCAACAAUGUGAGCCAUUCUGAAGUUUUUAAUUUCAGAUUAAUGAAUGCUACAAAAUUCUAAGAAGGGCCGUUUCCAAAUAUUUGAGUUCAUUUAUCCGAACAUCGGAUAAGUAAUGAUCAUAGAUUAUUAUUAUUAUCUGACGUUCUUAUAAUGGUUGGCAUUAUAAGAGGGUAUAUGCUUCUUUCUCUAGCCCCUCCUUCAAGGGAGGGACAAUGUGAUCUGUAUCGUUAGAAGCUAUUCCAUGUCGUCAUCUUUUGGCUUAAGUCAAUACUAAAAUAUAUGGGCGGGGCCCCUGUCAUUUUAUAUUUCUUCUAGAAGGUUUGUUCUGGAAAUCUUUCACCGAAACAUAUCUUUUUCUUCUCUACGUGAUCCGUGGUUGGAAAGUUAGAAAAAUGGGUCCGUUCACAAGCCACCGAGUUGAAAAGUUGGAAAAAUGGCAACACCGCCAACCUCUUGUAUUCGAUAGUUAAAUAAAAGGUCACUGGAAGUGAGAUCCCUUUUGGCCUCUUGAUUUUCAUCCCAGCAUCUCUAUGUCCUGAUAAACUAAAAAACUAAAAAAAAAACAGUACGUGGGUUGGUGUUAAGCAUCAAGAGUCAAGACAUGAUAAUGGAGAGAAAGGAUAUUCAAAUUCCAGUUCUGACAACAUGAUUUUCUUUCCUGAACAACCAUGUUAUAUUUGAUCAAGAAAGAGUAGUGCAUGUGGCCAGGAUCAAGACAUACAUUAAUUUCCACAUGAUGAAGACAGUUUCUGAGAGUUUCUUCUAAAGCUCUUGCGCUAGUAGGCUUCAAGUCAAAAUUUCCCAUGUAAACACUGGAUUUUCUUUAAUUGCCACUAAGGAUACAGUUAAAAUUGACUUAAAAUCCUACGUGAUAUAUAUCUUUAACAAAAGUAUAUUGUAUAUAAUAUUUGAAAUAAUGUUGAUUCGUUGUGGAAAUAUGUUUGUAAGGAAAGUUGUUGACAAUUUAAUAUAGUAUAAGAAGAAAAAAGUUAUCAACUAGAGAUGAGUAUGUAAAGUGAGGCUCACGAUUCAACGCGUAAAUAUAAGAUAUUUUAAGGCUCAAUAGUUAUGAUAUCUAUUUUAUUUUUUGUAUCCCAUAUAUUCAAAGAUACAGUAAAAUGAUUUUAUAUAUAUGAACAUAGCCGAUAGUAUCAUGUUAAAACCUUAUAUGACUCUUUGUGCCAAUUGAUUUUUAUCUUUAUUUUGUGUAUUAGUAAUUAGUAUUAAAGUUUUUACUAACAUAAUAAUUGAUAUAAAAGCUUUUUCCAAAAGAGUCAAACAGAGCAAAACACUUAUUAUAAAAAGAAUUUUGAUUGAAGGUGGAGUCAAUUAUUCUUUAUUCAACAUGUGAUGCAUACAGCGGGUACUUCAUAACUAAAGUAUAUAAGUGCAACAUCUCUUAUACAUUCUCAUUCAAUCUCGAAAGUGGAAAAUUUUAAAAGAUUAAAUGGUUCAAAUUUUCCGUGCAUAAAGGGGAUCAUGUCACAUAACCAAACCAUGGCAUACCAAAGCCAUGAUAUGGACUAAGAAUUUUGUUAAAAUAAGUUUCUUAUUAGGGCACAUUAUGUGACUAUUUAUGACAUAUCAAAGGAGUCAAGUGCAUCAAUAAAGACAUAGAAAAUUCAUGCAUCACAUGUACCACUAAGAGAAAAUUGACUUGAUAGAGUUUAGUCCAAAUAGGAGAUUGUUAAAAGGUGCAUCAAAUUCUUGAUUGAUAUAUAUUUUUUUUAUUAGAAAGGUUAUUAUAUAGAUAUUUCAAUAGACUAUUAAUCCUUUGUAAAAAUAGUUAUAUAAUGAGGAUGGUGAUUAAAAAUAUCUCUAUCAAUAUUUUGGAUUAUAAAAAGAAAAAAAAUAUGAGAAAAUGAUAAACAUAUAAAACUUGUACAAGUAGAUAGAGAUGUGAUGAAAGACACUUGAUGAAUGGAGGCCUUGUAUUUCAAGAUGUAAAUAUAUGGAGCAAAACUCUUAAUUAUAUGAUCAAAUGAUUCUCUCAUAUUCAUGAACAUAAGCAGGAUUGGGGAACCAUGAUAGAAUCUUAUAUGCCUCUCCAUGUAGAUUGAUCGAUGUUUAUCUUCAUAUUUUACACCAAUGAAUGACAUUGAAACUCUGAUUGAUAAAAGGGAAAAAGCAUGGCCUCCACCACAAGAAAAACAAGUAACCUCGGUCUAAAUCACUAGUCUACACCCCGAAGAGAGAACUAGCCAAACCUACUAAAAGAGAAACUUACCAAUUUAGAAAGAAAUCUUCCAUGAUAAAGGGCCCCUAAAAGUCCAAUUCAGUCAGGUUGUGAACAAAAACACCUUCAUGUCAAAACAGGAAUAGGUACCACCAAAAUGUAAAGGGAAAGAUGUAAACCAAGUCGAACUUUGGUAAACAAUGGUAAAGAUAGCAUGAUAGCUAAAAGCACUAAAGCUGUGCUUGGUAUGCAAAAAUGAAAAGUGGAAAUCAGCGUCUUAUUCUUUUUCUCCUUUAUUCACAUAUUAGGAUAACUAAUAUCUAAUGUUUUUUUUAUGUCUCAAAUUCUAUUCCAUGUUAUGGUAAACUUUCAUCUUGUUUAAGUGGAAGAGUAGGAUCACUUUUGUCUGGUUUGGGCUCAAGACGAUAAGCCUAUAGAGACUUCAUAUUGGGUUGAAUUGAUGCCCUUGAUCCGAUCAGUUCGUUAGAAAAAUCUGAAUUAUUAUAAGCAUUUAGAUAAAAUAAAUAAAUAAAUGUGAAACAGAGACUAUUCUCUGCACAACCUUGACCCUAGUUACUCAGUUUCACUGCUCACGGGACUAACCUCUCCAUUCAGUCGAAAUGAAUUGUAAUUUCUUUACUGGUAGCAGUAGUACUUUUCAUAGCAAAGAUAAUAGUAAAUAUGAAAUAUAAAUAUAUAGAAGGAAAUCUGGAUUGUAGAUAGCACCAUAAGUAACACUCAAUAUUUACUACAUAAUAAAAGAGAUAGUGUUACAAAGGUAGAGAAACCUACAAUGAGUACUCAUCACCAUUCUCAAACAGAAACAUAGCAGUGACUUAUACAUAGAACCUAUAGGCUCGCAGGGAAAGAGUAACAUGAUAAGUGCACAGCGGGUAGCAGCUCUUAUUUUACGUAUUACUCAAAAUCUCAAACUAACCAAAGUCACUCAGUUGGGAUGGGUAGGAGAUGGUGGUUUGUGGGGUGGCUUCUGGGUAGGAGCUGGUGGCUUCUUUGUUGGAGUUGAAGGAGGCGUAAUCUUCUGAGGUGGCUUGUAUGAGUCUUUGGCACUCUCUGCAGGAGGGUGCCCAGGGUUGUGACCGGAAGGAGGUGGCUUCUGUCCCUUUGGUGGUUUGCCUAAUGGGCUUGGUGGCUUGUGCUCCGGGAGUUGUUUCUCUCCCUCGAGUAGGUUUCGAGUUUUGUCAGAUGGCUUGUGUUCUGGUGGUGGCUUCUCUCCCUGGGGUGGUUUGCCGAAUGGGCUUGGUGGCUUGUGUUCGGGGAGUGGCUUCUCUCCCUUGGCAGGUUCAGUUGGUGGCUGGUGCUCCGUAGGUGGUUUCUUCACCGCCGGCUUCUCUCCCUGGAGAAGGUUACGAGUUUUGUCAGAUGGCUUCUGUUCUGGUGGCGGCUUCUCUCCCUGGGGUGGUUUGCCAAAUGGGCUUGGUGGCUUGUGUUCGGGAACUGGCUUCUCUCCCUUGGCAGGUUCAGUUAGUGGCUGGUGUUCCGUAGGUGGUUUCUUCACCGGCGGCUUGUGCUCCGGAAGCGGCUUCUCUACCUGGAGAAGCUUACGAGUUUUGUCAGAUGGCUUGUGUUGUGGUGGUGGCUUCUCUCCCUGGGGUG
RNAcentral lists this long non-coding RNA (104248 nucleotides) under Vitis vinifera (wine grape). Its description in RNAcentral is "long non-coding RNA (VVIN_LNC001392)". The record is from RNAcentral. Lineage: Eukaryota; Viridiplantae; Streptophyta; Magnoliopsida; Vitales; Vitaceae.